This 92113-nucleotide long non-coding RNA is filed under the name Vitis vinifera (wine grape). RNAcentral describes it as "long non-coding RNA (VVIN_LNC004478)". The record is from RNAcentral. Lineage: Eukaryota; Viridiplantae; Streptophyta; Magnoliopsida; Vitales; Vitaceae.
CCCUUUGGAUGAUCUCUUCUGUACGUGUCAGCCAAUCCCGGACAUCAUUUUCGAUAUCAUCCCCUUGCCUAUUAGCCUCAUCCACAUCGUGCUGCAGCCUCUCCCUUGCAUUACCCAGCCUCUCAACUUGUUCCACAAGCUCAUCAAGGUUGCUACGAUAGUUAAACAGGUAACCCAGUUGACGUACAAUUGGAUCAACCAGGUACCCUGCAACUUUUCCUGCAACAUUUGCUGCAGCGGACAUAAGAAUUGCUGCCAUUUUCCAAGUUUUCUUUCUCUGGAAAUAGAUGGGAAUUGAGCAAAAGCAGAAAAUAAGAAGGGCCUCAGGAGAAGGAAAACACCACAAAAGAAAAAUGGUAAUUAAUUGAGUGUGACAGAUGAAAAUAAGGAGAUGAAAGGUUCGAGGUAUCCAAAGGGCAGAGUAGGUGGAAGGUUUUAGCUAUGAAGGAAACAAUAAUUUUUUUUAUUUUUUAUUUUUUGUUUGCAAGAAGAGGAGAGGAGGAGAGGAGAAACACAAAGCAGCAAAAUGGAAAAUAAGAUUGAUUACUUGAAAGAACGAGUGUGAAGGGCAUAAAGUAUGAUGAGUUGAUAAAAUGAGAAACGGGCUACAGAGUGGAGACUGAGAAAGACUCAGAAAAGCGCUGCAGAGUGAAGAGACUGAGAAAGACUGAGAACAGUGUUAUAGAGUGAGGAGAAACACAAAGCAGCAAAAUGGAAAAUGAGAUUGAUUACUCGGAAGAACGAGCGUGAAGGGGAGAAAGUAGGAAGAGUUGAUAAAAUGAGAGAAGGGCUACAGAGUGGAGACUGAGGAAAAGGGCUGCAGAGUGAAGAGACUGAGUAAUAUCCAUCAUUGACAAUGACUCAUUUUAGUUUUAGUCGCACAUCACAUGUUUGAAUUUGGCAACCAAGACACCAAAACAUUUAAUACCUUAUGCAUUAAAAUAUCAUCUUGAUUCAAACACUUUCAUCAAUCCAUUUCUUCCAUUUAUAAUAAAAUAUUUAUACAAUUAUUUUUUAAAAUUACUCACACCAAACAAAGUAAAAAUAAUAAACUUUAAAUAAUUAAAAUAUAUUUUUAUAAAACACACUGUUUUCGUAAUAAAAUCUUAAAAAAUUAUAUUUUAAAAAUAUUUUUUUAGUAUGAAAAAUAAUGUUUCAAUUUUUAAGAAAUAAAAGUGUUUUUAAAAAUAGUUAAAAACUUGCUCGAAAGUUUUGAUUGGUCGGUGGUUUAAUAAGCAUAACAACCUGUCAUCCUUGUGUUUUCAAUUAAAGCAAAUAUCUUUGGACUUGGAGUCCUUGCUUGAGUGUAAGGAGGUAUUAUUAUUGUGGACCCUACUGUCCACUCUAAGCUGAAAAUGUGUGGUUUAUGUUAUUAGCAGGCUUUUCAAUCAUUCUGACAAAUAAAAAUGAAGAACUUUGAGCGGCUAGAAGAAGUUGAUGAUCCAAACCAUAAAUCGAAGCUCAACCCGAUCACUCUAAAUAAUCAAUUCACACCCUACCCACUCUCAUUUCUUUUUCAAGUUUAGGUUGAGUUGGGAAUGAUUAGAUUAAAUUCAGAUUAAUUAGCUAGUAUAAUUUAAAAUUUAUUUAUACUAUUUUUUAAAAAAAAUUGUAAGAUAAAAUUUUAAGAUAACAAAAUAAACAAAUAAAUUUGCAUAUUUUUUUAAAAAUAAAAAAGUAUAUGAUGUAAUAUAUUUUGAUAUAUUUUCUCUUAAAAAUCUUUAUUUUAUCGAUUAAUAUACAUUAUAAACAUUAAAUUGGGUUCGAAUUAGAUCUUAAUUAUAUGAAUCUUGGCUUGGACACAAUCCAAAUCUAACUCAAACAAAAAAAACCUAACUCAACCCUAGUAUUAUUAACUCAAACAAAAAAAAACCUAACUCAACCCUAGUAUUAUUAACUCAAAUUGAAAAAAUCUAAGAGUUGGAACACAAUCCAAAUUAUACUUGGAUUGGAAAAACCUAAUUUAAUCAUAGUAUUAAAAAUUAUUAUUCAAACUCAUUUAAACAUUAAAUUAGAUUUGGAUUUGAUCAAGUGUAUAUGUCUCGGUUGUACAAAAAAAUAGUUUUUUUUUAAAUAUUUUUGAAACGAAUUCUCUAAUAUUUCAUAGAAUAAAAAUUUGGUUAAACCCCUAAAAGGUAUGAACCUAUAUUUUUCAAUAUAUUUUAAAAAAUAGUUCUUAUAUAGAUUUUACUUUUAAUUAUAUUUUAUAUUUAUAUCAUAAUAUAUUUAAAAUAAAACAACAGAAAGUAGUACAAAUAUGUUUAAAAAAUACCUUAUUUCAAGAAUAAAUUCUAAAAAAAUGGUUUUUUUAUCAUAAAUUAUUAAAUAUAUUUUUGAGUGUGAAAAAUAGUUAAAACUCUUUUUUAAAACCAUUGAAAACAAUCAAAACAUGCUCUAAGGUUUUGAUGACGCAAUCGUUUAGAAAACACAACAGCCUGUGAUGCUUGCACAUUUGCAACAAAGCAAGUAUACUCAGCCUUGGAUUUCUUACUUAUUAUUGUUGACCCUACUCUCUACUCUAAACUGAAAAGUUGGUUACAUUAUCAGUUGGCUCUUCAAUCAUUCUGACGAAGAAAUUGACCAAACAAGAAAAGAGAAAGAGAGAGAUGGAUGGAGUUACAGAACACGUGAUUGCAUUCUCUGCCACUAAAGCAAAAUUAUAUUUUAAAGAAAUAAAUUCAAGUUGAAGUCUCAAUUGAAACUUCAUUUAUAAACUAAAGUCGUAAUUAGUAAUCGAGAAUUCAUUUUUAAAUUAAAAUUUUAAUUACUAAUUGAGCUUAAUUUUUAAAUUGAAACCAUAAUUGAUAAUUGAUAUUUUAUUUUUUAAUUGAAAUCUCAAUUAUAAAUUGAGGCUUUAAUUUUUUUGUUUUACUUUAAAAUUUAAUUAAAAAUAUUAAAUUACAAAUUGUUAUUAAAAUUAAAAAAAUAUAUUUUAAUAAUAAAAAUUUUAUAUAUUUAAACUUAAAAAUCUAGUAUUAUUUCAAUAAAUAUAAAUUGAUAAAUAUAAUAAUAAAUAAAUAUUUUAAGAGCAUUUAAUUUUAAAAUCAAUUUUUGAAGGUAGAUAAAAUUAAGAUUUUAAAAGUACUUGCAUUAAAUUUAUUAAUUUAAAUUCACAAUUCCCAUCAUAUUACAUUAAAAAAAAAACUAAUAUUUUUUUACUAAAUAUAUAAUAAAAAAGUACAUUUUUGUUUAAUUAAAAAUUUAAAUCAUUAAAAUUGUUUUUAUUUUAAUAAAUAAUGUUUUAAAAAGUAUAUUAUGUGUGUGUGUGUUUUUUUUAUUAUUUAAUAGUCAUUAUCAAAGUCAUAACAAUGACAAUAAAAAAACUCAAUAAAUUAGUACAUCCUACUACUUACGUUGAUAUUUUAGUUAUUAACAUUGUUAUUGUUAAAUAAAGACAAUGUCACUAUCUUCAAAUGACAUAUUUGAUAUGGAGGGCAAAACAGUGAUGAAUAAUAAAUAGGUCAGUACAUUCUUUUAUUUACAACAAUAUUUUUAGUUACUAACAUUGUUACUUAUAGAUAAAAACUAUAUUGUUAUCUCCAAUGGAUGCAUAUUUGAUGUAAAUGUUGAAAUGGUUAUGAAUAAUAUGAGAGCUACAUAUGUGGGUCCCAUUAAAUAUACUUACCAAUUUGUCUUGACAACUCACCUUUAAUUGGUUAAAGAGCAUUUUCGAGCAUAAUUUUUUUUUUUUUUGUCAAAUACUUUCCUUGAAAUAACCAUUUUUGGGUUCCAUUUUCUUCUUUUAUUUCAUAAUGUACCAUGUUCACAUAAUUCUCCCAAAUAUAUUUUAAUAAUAAAAUUUUUAUAUAUUUAAACUUAAAAGUAUAAUAUUACUUCAAUAAAGAUAAAUUGAUAAAUAUAAUAAUAAAUGAAUAUUUUAUUCAUUAAUAAAGUAAUAAUAUUCAAAUAAUAAAAUUAUAUAACAUAUGAAUAAGAUAUAAAAUUAUAUAAUUUAUUAAUUUAAAAUAUUUAAUUUGUUAUAUUUUUAAGAUAUUAGUUUGUUCAUAUUUUGACAAAAUUAUCUUUAGUGAAAAAAAGUAGUAUACUCUUAACUUUUCAUAUAUAGAUUUUUUAUUAUUUUAAAGCAUAUGUUUAUAAUUUUUUCAUUUUGUGUAAAAAAAACUAUUAUUUAUAUGCCUUCAAGAUAAAUUUUGAAAUUAGUUAACAGAAAGUCUAUUAAUAAUUUUUAGUAGUUUUAUCAAAGUUACAAAAUAUAUGGGAAAAAAAUGUCUCUCCCUAAUUAUAGCAAGUACUAUAUGUUAUAUAACUUAAAUUAAUAAAUUAUAUAAUUUUAUAUUUUAUUUAUAUAUCAUAUAACUUUAUUAUUUUAAGAUAAUUAAUUUAUUGAUAAAUAAAAUAUUUAUUUAUUAUUAUAUUUAUCAAUUUAUCCUUGAAGUAAUAUUCGAUUAAUUAAAUUUAAAUAUAUAAAAUUUUUAUUAUUAGAAUAUAUAUAUCUAUAUAUAUAUAUUUAAUUUCUAACAAUAAUUUAUAAUUUAAUACCUUUUAAUUAAAUUUCAAAGUAUAAAAAAAAUUAAUUGAAGCUUUAAUUAUUAAUUACGAUUCUAUUUAAAAAAAAUGAAGCUCAAGUGAUAAAAAAGGGUUUCAAUUUCAAUUUUUAUUUUAUUUAAAAAAAGAUAUUUUUUAUGAUAGGACUCUAACAGUAAAAAGACUAAUUUAAACAUAAAUUUUGUAAAGGGUUAAACUUAAUAUUUUUUUUUAUAUAAAAGGCUAUUUUCCGCCCAAAAACUCAAAGUAUGGUCCUGGAAGGCAUGUCGCAGUGGUAGGGCCCAAAGGACAUAGUGACAUUUUCCUGGCAAAAAGAGGCAGAAAGGUAUGAUCAUUUUUAAAUAUUUUUUUUAAAAAAUAAUUCUUAUAUAUACGGUUUUAUUUUUAAUUAUUUUUUAUAUUUAUACCAUUAUAUAUUUAAAAUAAAAAAAAGAACAAAUAAAAACAACGGAAAGUAGUACAAAUAUAUUUAAAAAAUACCUUAUUUCAAGAAUAAAUUCUAAAAAAAAAAAUGGUUUUUUUAUCAUAAAUUAUUAAAUAUAUUUUUGAGUGUGAAAAAUAGUUAAAACUCUUUUUUAAAACCAUUGAAAAUAUGCUCUAAGGUUUUGAUGAGGCGGUUAUUUAGAAAACACCACAGCUUGUGAUGCUUGCAUUUUCAAGCUUAGCAGGUAUAUUCAGCCUUAGAUUCCUUCAUGAGUGAAAGUAGUUAUUAUUAUUGGUUACAUUAUUAGUUGACUUUUUAAUCAUUUUGACAAAGAAAGUGAUUAAACAAAAAAAGAGAAAGAGAGAUGGAUAGAGUUAUAUUAAAAAUUAAACUAGUGAAAAGUUUUUAUCAUGUCAUUUUUUUUAUUUUUUUAUUUUAACACUACCUGGAAAUCAAUAUUUUGAUGAGACUCGGCAUGCACAUCAAAACUAUUUCAAAUAAAUAUAAUAAAAGACUUGGUUGAAGAUUAUACUAUAAAAAAUGACUUUAUAUUUCAUAUAAUAUUGCAUAAAAAAACUCAUCUGUAUGGCUCCCAGCUCCCAAAUAAGUCAUGUGGAUUAGUUCAGAGGUCCAUUUCUUAUAUAUAUAUAUAGAAAGAGAAGACAGUACUGACGGUGGAUUGGAUAAAUAUUAAAAUAAUUUUAAAUCCAAAAAUAUUUUAUUCAAAAUUAAACUAAGGAAAUCAAUACAGUGAUGACAUCAUCCACUCUUUUAAAACUCCUGAAAAUAAACCCCAUGCGUACUUAUUAUACUAAUUUAAAUAAAUAUAAUAAAAGACUUGGUUGAAGAUUAUAUUAUAAAAAGAAGACUUUAUAUUUCAUAUAUAAUACACAAAAUCUUGUCUCUGUAGGGCUCCCACCUUCCAAACAAGUCUUUGGAUUAGUUGAGAGGUCUAUUUCUUUAAGAAUAAAUUAGAGUGAUGCUUUGAAAUUUAGCAAAAGUUACCAGUAAACCAAUAUAAAUAUAGAUAGUUGAGAGUAUAGAUUAUGGCUCCUACCUCCCAAACAAGUCUUUGGAUUAGUUGAGAGGUCUAUUUCUUUAAGAAUAAAUUAGAGUGAAGCUUUGAAUCUUUAGCAAAGUUACAAGUAAACCAAUAUAAAUUUAGAUUAGUUUAGAGUAUAUAUAUAUUAUAAUAACUUAAUAUAAUUUAAUAAAUUGAUUUAAAUCAUAAAUAGAUUAAGCAUAUUUUAUUAAUAUAAUUAAUUUAUUCUAAAUCCUAAAUAAAUAUCUUUUACCUUAAUUGCUCACAUCUUGUGAGAAUUUCUUUUAUAUUCAUAUUCUAUAUUUAGGAAUCAUUUUUUAAAAAUAAAUAUUUGAUAGUAGUUUUCUAUUUCUACAAGAUUUUUAAUAUGAUUGUUUAACAAAUAAAUGUGUUAUUUAAAAUUAAUGAAAGUAAAUAUUGAUUAAAAUUAGUAAGGAUAAAAUUAUAUUUAUUUAUAGUUAUUCUAACUUCACUUAUGAAAGCGUCAAUUGAAAAGGAAUUUUUUUUUCAAAUACAAGGAAUUUUCUCAAAAAAAGUGAAAGUUUUCAUGGAUAGAUUAAUCUUUUAAAAAAUAAUGUUAUUCCAUAAACCCAGUCUUACAAAAAAAAAAUCAUAAAUGAGAUUUUAAAAAUAUAAAUUAUUUAUAAAUAUAUUUAUAAUAUUAUUUUAAAAUAUGUUUUAUUAAUAGAAUGUGAUAAUAAUUGAGUCAAGUCACUGAUGUCAAAAAGCAAAUAGAUACUUAGAUAAAUCUUAAAAGAAAAAGGAUGUUAAGUUAAAAAUUAACCUAAUAAAAAGUUAUCAUCAUAUCAAAUUAUUUUAUUUUAACACUAUCAGGAAAGCCAUACUUUGAUGUGACCCAUCAUCAACUAUUUUAAACCUCUAAAAAUAAACCCCAUGACCUGGAACGCACGUUAAAUUAUUUCAAAUAAAUGUAAUAAAAGACUAGUUGAAGAUUAUAUUAUGAAAUAAAACAUUAUAUUUCAUAUGUAUCACACAAAAACUUGUCCAUAUGGCUCCCAGCUCCCAAACAAGUCACAUGGGUUCAGAGGUCUAUUUCUUUAAGAAUAACGUGGAAUGAUGCUUUGAACAUCCAACAUAUGUAAGAAAAGACAUUCAGCAAAUUGAAAUCAAACAUAAUAAAAGACUUGGUCCAAGAUCAUGUAUCUUAUCGAAUAAAAAAUGACUUCUUAUUUUAUAUUGUAUAUAUCAAAGUCGUGAAGGCAAAUCAAACAAUUUAUAUGGUUUAUAUUGAAGUCGUGAAGGCAUAUCAAACAAUGGAUUCAUCGAAUCUUCAUAAAAAUGCAAAAUCUAAUUUUACUCAAAACUUUUCUAAAUGAAUUAAGAACUAUAGAGCAUGUUUGCUAAUUAUUUUUAAAAAUAAUUUUAGAAAAUAGUUUUUUUAAAAUGGUUUUUGAAAACUAUUUUUAAUAUUUUGUAUAACAAAAGUCUAUUUAAAAACUUGAAAUGUUUUAAACCUAUUUUUAAUAUUUUUAAAAAUAAUUUUUACAUCUAACAUUUUAUUUUGAAUAAUUUUACAUAUUUGUAUAAUUAUUUUUUAAAACAGUUAUAAAAAAAUAAUUUAAUGUUAUUUGAAAAUAUUUUAUUUUUUUUGUUCUUUAAAACAUAAAUAGAAAACGAUUUUUGAAUGCUAAAUAUGUUUUCUUGACUUUUUAUCAUAAAGAAUAAAAAACUAUUUUUAAAAACAAUUGUUAAACAAACUCAUAGUUUAUAAAUAAAUAUGCGAAAAUGUCAUAAUUUGAAAUUUUAUCACAAUUAACAAAGAAUUAGGGCAUGUGAAAGAAAAAAAAUCUUAAUAGGGUCAUGAUCCAAUGAAAGUAGUGUAAAUUCCUUAUAUUGCUAAAUAUAAAAUGUAGGGGUUACCUUUUUGGACUCCUACGAAAAGGAUGAACUAAAAUAAGCAAAACAAGAGAGAAGAUAUUAUAGUAGUAAAAUAAUCACUUAAUUUUAAUAUAGAGCCAAAUAACUCAUUGUUUUAUUUAUUUUUACAAUAAUUUGAAUAUGGACAUAAAACUUUGAAUUCAACAUCAUGAAUUUAUGGACCAUUAGUUGAUUUUAAGAGGAUUAGAAUUGCUUCAUAAUAUUUGAAAAAGUUUCAAUUAAAAAACUUGGUGUAUGUAAAGUUGUAAAAUCUAAAAAUGGUUCUAUAUAAUACUGAGACCAUCGAUGAUUUUGAUGAUUCUACAAAUCAUUUUUUUAGUAUAUGAUACAUUCUUGAAAAAAACUAUAAAAGUAUUUGAUUUUCUUCUUUAUAUCCAAAUACUGACCGAUUAUUUAUGGAAGUAUUUUUGACAAAAAUGUUGUUAUCAAAAGUGCGACAUGUUGAAAUUGCAUUUAGGACCAUCAUUUGAGAAUGGGAAAAAGAUAAAGCGAUUACAUAAAAUUCUUAUUUUAAUUUUGUCAUUUAUAUUAAUCUAAUUAAACUGUCUAUUAAAAUUUCAUUUCGUAUUUUUGUGUUGGUGUAAGUGCUAGAAUCCUAGACUAGAGGUCAAAUAGCAAGUUACUUUCAUUUUAUAAGUUGAUUUUUCUGAGGGUCAAGCUAACAUUAAACAACACCUUCGUUUGUGAGCAAACCAAGUAGGAGAAAGGGAGGGCUCCAUAAAAACCAGCAAGACCCACUCAGCAGAGCCCAUUUGGCUUAAGGGCCCUAACGAUCCAUUUAGAUGGGCCAAUUGCAAAGACUCCCUGACUAAAAUGAAAAUGAAUCAACAUUAGAAAAGUGUGCUAGCACUGAAAUAGCAAGCCAUAGCUCAGCUGCAUGCUGCUCUCCGUUCAGAAGACAAUGGGCGAGAGUUAUACAACCCGCUACCUUUAUUUUGAUGGAGUCCUUUCCUAGUUAAAACCCAUGUUUUGGUCAUGUAACUGGAUAAUAAUUAGAGGGUGUUUAGUAAAUAGUUUAAUGACUUAAUAAUUUAAUUUAAGUUAUUAAGUAAAUUAAACAUGCUUAUUAAAAGAAAUUAUAAUUAAAAGUAAUUUUUAAUUUUAAUUAUUAAGUUAAAAUAAUUAAUUUAUUCUUAAUCUUAACUUUUUUAUCUGAUUUACCUAUACUAGUAAAAGUAUAUUUUAGAAUUAUGAUUUCAUAUUUAUGACUUAUUUUUAAUAAUAAAUAUUUUAUGGUGAUCUUAUGCAUCUAUAGUACUUUAAAUAUGAAUAUUUUAUAAAUAAAUUUAUUAUCUAAAAUUAAUGAAAAUAAAUAUGAGUUAAAAUCAAUAAGAAUAAAUAUUCAUUAAAAUAAAAGAGGAUAAUGUGUUGACUUGAAAUUUUAAAAUAACUUUUGAGUAAACUUUAUCAAAUAUCCUUAAUAUUUAAAAUUAAAAUAAGUAAUAAUUUUUAAGUGAAUAACUUCAUAACAAUUUAACUUAAAGUGAGCAUAAAUCAUUAAGUAAUCACCCACUUUGAGAAUAUUUAUUAAAUUAAUUUAAUUAUUUAAUAUGACUUAAUUGUUGGGUUUAAGGAUAUGGAUACAAAAUAUUAGUCCAAAAGACACAAAUAAAUAACAGAAUGAAUAAAAAGAAAAAUUUAUCGGUUGAGGCGUGACAAGUACUAUCCUUGAAAUAGAUCCACCAUCCUCGAAGACGAACUUGGUACACUAGGGUACCAAUGGUCUACCUCUAGGAUUUAACGACUAGAUCUUGCCUUGGUUGCACUUUGUAAGCGAGAUGUGUAUAACUUAGGUUUAGAAAAAAUUCCUCCAAAUAGAUGUAUGAAAGACUUUUUGAAAAACUCCCUAAAAAAUUGGUAUUCAUAUAUAGAGAGAAAAGGGUGACUUGCUUUUAUAGGCCAAAUGAGAAUCUACUUGUAAUUAGAAUAUGACUCAAAGUGGAAGGAGAUUCCACUUAUAAAAGGAAUGAAACUCCACUAGCACAAUCCCAAUAGGACUCUUCCCAAAAAUAGAAGACUAAUAAAAUAGAAUAAAAUAAAAAAUAAUUCUCAAUAGGACUCUUCCAAAAAAUAUAAGACUAACAAAAUAAAAUAAAAUAAAAUAAAAAUAAUUCUCAAAAAUAAAAAUAAAAAUUAUUUACACUCUUCCUACAAUUCCCCACAAAGUGUAAACGUAAUUUUUUUUUUUUUUGAGGAAAAAAGAAUCCAAUGCAUCAGUAUUGGUACCCAAAGGCUAUGAACCAGUCUUAGAACAAAUAAGUAUUGAAUCACAAAACAUGGUAAAAAUAAAUUUUUAUGAACUAGUGUUUCUUUGUGUAACUCAAGGAACUUUUAUCCAUAUUGGUUUUCUCAACUAUAUUAUGAGCUAUACAAAACGGGUUGACACAAAUAGGCCAUACGUCCUACCGGGAUAUUCAUGAGAGCUUUAGAGAACUUGCCUAAUUUCUCAUAGGAAGCAGCCCCACCUUCACUCUCAUAUAGGUGAAUCCAUCAAGUAUGUUUUGCAUUUAAACAUACCAUUCAUAAGGAAUAUGGUAUUCAUUAAGAGUAAACACUCAACCUUAGUCAAUGCAAAAUACGCUUUAUCUACACCGUAGGAAUGGACUCUCAUACAAUUAGAGUUGAUAGAGCAAUUCAAGUCAACAAGUGAUUUGUUAUUACCCAUAUAAACCUACUUCAUGGAAUUUCCAUUCUAAUAGGUUAGGUUACCACCACUCUUGACUUCUGUAAUAGACAUAAGCCCCAUCAUUCUUGAUGUUUCUUCCACUAGUUUCUUAUUUAGUGGUUUGGUCAAAUGAUCGGCCAAAUUCAAUCUGACCUCACAAAUUCUAGGAAUAUAACCCCUGUUUCAAGCAGCCGUACAAUAUUGUGCCUUAGGCAUAUAUGCUUGUUCUUCCCAUUAAAUAUUUUACUCUUAGCCUUAGCAAUUGCAGUUUGGCUAUCACAUCGCAUAGACACAGAUGGGGCUGGUCUCGUCUAUAAAGGGAUAUUUUGCUAAGAGGUUUCUAAGCCACUCAACCUCAAAACUUGCCUUUUCUAAGGCAAUAAACUCAACCUCCAUAGUAGACCGAAUAAUGCAAGUUUGCUUGGAAAACUUCCAAGAAACUGCACUUCCACCAAGGAUGAAAACAUAUCUACUAGUGGAUUUCAUCUCAUCUGAAUCCGAGAUCCAAUUUGCAUCACUAAAUCCUUCAAGGACACUUGGAAAUCCACUAGAGCACAAACCAUAGUUAAUGAUGCCUCUCAAAUACUUAAGGAUUCUACAAACAAUAGUCCAAUGAUCCUGAUUAGGACUUUGGGUGUACCGACUCAAUCUACCUACUGCAUAAGCAAUGUCAGGUAUGGUACAGUUCAUUAAGUACAUUAGGCUCCCUAUGAUCUUAACAUAUUCUAUUUGGGCAACAUUAUGUUCUCUAUUUUUCUUCAACUGUGAGCUGGGAUCAUAAGGAGUUGACACUGGUUUACAAUCAAAGUAUUCAAACUUCCUUAGGAUCUUCUUAACAUAGUGCUCUUGAGAAAGUUUAAGCCCAUUAUGUGUUCUAAUUAUUUUAAUUCCUAGAAUCACCUUUACCUCUCUUAGGUUUUUCAUAUCAAACUUAGAACCUAGGAAUUUCUUGUAAGGUAUUCUAUUUUGAAUAUAACAUGCGGAUAAGAUAGCUUCCUCUCACAAGUUCAAGGGUGCUCUUGAACUUACCAACAUUGCAUCAAAGGUUUUAAGUUAAUCAAAAUGUAUCCAAAGUUCACUAUAUCAAUUGUAGAGAAAAACCCUUUUCUGCCAUCUCUUAAAGAAUGUCCCAUUGAAAGGAUCACUUUUAGAGGUGUCAAGAUGGGUGUGAACUAAGGAAGCUUCCAUUUGGAUCUAUUUCAAGAUUGUUGGGUUUAAGGGUAUGGAAAUAAAAGACUAGCCCAAAAGACACAAACAAAUAACAAAAUGAAUAAGAAGAAAAAUUUAUCAGAUAAUCGGAGAUGAAAAAGACGAUCCAAAAUUUUGUGAACAAUGCGGAGUCGAAUUUGUUGAUUCUCGAAUACGAAGAUAUCAAAUGGGCUACAUCAAACUGGCAUGCCCAGUAACGCAUGUGUGGUAUUUGAAAUGUCUUCCUAGUUAUAUCGCAAAUCUUUUAGAUAAACCUCUUAAAGAAUUAGAAGGCUUAGUAUAUUGCGAUGUGUGAUUUGAUCGAAAUUCUGAUUUUACAGAUUCAGAAUGAGAAACUGUCAUCCCAUUCAAUCCAAUUGGGAUGCCUCGGCUCUGACAUGUCUCUUAAGAGGAGUAACAUGAAGCUCAGAAUUAUGGGUGUAUUCUAUACUACCAAAUAAAAGGGUAAUUGAUCUUUGGUCGAUUCUGUAACAAAUAAAUAGGAAUGUGAGGCAUGAUAAGCACUGUCUUUGAAAUAGAUCCACCUUCCUCGAAGACGAACUCGGUGCACUAGGGUACCAGUGGUUUACCUCUCUGAAAAACUCUCUAAAAAAAAUCUCUAAAAAAUUGGUAUUCAUAUAGAGAGAGGGGUGACUUGCUUUUAUAGGCCACUAACAAAUUCUCAAUGGGAAUCUACUUGUAAUUAGAAUAUAAGUCAAAGUGAAAGAAGAUUCCACUUAUAAAAGGAAUGAAACUCCACUAGCACAAUCCCAAUAAGACUCUUCCCAAAAAUAUAAGACUAAUAAAAUAAAAUAAAAUAAAAAACAAUUCUUAAUAGGACUCUUCCCAAAAAUAUAAGACUAAUAAAAUAAAAUAAAUUAAAAAUAAUUCCCAAAAAUAAAAAUAAAAAUUAUUUACAUUCUUCCUACAUUAACAACUUAAAUUAAUCAUAUUUAUUAAGAUAAUUUAAUAUAAUAACUUAAAUUUAAAAAUAACUUUAAGUAUAUAUAAAAUCAAAAUAAUUAAUUUAUUUUGAAUCUUAAAUUUUUUUAUUUGCCUACAUCUAGUGAGAAUCUCUUUUGCAUCCAUAACUUCAAAUCUUAUUUUUCAUGCUAAAUAUUUUAUAGUUAUUUUAUGUGUUAAGAAUACCUUAUUAAAGGUAUGCUUAUGAAAUAAAUUUAUUUCGUAAAAUUCAUAAAAUUAAAUAUUAAUCAAAUUGAUAAGGUAAAUAUUAAUUAAUAGUAAUGAUGAUAAAUAUGUUAAUUUGAUAGUUUAGAAAAAAAUUUCAAGUUAAUUUUACCAAACCAAUUUAAUACUUAAAGUUAAAACAAAUUGAUAAAUUUUAAUUCAUUAACUUAAAAAUAAUUUAAUUUAAAGUUAACUUAAGUUAUUAAAUAAUAAGUAUUAAGUUUUAUUAAAUAUCUUCUUACAUAUAUUAGGUUUUAUAUAAAUCUAGAAGAAAAUUUAAAACCAAGUAGAGCUUUAGGUGGUAUUUGGUUUUUUUUUUUUUUUUCACCUUAAUAUUAAAUAUAAUUUGCUUUCAAAUAUCAGCUAAUUGCGAAAGCAACACUCAUUGUCACUCACGCAACUGCUACCUUUACAUGUUGUAUUUUUUACUCUCUCAAAGUAAAUUUCUUCUUCAUUUCUUCUCUUUAUAUAUGCUUUAUUUAGAUAGAGAUUUCAAUCAUCUUCACUCUUUCUUUGUCAAACUCGUGGGCUUGUUUCAUUAAAGUUUUUUUUUUUUUUUUUGCCAUGAUUUAUGCUUUUCUUACUUGUUUGAUUAUUGUGAUUUUUGUGGUUUGUUUGGUUAUUAGAUUUUUAUGGUUUCUUUGAUUGGAGAAAUCUAAAAUAAAAGAAUCAAAAUUUAGGAAUUGCAUUAGAAAUUAUAUAACAAUUUUUUUAACUGAAUUAUAUAUAUAAUUUUCAUAUUAAUAAAUUAAAUUCUAAUUGAAAAUGACAAAUCCUUAGUAAUGGAGUUAGUAAUAUUAAUUUUUAUAAUAUUAAUUUUAUAUUAUUGAUUUUAUUAUUAAUAAAACUAAUAUUGUAGCGAAGUUAUAAGUAUGACAAAAACUUAUUGAUUUUAUAACAAUGUACUCUUUAACAUUUCCUUCACUGCAAACUAACUUUAGAAUAUAUUUCUUUUAAAAGUUUAUGAUUUUCUCAGAAAAAUUAUUUCUAAUAAGAAAAAUUCUUUCUAAUGAUAGAAUAUAUGUAAUGUUAAUUUAUUGAGAUGAUAUAUUAAUAUAGACACUAAUAUAGUAAGAAAAAAACCAAUGUUUUUAAUACUAUUAGAUUUGUUGUCAAAUGUGGAUAUAAUAUUUAUGUAUUGAACUACACUAAAGUUACGUUAUGGCAUGCUUUAAUUUUGUUUUUAAAUAAUUAUAAAAAUAAAUAUUUUAUUUUAAUAUUUUUUAAUAGUUAUGUCGUAAAAAUAUUAAUAAAAUUAUUGAAAUCUAUUUAAUAAGAAAUAUAAGGACAAAUAUUUUUAUGUAAUAUUUUUUAACAUUAUAUUGUAAAAUUAAACAUUUCAAAAUUUAUGAAAUCUAUAUAAUAAAAAGUAUAAUAACUUUAUAUUUUGAAUUAUUAUAAUGAAACAAUUAUUUGUGAAAUUAUCAUAUUAUAUAUUAUUAUUAUUAUUAUUAUUAUUAUUAUUAUUUUGGAUAAGUUAUUUAUAAUAUUUUUAAAAUAAUAAUUAAUGAAAUAAUAAUUUAUAAUUAAUUAUUAUAUUAUUUAUAUGCAUUAAUAUCUUCAGCCUUGAAUUCUUCAAAUGAGUGUAAGGCGUGCAUUAUAAAUUAUAAUUAAUUUAUAAUUUAUAAUUACUAUCCUUCCCGAUAUUUUAAAUUUUAGUGUGGUCGGUUCUUGAACAGGCCCAACUUCCAUUUAAUGGAUUCUAGGCAGAAGCCCAACCCAUAUUGCCACCACCUAUUUAUUGGUUUUUUGGCAAAAAGCCUAUCCAAGCAAGCCCGCCUUACAUUGCCACAUGCUGGGAUCAACCUUAAACCCACAAGCUGUGGACAUGUCAACACCUUGGAUGAGUAAUGUUUUUAAGGCCCUCCAUAUCCUUCUUACCAUCUGUUGUGGGAUUGAUGGACCUUAAGUUGGGGAGAUGACAUGGGCACCACUCUACAACACCCCUUUUGAUGCUUAUUAUAUCAAACAAAAGAAAAUAUAUUAUUUUCUAAAAGAAUUUAUAAUAACAAUAUAAUAUUUUUAAAAUUAUAAAAUUAUCCCUAUGCGAGCUUGACAGUCAAACUAAUGCAUUUACACACUUUACUAAAAACAUAAAAGGGUUUUGCUUGUUUGUUUAGUAAAGUCAAGCUUUGACUUUGUUAUUGAACGAUGAAUUUUCAUCUCUAUUAUUGAUUUUUUUAUUUAAAAUUAAAGUAUUUCAAAUUUAUUGUUAAAAAAGGUUUCAAAUUUAUUUAAAAUAAACAUAAAAAAUUUUAUCUUUAUUUUGUUAAAAAGAAAUUUUCAAUUUUAUUUUAAGAGAAAAGACUUCUCAGUUUUAUUAAAAAAAUUUAAAUUUUAUUAUUAUUUAAGAAAAAUAUAUUUUUUCUUAUUUUUUUUUACUUAAAAGAUGAUUUUGUAGUUUUAUUUCAAGUUAUACAAUGUUAUUUUAAAGAAGGAUUUGACUAUUUUAUUUAAAAGGAUUUUGUAGUUUUAUUUAGAAAAAAAUAUUUUUGAUAGUCUUUUCUUAAAAAGAUAUUUUCCUACACAGUUUAUUAAACAAAAUUUUUUUGGACAGUUUAUAUUUAAAAGACAUUUUUGGAUAGUUUAUUUAAAGACUAUUUUGGAAAAUUUUAUUUAAAAAUCGUUUUUGAUAUUUUUUAAAAUUUAAAGUCAUUUUGACAGUUUUGAUUAAAAAAAAAAUUAUUUGCACAAUUUUUAUUCAAAAAACACUUUAGGUAGUUUUUUUUUUAAAUUAUUUUUAAAAAUGACCUGGCAGUUUUUAUUUUAUCCUAAAAAAAGUUUAAAUGUUAUUUUUUAUUUAUAAAUAAAUAAAUAGGUAUACAAAACAGAAUAAGGGAAAAACCCAAAUAGGUAAUGCUCUUGCUAUAUAUACUCGUCUUUGCAUCACUCACCCCACACACAUUCUCUUUCUCCUUGUGCAUCACCUUUGCUUUUUUCAGUUAAGUGAGUCUCAUAGUCAACUUCUUACAUUCCUUUCUUGGUUAUUCUCUUGAUCAAAUAAUGUAGUACUGUGCUGUUUUGCUUUAAAGGCAUGUCAUCAUUUGAUAAGUGAGAAGCAGCUGAAGGAGAUGGGAGAAACCUGACCUCAGUCGGUUCCAUCCCAAAUGCCACAGCAAUCCAGGCAGCAAUUGUUAGGAAUGGGGUCAUUUCUUAUGGUAUCAAGAUGGAAAUAUUCAUAGAUCUUCCUAUUGUUGGAAAGAUAAGUAUACCCAUUGAGGCAACGGGAAUAGUACCCGUACGCUUACCUUUUAUGAAUAUGAAUGCUGAUAUUGGUGCUGAUGGUAAAGAGGAGGAGAUAUACAAUUAGCAUGUACUAAAAAAAUUGGUGGGUUUAAACAUGUCUUUUAUUUUAUUUUAUUUUUUCCCAACUAACUCAGGCUCAAAAUUCCAACUUAUAUUUACAAAUCCCCAUUUAAUAAUUUGUAUGUGAUUCAUCACCACUCUGAUCACUACCUUUACGUUGUUAUAGAACCUCCAUCUCACGCAUGUAUGCAUGCAUAGAGUACGUACACCUUUCUAGUAACAGAUGGAUAAAAACUAUUUUUAUGCAUGCUUCCUCGUAUUACUAACCUUGGUUGCAAAUUGCAAUAUGUGAUUGCUUUUAUUUUUUUCUUCUAUCUCAUGCAUUCACUUGUGCACACAAUUCAUUGUUUCCAAUUUCAAUUCUUGCAGAAUUAGAGAAGGACCAUAGAAGAUGUCAGCAAAAGUGGUUUCCAUGAUGAGUUUCUAUUCUUCUUUUAUUGUCUAAGGUCAUCCUAAUAAUGGAUUAUUAAUAUUAUGUAAUUGAUUUGUAUGAUGAGUGCUUUCUCUUCUUCUUUUAUUGUGUCUAGGUCAUCCUAGCUAAUAAAGGAUUAGUAUUAUGUAAUUGAGCCUAGGAUGUCAACUAUGGACGCAUAUGUAUAUCUUUGGAGUUGUUGCUAUAUAUUUAUAUUAUUAUGAAUGUGCAUGUUUGUGUUGUAUUGUCUUUUGUUGAUAGAUAUUGCAAUUUGCAAACGAAAUUACGGGUCCCUAAGGCAACAUAAUUUGCUUUGUAGAUAUUCAUGUAAAAAGAAACGAGGAUAUGCUACAACUUUAGGAAAUGUAAAAGGAAUGAGCAUUGGCCUUUGGAAUCAUGGUUAAUAGCAUCCCCUCCAUAAUUGAAAAUGCAUUAUAUAUUAAUGGUUUGAAACACAUUUUGCGCAUAUAUCACUUUGAUGACAAAUGUUUUAAGAGUUUAUUUUGGUCCAUCUUUAUUAAUUUAAAAAUAUUUGCAUGCAAAUAACUUAUUCUCAAUAAAAUUUAUUUUGAAUCAAUGAUGAAGCAUCUCUUGGUUACCAAAGAGAUAUCCAUAUAUAUAUAUAUAUAUAUAGUGAUAUCCGUAUAUAAUCUUUGAUCAAUCUAACCUCUUUGUUGACAAUUUGUUUGUUAAUGAUGGGCUUUGAAGUGGAAGAAAAAAUUAAUCAUAGCUUGGAUUAAAAAAAAAAAAAAAACAGAAGAAAGUUUUACUUUGUAGACUGAUUUUUCUUGAGGGUCAAGCUGAAAUUAAACAACACCUUCAUUUGUGAGCAAACCAAGUGGGAGGAUGGAAGGGGCUCCACAAAAACCCAGCAGAGGCCUACUCAGUACAGCCCAUUAGAAUAGUGUGCUAGCACUAAAAUAGCAAGCCAUAACACAACUGCUUUCUCUCUGUUGUCAUAGGGGUUGCACAUAAGAGGAGAAUGAGCAAGAGUUAUACAACCGGCUACCUCCACUUCGAUGGAGUCCUUUCCUAGUAAAAACUCAUGUUUUGGUUAUGCAACCAGACAACAAUUAUAAUCUAUUUAAUUUAAGUAAUUAAGUAGAUUAAGUAUACUUGUUAAAGUAAAUUACAACUAAAAACCAUUUUUAACUUUUAAGUGUCAAGUUAAAAUAGUUGAUUUGUUUUUAAUCUCAAAUUUUCUUACCUAAUUUGUCCACACUAGUGAAUAUAUUUUAAAAUUAUAAUUUCACACUCAUGACUCAUUUUUUAUAAUAAAUAUAUUAAAGUAAUCUUAUGCAUCUACAAUUUUAACAUUAACGAAAAUGAAAAUAAGUUAAAAUCAGUUAGGAUAAUUAUUAAUUAAAAUUAAUUUGUGUCGAUGAUUUAGAAUAAAUUUUAAGUUAACUUAAUAUUGAAUGCAAUUUGCUACUAAACCUCAAUUUAUUUUUAAUUUUUACUUAUUUACUAAUAUUUUUACUUGAAUAAAAAAAGUUAAAAUUUAUGACUUUUCCCUCUCUAUAAAUUUUACUAUUAUGAAAAUUACAAGAUAAUUAACAGUAAUAACAAAUUUUAAAACUUAGAAAAAAGUGUUGAGAUUUUUUCAAUGACUAUUAUUAUUGAAUGUUUAAAUUAAAAAUAAAUUAGAAAUACAUACUAUUAUCUUGGAAAUAGUGAGUAGCAUAGUUGUGAUACAAUUCAUUUACAUUAUUGUAAACAUAAUGUAGCAUAGUUGUAAACACCAAGAAUAGUAUUAUUAUAAAUAUUUCAAAAAGUAAGGACAGAUAUAAUAAAUGAUAUAAAUGUAAAUAUGAUAAAUGAUGUUGUUAUAAAUGUUUCUACAUAUGAGGUUAAACAAUGUGUCACAACAAAAAUCGUUCAAGUCUCUAUUACAAAUCAUAGAUUAAAAAUAAAUUAGUAAUAUAUUAUAAUGGUUAUUGCGUAAUUGUAAUACAAUGAAUUGACAUUUUUGUAAAUAUAAUAAGUAGCAAAAUUAUAAAUGCGAUGAAUAGUAUCAUUGUAAAUAUUUCAAUAAAUAAAGAUAAAUAUAAUAAUGACAUUAUAUUAAAUAUGACGCAUGUGUAGAUAUAAAAAAAGAAAAAUUGUAUUAAAUUACCACUAAAUUGAUCAUUAAAUUUGUGACUUUUUAGUUCAACAAAAAUUUGAUUUGACAAGGGAUGAAUCACAUAUGUUAAGCAUGUGACAUGUUGUUCAAAAGGUUACACAUGACAAAAUUUGGGAGGUCAUAAAAUCAAAUCUUACAAAAUAAAAUCAAAUAAAAUGAUUAAAGUCAAAUUAGAAGAAAAUAUUGUCAUGUUUAUAAAUUGUCUUCAAAAUGAAGGAAAUUAAGAAGAAAUAUUUUCAUGUCCACAAAUUUCUUAAGUGAACAAGACAAUUUGUUAAAAUCAAUGAGUCAAAUUCUUUGAAUUAAAGAAUUAAAUCUUAAGAAUUUCAAAUUUUAUUAUUUAAUUUCAUUCAUAAAUAAAGGUGACUUUCUAAGAUGAAGGUGGAUGGAAGAAAAAGCUUUACCAUAGAAAUUGCUUGAUAGGAGGGCUUCAAAAAGAUUAAUGCCCUCAUGCUCUCCAACAUGAUGAACAAGCUAUGCUAAAUCCCUCAAUUGAACUUCUUAUAAAAAAAAAAUCUUAUUAUCAUUCAAGUGGUUAACUCAAACAAAGUUUCACAAUAAAAGCUAUUUUUGGCUUUUAUUAUAGGUCACCGACCCAGAGAUCAAUAUUGUGAAACUUGUCCAUAUAUAUGGCCUCAGACAAGUCAAGUGGGAAUUAUUUGUUUAAGAACAAUGUACAAUGAAUGAUGUGUUGAACAAUUAGCAAAUUUAUGUGAAAUUAAAACAAUAACUUGGUGAUUGGAGAUAUUAAACUAAUUUAAAUUUUAAGUCAAACAUAAUAAAAGACUUUAUCCAAGAACUUGUAUUUGUAUGGAAUAAAAAUUGACUUCUUGUUUUAUAUGUUUUUACGAUUUUAUUGUUCAAGUCAUGAAGGCAUAUCAAACCAUCAAUCCUCUAGAUCUUCAUAAGUUGAUCAUAAAAAUACAAAUCCUUAUGCUACUCAAAACUUGUGUAUACAUCCCAUGAAACUUGUAUACAUUCAUGAUAUUACCAAAGAUUUGAAAAUUAGUCUAGAUUGAUCGGUUUCACCAGUUUAAUAAUAUAAUGAUCAUUACUAAAGUUAUAAAAUUCUAAUUUAUAUAAUUUGGACAUAUGGAUAAAAUUAAAUAAUAGAAAAUUUCCUCUAUUUUGUACAAGUUCAUAGUUAAACAUUAUGCAUAUUUUGUUUAAUAAAAUUUAAAAUAUUAAUAUAUCAUAUUUAUCUUAUGAUUUAAUUUGAUAAUAUUAAAGAUAAAAAAUAAAUAUAAUCAAAGUUUUUAAUUAUAUAUAUAUCUGGACAAUUAUAAUAAUUUUUUAUUUUAGUAAUAUAUAAAUUAUCUAUUUAGAACGUCAUGAUUGUUUAACAGUGCUUCAACUAUUGAUUUGAUUAUUGAACCAUGAAUCAAUAAUUUUUUUAAUUCAAUGACCAAUUCAGUUAUAAAAAUAUUAGACAUUAUUAUUUACUAACUAUAAAACUAGUCUAAACGAAGCCUAAAUGUGAAAGUUGGCUAAAGGGAAGGGCCACCUUCAUUCCAAUGUUAUAAAAGAGAGUGGGGUUUUUAUUUCCAUGAACUGCUUAGCUACAUACAACAAGAAUUUUUCCAUUUCAUCUUGGCUAGAUCUUGAAAUUAAUUUUCAAUAUAAACUAUAUAGAAAACAAAUUCUCAUUUUUCCUUCACUUUUAAUGCCCGGAAGUAUUGAAUUAUUUUGGAAAAAAUUAUAAGAAUAAUAAAGAGAAUCAUAUCAAUGUAACUCCUAAAUAGUGCCAGAGCAAGAAAAUCUCACAUUUUGGUAAGUUUGUUGAAAGUAUAGUGACAUGUCUAAUACAAGGCAUUUCAAAACAACUUAAUGCUUACUAGUAAUAGUCUUGUCCUAUUUAAGAAAUUAGUUGUUAUUCUCAAAUACUUUAAUUCCUUCAAAUAGGGAGGGUUGUGUUUGGGUAAUCGCUCUUGAAUCCAUCUUCUAGUGAUUGUGCUUUCAUGUCGAGGGACUUUACAUAUUAUAAUAAAACCUCAAUAAAUAAACCUUGGAUAAAUUAAUAGUUUCGAUUAAAAAAUAAAAUCUUUUGGUCUCAAGCCAAUUUACAAAAUUAAUAACCUUGUUGAAUGUACAAGAUAAUGUUUUUUUUUUAUUAAAAAAAAUCCUUAAAACCCAAGAAAAUAUAAAUUAAUAAUUGAAGUCCACAAAAAAUAGAAAAAAUAAAUUUAUAAUACCAUAUUUAGUAAUGUUUUUAAAACUUAUAUUUUUCUCAAUUCAAUAUUUUCUCAAAACCAUAGCAUAUUUAAAAUCUCUUUAUCUUAUAUAAUAUUAACUUUUGAUAUAAUAUUUCUUCCUUUUAGAACUUUUUUUGAACUUUUAUAAUUAAUAACCAUAUCUUUUUUUAGAGUGUUAAGUUUCUAUGUAUUAAUUUUUUAAUACAUUCAUAAUUUUUGAUUUACAAAUCAUACUUGUAUAAUUACUUACAAAAGAAACAUAACACUUUUUUUUUUAUAAAUUACUAAUUAUUCAUUUAUUAAUAAAUCAAUAACCUCAUUAAAAUAAUAAUUUCUUUUGGUCUCGAGUGUUAUUUUAUAGACGUUUUAUUAUAGGUUCUUUUGAUGUAAUGCUUUUACUUUUCUAAAUUUUCAACAAAGCCAUGACCAAGAAAAUGAAAAAUGGCAAAGAUAAUAUGUUAGUUUACAACUCAUUCAUCCAAGUUAAGUCUAUUAGAGACUAGAAUAAUAUGAAUUGAUUAAAUAAAUGGAAAGACCUUAUUACACCAAUAAAAGAAUUAUAACUAAAUUCUUAAGUAUCAUUGAUCAAAUCGCAGUAUAUUUGCCCUAUGAAUUGAUGGUUUGAUGUGCCUCUACAUUUGCACACAAUAUGAGAUAUAACUAUUCAAGCAUUUGGGAAAAUAACUAGAAUGUCGGGUACUAGGAAUUGGUUACAAAAUAUUUAUGAAGUUAAUGGAUAUGAAAUAUCCUCAACAACACAUUCAUUGCUUAAUAUCAAUACAUAUAGGCAAGAAUAAUACUAAUAACGUUUCCUAAAUUCACUAACAAAUUAAAUCAUGGAGAGUUGAAUUGUAGCAAUCUAGAAAUAUCGAGCUUUAGAGCAAAGCAUACAAAAGAUCUAGCUUAUUUAUUGAAAAAAAUCAAGACACAUAAAGAGAAAAACCUUCCUCUAUUUACUUUAAAUGAAGGAAAUAUCAUUAGCUAGCGUCUCUCUACCAAGGAUGGUAUCUGUGCAGCUUCUCAAAAGAAGGAAAGCUCGCAUACCUGACAAAAAAAUGAAGACAAUAAAAACAAAAGGCCCUUAUUCUAAGAUAAGAUAAUAUAUAUAUAUAUGCAAACACUAUGUCAAAGAAAAAUACAAACACCUAUUCAUUUUUCUUCAUAUAGAAAAUUAAAUCAGUCGUCCUGGUUGUGGUUUGUCAUCAUCCUCGUCCUCCUGUUCAUCCUCUUCAUCCUCUUCCCCCUCUUUAUCUCCAAUGCGACUCCCACCUCUUUCUCUCUCUCUCUCUCUCAUCCACAUCUCAUACUCCUGUUCAUUGACCUCAUCAUCAUUAUCAUCCACGUUGCGGCCUGUCAUCAUCCACAUCCUCGUGUUCAUCCUUUUCCUCCUCUUUAUCUCCCUGUCCCACUCCCACCUCUUUCUCCCUCUCAUCCCAAUCUCUAUCAACCGCAUCAAAUCCUCAUUUUCAUUGACCUCAUCAUCAUCAUCAUCGUCAUUGACCACAUCAUCAUCAUCAUCGUCACUAUCUCCAUAAUUCCAUCCUACAUAAUCCUGAGCAUUCGGUACACAAAACAUCACAAUGGGUAGGAAUAAGGAAAAGUAUAAUAAUAAAAGUUUAAAAAAGCAAUUAGGAUGGGAGCACAAAUCAUAGAAUGGUAGAUCAAACCACUGCUAUAUUAUAUCCUUGUCUCCUCUAGAAGUGAUAGUGUAUUUUGGGCUAGAGUUGGACAACAUUUAAUAAAGACCCAUAAACAACGUUAAGUCCUAGAAGGUUCUUCUAUUCACAAAUGAGAGUAAGAAUUUCGUAUAAUUGUCUGUCUUUAACCUUUGACCAAAGGAAGGACAUCACUAUCAAUAUGAACAUGUCAAUUGCCGAUCUCCAAAGAUUGAAUGUUUUUGUUAACAAAAUUAAAAAUUAAAAAUUGUGUGAUUAAAUGUUUACAAUAAGUGACAAAGACUAGACAUUCCUUACUUCACUUAUUGCCCUUAAAUGAUGUGUAUUCCAUCAUAAAAUUAAUUUUCGAUACUUUGAAACAAAUCUAAGCAAAAGAAAAUUUAUCUUUUCUUUGUACUUUUGCUUGUGACUAAUUGAAUUGAUAGUUUGUGAAACCCAACACAAGUAUCAUUCACUCUAGGUUCUAACAACACUUCAAUUUUCUAAUCCAAUUAAACUCCUUAACUCAAAAACAAAGUAGAAAAGGAAAACACUGUGUACAAUAAAUAAUCAUUUUCUAUCUAAUAUCCAAUAUUAUCCUCAAUCAAACAUCAAAUAUUAAAGAAUUUUCAAAUUUUGAGAAUGAUUUACCUGCAAAUGUAAUUGACUGGUUGCCCCAAGAGCCUCAAGAUCCUUCUCAAACAUCACCUCGACAAUUAUAAACUAAAGAAAAUUUUGUUAAUAUAUUGGUUUGGAAUAUUUGAGAAUAUGAAAAUAUGUGAAAAAAAUAGACUCUUUAUAAAGGGAAAUUGGUAAAUUUCUUUCAACAAUAUAAACUUGAGAGACAUUUUUUUUUUAUGUAUAAUAACAUGGUUAUUCAAAGCUUCCACUGAUGCAACAACCCCAAUCUUAGAAAAACAACAAAAAAUCAAAGAUCUUCUGUGUCAUUUCUUGAAUAAUUGACAACUUAAUAAUCAAUUUUUUUCUCUAAGUACUAUAGCUUAGCAAUUUAACUAGGUUAGAUGCAAAACUAAUUCUCAUGUAUUUGUAUUCUAACUUAUAAUUUCAACCAUAAUAAUAGACUUUGUCUCAAGGUCUACAUUUGAACUAACUGAAAAUCUAUGUAUGAAUAUUUUGGCAAACACUUUUUGCACAAAAAAUCCUUUGACCUCUUCUUACUUGCCUUUAAAUUUGUUGAAAUUCCUAGGAAUGCUUUAGUUAUGUUUAAAAGGUUAGGCAUCACAGAGUGAUAGGUAUAGCUACUAAGCUAAGGGAACAAUUAACAACUAACAAAGCAAACUUAACCAAAACAGACAAUAAACCAAGUAACAACAAACAAUAAGAGCAUAAAAGGAUCCAUACAAACCCAUGCAGAAUUUUGCUUCCAUCAAAUCAGGUUCCUUGUACUAAAAAAAUUAAACAGACUAAACAUAACACAAACAUUAUAUGGGCUUGCUCUGUGUCUUUUUCUUAAAGUUAGACAAAUUUUUAAAGAAUCGCGAAGGUGAAAAAUAGUGUUAAUAAUACAAUAACAUUAGAAAAUUUCAAGAUAUAUACCUUCUCCAAAGUUGUAUUUCGGAUGAUGGUAUUGAAGUCACACCCCAAAUGUUCUUCCACAUGAUCGUCAAUUUUUACUUCCUUUACCCUUGGUGUACUUGCGACUCUCUCACAAAAAAAUUCCAUCUGAGGGCAUCUUUUCACCAAAAAUUGUUCCAAGGAUGGGAAUUUGAAGAUGCAUCUAGCUGAGUAGAACCAUUUUAGACUUUGUAAGUUAACAAGUCUCAACCUUUGUAAUUUGGAGAAAACAAUAUCAUAUGGUUCUUCACCUCCCUCAUGUCUAACUAUUUCUUCCACCAAUUCGCAUUUUUCUAUAGUAAGCACUUUGAGUUGCACCAAUGUUUUAGCCAUUGAGGACGUCACUAGAUAUAUUAAAUUUCCACAACCAUGUACUUCUAUAGAAUGAAGAUUCUUAAAAAUUUGACCCAAUCCAGAUAGAUAUGUCAACAAAGGUAGAUCUUCUAGGAACAUUUUAGUUAAUCGUGGGAGUGCCUCAACUUGAUAUUCCUUAUCAACAAGUUCGAAUACCUCUUUCACUGAAUUACACUUGCUCACAUGAAGUUCCUCUAGAUUAUGCAACUUUGGAAGCACAUUGGAGGGGAUCACAACCAAAAUGUCGUGACACUUUCUUAUCUUCAAAAGUCUCAGCUUGCAAAAUGACUCCCCUAAAAAUUGGCCUUGCCAUAUUUUCAUCUUGGAGCCCUUUAAGAUCAAUUGCUCCAAAUUAAGGAAUGCAUCCUGACAACCAAACAAACAAGAUUAACGAUAUGUCUUGUAUCUCUUUCCCCCCCCCCCCCCCUUCUUUUCUUUUUGGCUAAAUAAAUAAGUUCUAUACACAAUUGUAUGUACAAAAAUAUUUUAAAAUAAAGUAAGAAAGAAUACUCUUAUGGCAUACAAUUUUUUUUUUUUCUUAUUGUUAUGACUUAUAACUAAAGACCACGUUUGUUUACUUACCAAUUUUUUUUAAAAAAAAAGUCUACUAUAAUUUCCUUUCUAAUUUAUACUUAAGUACAUGAUUUUAGUUUCUUUUCUAUGUAUUUCAUCCAACGAACUAUGCAAAAAAUAAGUUAGGGGGAAAAAAAAUUUAGGAAUUAAUUUCAAGGAAAAAAAAAAGAAAAAGAAAAUUACUUAUGUAGCCUAAUAGCUAAUCAACAUUGGCUUUACAACUAAUGUCACCAUUAAACACAUACACAUAUUAUUUUCCAUACGAGAUAACAAACCACUACAUCUAAAUAAUCCAUUUGAAUUAUUUGCACUAUAUAUUAAUCACCAAAGACUCCCGAAUCAUUCGCACUUGACAUAUUAUAAUAAUUUGUUGGUUCUAUUACAUAAAAUUAUAAUUUGACCAUGAAGGUAUAAUUGUUGGAUAAACCAUAAUGCAUGCUAUACCUACAAACUCCUAUGACUUGUAAUCAAUUGUUUCUUAUUCUUUGGAUUACCAAGUCAUUUUAUCGUAAUUUGAUUAAUUUAGAAAUGGAACAUAAGCUUACUUAGGUCAAUUUGGGAUAAGUUUUAUACAAAAUGUAAACUUCAAAUUCCUACACUAUUCCAGUUUAAGAUUAAAACAAUCUCAUAUUAAUGAAAAAUGAUUAGGACAUAGUGUUUAAUGGACUAAAUUUAGCAAUCAAAAUAUGGCAAAAGAAAUGGAGAAAAAUCAAACCAUACCUUUUCCAACCAAAAGAAAGGUUGUUGAAUUGGACUAUCAAUACAACCUUUUGAAUCUAUUCCUUGAAAAAGUGUCUCCACUUGAUUGCAUUUCCACAUAAUUAGUUGUUUCAAAUGUGGCCAUCUUGCAAUAUAUUUUCCUCGGGAGAAACCUUUGAGUUUGUCUAAUUCUUCAAGUAUGAGAGAGGUUAGUUUAGGGAAUAAUGAAGACAUUAUUUCAUCUCCAUUUUCGUUUGCAACAAUUUCCUCCACUCCACAUUUUCUUAUCCCAAGGACAUUAAAUUGCACAAGGCCUUUUGCUAUUGUUACAGGAAAAAGGCAUUUCAAGCAAGGACAAUCAACGAUACAUAAUGACCAUAGGUUUUGAAAGGAGACAAGUCCUUGAGGAUCCUUAUUCCAUACACUCUUCAAACUAUUUAGCCCUUUUAAAGACAAUUUUCCCAAUGGAAUGAUUUCCUCGCAAUUUACUCCCCCUAGAUCAAAAAUCUCUUCUAUCGAAUCACAAUAAUAUAUGUUCACAUUCUCCAGACUUUGUAACCCUUUUAGGAUAUUGGAUGGAAAAACAUUCAACAGUUUGUUGCAACUUAAUAUUUGUAAUCUUUUCAAUUUGCAACAAGACUCUAGAGGAAGUUGGUUGGGCCACAUUGCUAUCACAUUAUCCAACUCGUACAUCAACAAGGACUCCAAGCUAGGGAGUGUAACCUGCACAAUCGAUCACAUUCAGUUCACAAUAUGUAUACCCAUGUAUAUAUAUAUUCGCGAUUGAGUUAAUAACCAGAUACAUAAAUAAAUAGAAUAUAAGAGGUUAAAGGUCAAGAUAUCAAUGUGACAAAGCACCAAACUAGAAGAAAAUAAAAGAGAAUGCAUAAUAUUUUAACAAUUGAAUGGAAUUUAAAGAUGUUAAAUUUGAGAUGAUUUUCAAAUGGGGCAAAAGGCUCCCAAUCUUUGGAUCUCUUUUUCAAAAUUGACAAAGACUAAUGGAUUAUAUAUAGAUAUGUUUCAUAGUCUUAUGAGAAGUAUCUACUCUUUUUACCUUGAAUUGAUUUCAUUCAAAAUAUUCCACAUAAAUACAAUAAAAAUAACUAUUAAACAAGGUGGUUGAAGAUCAGGUGAUUUAGAUGAGGCCUUUCCUUCUAGUUUUUUCUUACUUUGGAAACCACAAAUGCAAUGGAUGCUCAGGCAUGAGCCUUCUUUCAUUAAUGAACCUAGCCUUUAGAUUCUUAAAGCUUGUUUGUUGGUGUAACAUAUAUAUAUAUAUAUUUGAGAACAACAUUUUUUUAAAUUUACAACAGUAUUUGAAAGUUGUUCUAUAAUCAAUUUUUAAAAAGAAAGUAAAAUAAAGAAUAGAUUUUAGAAAAUAAGUAGAAGUUACUUUCAUCUAUUUUUAAAAACAAAAGGAAACUAUCAACAAAUAAAAAAUAUAUAUUUAAAAAAAAUCAUUAAAAAAAUAAAGUUUAACAAAAUUUCAUGCCUCUAAAUUACACAAAUUUUUUCUAAAUUUCUUUUAACUUAAUUUUUUUUACUAUACAAAUAGAUUCUAAAUCAAGUUACAUUUAAUAUAUAUAUAUAUAUAUAUAUAUAUAUAUAUAUAUAUAUAUAUAUAUAUAUAUAUAUAUAUAUAUAUAAUUACUAAUUUUAAAAAAUAAUUUUAGAAUAAAAAAACUAAGGCAAUAAAUACUAGAAAAUCAUGGAACUUAAAAUCAAUCUAACAAAUAUUAAAAAAUAACAAUUUAAAUCUAAUCUUGAAUUACUUUAUCAAUUUCUUCUUUACAAUAACUAUUCAAUAGGUAAAUAAACCUCAAAUCAAGGAAGACUUGAUGUAUUGGAAUCUAGCAAGUUUAACAAUAAUUUAAAACUUUAAUACUAAUCUAAUGAAUACAAAAAAUUUAUGAAUGAAAAUUGGUUCAAAAGAACCAUAGACAAAUAAACUCUAAAUCAAAUAAGACUUAAUAUUUAGAUUCAUUACCAAGUCUAUUAAAUUUAAAAAGUAAUUUAUGAUUCAUAAAAUAACCCAAUCACCACUAGAAAUUCAACGACUAAAACUAGUCUAGAACAACUCUUUUUUUUACUUCUCCUCUAUACGUAAAUAUUUUGAUGAUUUUUUUGUUAGAAAAUAAAUUUUAAAUCAAACAAAACUUAAAAGUUUUAGAUUUAUUAAUGAGUGCACUCAUUUUUAAAAAUAAUCUUGAACUCAAAAAUAAGUUUAAACAAUAAUUGAAUAGAAUAGACCAAAACUAGUCCAAAAUGAGUCGAUGAGAGCUAUAUUGUUUCUCCUUCGCACCUUACCAUACUUUUCCAAUUUUUCUCAUUAAGUAAAUAAAUUAAAUAAAGUGAUAUCAAAACUUAAUGCUUUACAUACUGUAAUGAAUCUAUUAAUUUUUAAGAACAAGAUGGAAUUACAAAAAUUGACUGAAUAAAUUUUAAAUUGAAUCAAAAUUGGUUCAAAAUACUUUAUCCAUUAUUGAAUAUUGAAAAAUCUAACUUAUUUACAUAUAUAUAAAAAAAAUUAACAUUAAUUUUUAAUUUGUUUUAAAUAAAAUAUUAUUAAUUAUUAGUAUUUUUAAAUUAUAAUCAUUCAUUUUUAACAAAAAAUCAAUUAUGCAUUUGUAAAAAUGUUGAUAUCCAUAUUUUAUAAUUUAUAUUAAAAUGCCCCAAUUUCUAAAUUUUAAAAAAACUCAUGAUUUUAUUAUAAUAUUAGUAUCCAUAUUUUAUUACAAACCAUUUAUUUUGUUAAUUUAUUAGUAAUUAAAAAAAUUUAUUUCCAUAAGACUUGAAUUAAAUCGAAUUAAUAUUAUAUAAAUCAACUUUACAAAUUUUAUUUUUUUUUUUACAAAAUCUAAAUAUAACAUUUAUUUUUAAAAACAGCAAUAUUUAAUAAACGAACCAGGUUUUAAUCUUUUUGUUGUUUAAAAUGUGUUUCUCAAAACAUUUCAAACACUCUUUAUGUUGAGAACAAAAAAACAAGAAAAUUAUUUGGCAACUACCAAAAAAAAAUUCUGCUCUCCAAAACAAAAAACAUGUGUUUCAGCAUAUAUUUCAGUUAUUCUAAUUGUUUUCACUUACUUUUUUUGUUUAUUUAAAAAAAAUAAAACAAAUAUAAAGAAUAAUAAAAAAUAAAACAUUCCGCAUAAAAUUUAUUCUUAAAAAAUAUUUGAAAACAUAAAAAAUAAGUUGAAAACAUUGUAAAUUGUUAAUAUACCUAUCAAAAAAAAAAAUUUGUAAGUUAUUAAUGUACUCUACUCUAGAAAAACAUCAUAGAAUUAUUUUAAAAUUUGUUCUCAAAAAUUGAUUUUUGAAUAAUGUAUUUAAAUUGGUGUUGAAUUAAGAUUAGCAGAGAGACUAGGAAAGAAAAGGAAAGUGAUAAAAUUUAUGGGGCAAAGCAUACUGCAUCCAUAUUAUGGAUAAAAUUAAGAUAAUUUUAAAUUGAAUACUGGUUGUUUUAAUUUAUGUUUUCUCAUAUUUUACUUAUUUAUUAAUGGCAGAAAUUGGAUAUCAUUCAAAUUUUAACAUACCUGUUCAUUGAAGAAUGGUGUGGGAACAUCACUCGUACAUAACUCCUGGGUAGCACUGCUUCCUGUGGAGGAGAAGUCCCGUGUCGAAUCCAAGGAUCCCAUUUGACGAUUCACCCAUCGAUCCCUUCCUUGCUCCAUGGGAAGGAAAUUGAAAGAUUUCAACCUCUUACAAUCAUCCACUCUUAGAAAACGUGACUUCCCAAAAGAUCCCUCUGGAAUUGCGCCAUCUUCCUCUUCUUUGACCUCAUCAUCAUCAUCAUAAUCAUCAUCGUCGUUGACCUCAUCAUCAUCAUCUCCAAAAUCCCGUUCUUCAUAAUCCUGGGUAUACGGUACACAAAACAUCACAAUGGGUAGGAAUAAGGAAAAGUACAAUAAUGAAAGUUUAAAAAAGCAAUUAGGAUAGGAGCACAAAUAAUAGAAUGGUAGAUCAAACCACUACUAUAUUGUAUCCUUGUCUCCUCUAGAAGUGAUAAUGUAUUUAGCCCAAAAUCUUGAGCUAGAGUAGAACAACAUUUGAAAAAGACCCAUAAACAGCCUUAAGUCCUGGCAUGUUCUUUUAUCCACAAAUGAGAGUAAGAAUUUCAUAUAAUUGUCUACCUUUAACCUUUGACCAAAGGAAGGACAUCACUAUCAUUAUGAAGAAGUCAAUUGCCUAUCUCCAAAGAUUCAAUGUUUUUGUCAACAAAAUAAAAAAUUAUAAGUUGCAUGAUUAAAUGUCUACAAUAAGUGUCAAAGAAUGGACAGUCCUUAUAUAACUUACUACCCUUAAACGAUGUGUAUUCCAUCAUAAAAUUAAUUUUCGGUACUUUGAAACAAAUCUAAGCAAAAGAAAAUUUCUCUUUUCUUUGUACUUUUGCUUGUGACUAGCUGAAUUGAUAGUUUGUGAAACCCAAUACAAGUAUCAUUCACUCAAGGUUCUAACAAUACUUCAAUUUUCUAAUCUAAUUAAACUCCUUAACUCAAAAACCAAGUACAAAAGGAAAACAUUUUCUGUCUAACUUCCAAUACUAUCCUCAAUCAAACAUUAAAUAUCAAAGAAUUUUGAAAUUUCGAGAAUGAUUUACCUCCAAAUGUAAUUGAGUGGUUGUCCCAAGAGCCUCAGGAUCCUUCUCAAACGUCUCCUUGGCAAUUAUAAACCAAAGAAAAUUUUGUUCAUAUAUUGGUUUGGAAUAUUUGAGAAUAUGAAAAUAUGUGAAAGAAGAUAGACUCUUUCUAAAGGGAAAUGGGUAAAUUUCUUUCAACAAUAUAAACUUUAGAGACAUUUUUAUUUUUAUGGAUAAUAACUUGGUUAUUCAAACCUUCCGCUGAUGCAUUAACCCCAAUCUUAGAAGAACAACAAAAACUCAAAGAUCUUCUCAUCUAUCAUUUCUUGAAGAAUUGACAACUUAAUAAUCAGUUUUUUUUCUCUAAGUAUAAUAGCUUAGCAAUUUAAUUAGGUUAGAUGCAGAACUAAUUCCCAUGUCUUUGUAUUCUUACUUUUAAUUUCAACCAUAAUAUCGGACUCUAUUUCAAGGUCAACAUGUGAACUAACUGAAAAUCUAUGUAUGAAUAUUUUGGCAAACACUUUUUGCACAAAAAACCCUUGACCUCUUCAUACUUACCUUUAAAUUUGUUGAAAUUCCUGGGAAUGGUUUAGUCAUGUUUUAAAGGUUAGGCAUCAAAGAGUGAUAGGUAUAGCAACUAAGCUAAGGGAACAAUUAACAACUAGCAAAGCAAACUUAACCCAAACAGACAAUAAACUAAGCAAUAACAAACAAUAAGAGCAUAAAAGGAUCCAUACAAACCCAUGCAGAAUUCUGCUUCCAUCAAAUCAGGUUCCUUGUACAAAAAAAUUAAACAGACUAAACAUAGCACAAACAUUAUAUGACCUUGCUCUGUGUCUUUUUCUCACAGUUAGAAAAAUUUUUGAGAAAUGAAAAAGAAAUAAAAUUAGAAUUCACAAAUUUUUAAAGAAUUGCGAAGGUGAAAAAUAGUGUUAAUAAUAUAAUGACAUUCGAAAAUUUCAAGAUAUAUACCUUCUCCAAAGCUGUAUUAGGGAUGAUGGUAUUGAAGUCACACCCCAAAUGCUCUUCCACAUGAUCAUCAAUUUUUACUUCCUUUAACCUUGGUGUACUUGAGACUCUCUCACAAAAAAAUUUCAUCUGAGGGCAUCUUAUCACCUCAAAUUGUUCCAAGGAUGGGAAUUCGAAGAUGCAUCUAGUUGAGCAAAACCAUUUUAGACAUUGUAAGUUAACAAGUCUAAUCCUUUGUAAUUUGGAGAAAACAAUAUCAUAUGGUUCUUCACCUCCCUCAUGUCCGACUAUUUCUUUCACCGAUUUGCAUUUUUCUAUAGUAAGCUCUUUGAGUUGCACCAAUGUUUUAGCUAUUGAGGAUGUCACCACAUAUAUUAAAUUUUCACAACCACAUACUUCUAGAGAAUGAAGAUUCUCAAAAAUUUGAACCAAUCCAGAUAGAUAUGUCAACAAUGGUAGAUCUUCUAGGACCAUUUUAGUUAAACGUGGGAGUGUCUCAACUUGGUAUUCCUGAUUCACAAGUUCCUUCAUUUGGAAUACCUCUUUCACUGAAUUACACUUGCUCACAGAGAGUUCCUUUAGAUUAUGCAACUUUGGAAGCAUACUACAAGGUAUCACAACCAAAAUGUCGUGACACAUUGUUAUCUCCAAAUAUCUAAGAUUGCAAAAUGACUCCCCUGAAAAUUGGCCUUGCCAUAUUUUCAUUUUGGAGCCCUUUAAGAACAAAUCCUCCAAAUUAUGGAAUGCAUCCUGACAACCAAACAAACAAGAUUAACAAUAUGUCAUAUAUCCCCCACCCAAAAAAAAAAAAAAAGAAUACUCUUAUGGCAUACAAUUUUUUUUCUUAAUGUUAUGACUUAUAACUAAGGACCAUGUUUGUUUACUUACCAAAUUUAAAAAAAAAAAAAAAAAACUAUAAUUUCCUUUCUAAUUCAUACUUAAUUACAUGAGUUCAGUUUCUUUUUUAUGUAUUUCAUCCAAUGGCCCAUGCCAGAGAUUAAGUUAAGAGGAAGAAAAAUUUAGGAAUUAAUUUCAUGGAAAAAGAAUAAGAAAAAGAAUAAUUUAAGGGGAAAAAAAAAAUAAAAAGAAAAAUAAAAUUACCUAUGUAGCUUGAUGGCAAAUCAACAUUGGCUUUACCACUAAUGUCACCAUUAAACACAUACACAUAUUAUUUUCCAUACUAGGGAUAAUGAACCACAACAUCUGAAUAAUCCAUUUGAAUUAUUUGCACUAUAUAUUAAUGACCAAAGACUCUCUCCUAAAUCAUUAGCACUUGACAUAUUUUGAUGCAAUAUAGAAAUUACUAUAUCUUGGUUUGAGAAUAAUUUAAAUAAAUUAAUUCUUAUGGCUUUAUAUGAAUUCUAUGAGUUCAAUAUUAAUGUAAGCAUAAUAUAAAAAAAGAGGCUUCAAAAUAAUUUAUUUUCAUUAUAGGUUCAAUCAUGUUAAUUUAAAUAAAUCAAUUGUUUAAAUUUAUUAUAAUCUGUUGGUUCUAUUACAUAAAAUCAUAAUUUGACCAUGAUAAUUCAUACUAAGUGAGUACCUAAAUAAUUUGAUUAGUCAUAAAACAUAAAAGCAUAAAGGUAUAAUUUCACUGGCACUCAGCGCUCUUUCAUUCCAUUGUGUAAUUGUUGGAUAAACCAUAAUGCAUGUUAUGCCUACAAACUCCUAUGACUUGCAUUUGACUGUUUCUUAUUCUUUGGAUUACCAAGUCAUUUUAUCGUAAUUUGAUUAAUUUAGAAAUGGAACAUAAGCUUACUUAGGUCAAUUUUGGAGAAGUUUUAUACAAAAUGUAGACUUCAAAUUCCUACACUAUUCAAGUUUAAGAUUAAAACAGUGUCAUAUUAAUGAAAAAUGAUUAGGACAUAGUGUUUAAUGAACUAAAUUUAGCAAUCCAAAUAUGGCAAAAGAAAUGGAGAAAAAUCAAACCAUACCUUUUCCAACAAGAAGAAAGAUUGUUGAAUUGGACUAUCAAUAUAACCAUCUGAGUCUAUUUCUUGAAAAAGUGUCUCCACUUGAUCACAUUCCCACAUCAUUAGGUUUUUCAAAUGUGGCCAUCUUGCAAUACAUGUUCCUCGAUAGAAACCUUUGAGUUUGUAUAAUCCUUCGAGUGUGAGAGAGGUUAGUUCAGGGAAUAAUGAAGACAUUACUUCACCUCCAUUUUCAUUUGCAACAAUUUCCUCCACUUGACAAUCUUCUAUCAUUAGGGAUUUAAGUUGCACAAGGCCUUUUGCUACCAUAAUUGGAAAAAUAUAUUUUAAAUAAGGACACCUAACGACUUCUAAUGACUGUAGGUUUUGAAAGGAGACAAGUCCUUGAGGAUCCUUAUUCCAUAUUCGCUCAGUGGAAUGGUUGCAUUAUCAUGAAUUUCCUUGCAAUUUACUCCCUGUAGAUCAAAAAUCUCUUCUAUGGAAUCACAAUCUGAUAUUUGCACAUCAUCCAAACUUUGUACCCCUUUUAGGAUAUUUGAUGGAAAAACAUUCAGCAAUUUGUUGCACCUGAAUAUUACCAACUGUUUCAAUUUGCAACAAAACUCUAGAGGAAAUUCGUUGUGCCACAUUGCUAUCACAUUAUCCAACUCGUACAUCAACAAGGACUCCAAGCUAGGGAGUGUAACCUGCACAAUCGAUCACAUUUGGUUAACAAUAUGUAUACCCAUCUAUAUAUAUUCCCAAUUGAGUUGAUAACCAAACAUAUAUAAAUAGAAUAUAAGAGGUUAAAGGUCAAGACAUCAAUGUGACAAAGAACAAAACUAGAAGAAAAUGAAAGAGAAUGCAUAAUAUUUUAACAAUUGAAUGGAAUUUAAAGAUGUUAAAUUUGAGAUGAUUUUUAAAUGGGGCAAAAGGUUCCCAAUCUUUGGAUCUCUUUUUCAAAAUUGACAGUCUAAUGGAUUAUGUAUGCAUUUGAAGCACCCAUGAUAGUCACCUAUUGAUUUGUUUCAUAGUCUUAUGAGAAGUAUCUACUCUUUUUACCAUGCAGCCAUUCCAUUCAAAAUAUUCCACAUAAAUACAAUAAAAAUAACUAUUAAAGCAGGGUGGUUAGAGAUUAGGUGGUUUAUGAUGAGGCAUUUCCUUCUAGUUUUUUCUUACUUUGAAAAUCACAAAUGCAUAGAUGCUCGGACAUGAGCCUUCUACAUUCACUAAUUAACCUAACUUUUAGAUUCUUAAAGCUUGUUUGUUAGUGUAGCAUAUACAUAUAAAUUUGAGAAUGAUAUUUUUUUACAUUUACAACAAUAUUUGAAAGUUUUUCUUGAAUUAAUUUUUAAAAACAGAGUAAAUAGAGAAUUGUUUUUAGAAAAUAAGUAGAAGUUACUUUCAUCUAUUUUUAAAAACAAAAGGAAACCAUCAACAAAUAAAAAAUAUAUAUUUUUAAAGAAAAUCAUUAAAAAUAAAUAAAGUAUAACAAAAUUUCAUGCCUCUAAAUUACACAAUUUUUUUCUAAAUUUCUUUUUUAACUUAAAUUUUUUUUACUUUACAAACAGAUUCUAAAGCAAGUGACAUUAUAUAUAUAAUUUACUAAUUUUUAAAAAUAAUUUUAGAAUAAAAAAACCAAUCCAAUAAAUACUAGAAAAUCAUGGAACUUAAAAUCAAUCUAACUAAUAUUAAAAAAUAACAAUUUAAAUCUCAUCUUGAAUGACUUUUUUUAAUAGGUAAAUAAAACCCAAAUCAAGGAAGACUUGAUGUAUUAGAAUCUAACAAGUUUAACAAUAAUUUAAAACUUAAAUGCUAAUCUAAUUAAUACAAAAAAUUUAUGAAUGAAAAUUUGUUCAAAACUAUAGACAAAUAAACCAUAAACCACGUAAGACUUAAUAUUUAGAUUUGCUACCAAGUCUAUUAAAUUUAAAAAGUAACUUAUGAUUCAUAAAAAUAACCCAAUCACCACUAGAAAUUCAACAACUAAAACUAGUCUAGAACAACUGUUGUUUACUUCUCCUCUAUAUAUAAUUAUAUUUUAAUGAUUUUUUUAUUAGAGAAUAAAUUUUAAAUCAAGCAAGACUUAAAAGUCUUAGUUUUAUUAAUGAGUGCACUCAUUUUUUAAAACAAUUUGGAACUCAAAAAUAAGCUUAAACAAUAAUUAAAUAUAAUAGAUCAAAACUAGUCCAAAAUGGGUCAUGAGAACUAACUGUUUCUCCUUUGCACCUCACUAUACUUUUCCAAUUUUUCUCAUGAAGUAAAUAAAUUAAAUAAAGUGAGAUCAAAACUUAAUGCUUUACAUUCUGUAAUGAAUCUAUUAAUUUUUCAGAAUAAGAUGGAAUUAAAAUAAUUGAUUGAAUUAAUUUUAAAUUGAAUCAAAAUUGAUUCAAAAUACUUUAUCCAUUAUUGAGUAUUGAAAAAUCUAACUUAUUUACAUAUAUAAAAUUAUUAAACUUUAAUUUAUAAUUUAUUUUCAAUAAAAUAUUAUUAAUCAUUAAUAUUAUAUAAACCAAUUUUACAUUUUUUAUUUUUUUUUACAAAAUCUAAAUAUAACAUUUAUUUUUAAAAAACAGCAAUAUUUAAUAAACGAACGAGGUUUUAAUCUUUUUGUUGUUUAAAAUGUGUUUCUAAAAACAUUUCAAACACUCUUUAUUUUGAGAACAAAAAAACUAGAAAAUUUUUUGGCAACUACCAAAAAAAUAAAAAAAAAUUAUGCUCUCCAAAACAUAAAACAUGUGUUUCCUGUAGCAUAUUUUAGUUAUUUUAAUUGUUUUCACUUUUUUUUUGUUUAUUCAAAAAAAAUAAAUCAUUACAUAUAAAAUUUAUUUCUAAAAAAUAUUUGAAAACAAAAUAAGAUGAAAACAUUUUAAGUUGUUAAUAUACUAAUAAAAAAAAUGUACGUUGUUAAUAUACUGAAAUCAUCAUAGAAUUAUUUUAAAAAUUGUUCUCAAAAAUUGAUUUUUGAAUAAUGUAUUUAAAUUGGUGUUGAAUCAAGAUUAGCAGAGAGACUAGAAAAGAAAAGGAAAGUGAUAAAAUUUAUGGGGCAAAGCAUACUGCAUCCAUAUUAUGGAUAAAAUUAAGAUUAUUUUAAAUUGGAUACUGGUUGUUUUAAUUUAUGUUUUCUCAUAUUUUACUUAUUUAUUAAUGGCAGAAAUUGGAUAUCAUUCAAAUUUUAACAUACCUGUUCAUUGAAGAAUGGUGUGGGAACAUCACUCGUACAUAACUCCUGGGUAGCACUGCUUCCUGUGGAGGAGAAGUCCCGUGUCGAAUCCAAGGAUCCCAUUUGACGAUUCACCCAUCGAUCCCUUCCUUGCUCCAUGGGAAGGGAUAUGAAAGAUUUCAACCUCUUGCAAUCACCCACUGUAAGAGAACGUAACUUCCCAAAAGAUCCCUCGGGAAUUGGGCCGUAGCAUACUGCAUCCAUGUUCUGGAGUCGAGAAAUUUUCAAACUCUCCAAGAUAGGAAAGGCACUGCGUGAUGAGACCCCUUUGGUCGAGUCAACAAUGUAUUGAAUCCUAGGACAAUCACUGAUAUCGAGAUGCUUGAGUUGAAGAUGGGGCAAAGCAUACUGCAUCCAUAUUAUGGAUAAAAUUAAGAUUAUUUUAAAUUGGAUACUGGUUUUAAUUUAUGUUUUCUCAUAUUUUACUUAUUUAUUAAUGGCAGAAAUAUGAUAUCAUUCAAAUUUUAACAUACCUGUUCAUUGAAGAAUGCUGUGGGAACAUCACUCGUACAUGACUCCUGGGUAGCACUGGUUCCUGUGGAGGAGAAGUCCCGUGUCGAAUCCAAGGAUCCCAUUUCACGUAACACCGAUCCAUCCCUUCCUUGCUCCAUCGGAAGGGAUAUGAAUGAUUUCAACCUCCUACAAUACUUCACUGUUAAAGAACGUAACUUCCCAAAAGAUCCCUCUGGAAUUGGGCCAUAGCAUACUGCAUCCAUGUUCUCGAGGUUAAAAAUAUCCAAUUCCUCCAACAUAGGAAAGGCACUGUGUAAUGGGACCCCUUUGGUCGAGUCAACAAUGUAUUGAAUCCCAGGACAACCAUCUAUUUUGAGAUACUUGAGUUUAAGAAAACCUUGGGUAUGAAGCUCGUAAAAAAAAAAUUUAGUGUCCAGAUCUUUUAACUCACACAAUUCUAAAUCUUCGACUGUCUUGAACAACUUGGAAAAGCAGUCCACCAAACAAGGUUUGUUAACCCUCAAGAGCUUCAACGUUCUUGCGGAUCGAUUAUAAUCAACUAAAUUUGGGUUGUGAGUCAUUGAUAUCACAUAUCUGGUAAGCUUCUCAAAGACCACCAGAUCUUUUGAUACCAAAUUGGGAUCUCUUAUUACUAUAAAUAAAGUCUCCAAAUAGGACAAGUUGUUCAGCUCAGAAAGGCAAGCAUUAUUGCUUUCUCCACUACCAAAUCAUUCAACCCCCCAUGUGGUAAAACUUCUUCCUAAACAUAAAUGCUGCAAUCGAGAUAAACUUGAUAUGACAUUCCGUGGAAUUACUUUUAAAUAAAAGCAAUGCCACAAGUCCAGCACCCUUAGAUCAGUCAAUUGCAUCAUUUCUUUCGGCAACCGUUCAAAUUCGCAAUAUGCAAAACUAAGAACUUGAAGCUUCUUUAGUUCUCCAAUUACUGCUAUGUCUUGGAAUUUGCAUUUGUAUACACGCAAUGUUCGAAGAUUGGAAAGAAAACCAAGUGAUGAAGGCAGUGGUGUAAAAUGCGUUGCAGACAAGUCCAAAACUUUUAGUAGUUCCGUCUUUUCAAAAAAGGUGUCUGGAAUUCUCAAAGAAUCAUCAUCACCAUUCAAUAAAAAGAAUUCAAGUUUGGAACAUACCAAUCUUUCCGGAAGCUCACGGGGAUCUCUGCAUUGCAAAGAUAUACGACGGAAAUUUCUGAACUCCUUCUUUUGCCAUGCUUCUAAUCCACGAGCUUCUUUGAUCACAACAAAUCGAUGAGGAUCUUUUGCUGCAAUUGCUCUGGCAACAUCACCAACAACAUCAUGCAUUCUGACAAACCUGUUUUCAUAAUUGUCUCCCAAAAACACACCUGGCCCCCCCACACCUAGCAGAUUUCUAUCUUCAGCAUCAAGCAGCAAGCUUGAGUCUUUGAGGAUUUUGACCAAUGCCAGUAGUUUAUUUCUUGUUUGCUCCAAUGAAGUCACGUCUGUAAACACGUCUUCAAACAAAUCCAAACCUAUGCCAUAUUUUAACAAUUGAUCCAUUGAAAUAUCACCAUAGCCCAGCAUACCACAAAGUAAGAACAAAAGCUUCACUUCAUCACCUUCCAAGUAGUCGUAGCUAAACUUCAGACAAGCGUAUGCUUUAUCAGGCACGCCGUCGAUUUUCAUUGCUGCAGAACGCUGCAGUGCUAGCAAAGCAUUGCUCCACAUAUAAUUACUCUGGAACUUUAAUGCCUUUGCAACUGUUACAAUGGCAAUUGGUAGACCAGCACAUUCUCUAGCUACUUGAAUUGCUAUGGAUUUAAGCUCGUCCACUGGAUCACCUGCUGUCUCCUUAAAUAAACUCCAGGCUUCCUCUUCAUGUAAAUGUCGAACAUGGAAGAUUUUCUCAGUACCCAUCUGUCCAGAUAACACACCCCGGCUUCUGGAAGUCAGCAGCACUUUACACCCACGAUGAGCAUCUCCAUAAGGAAUUCCGAUUUUUUCCAACCGAAGUUCCUCCCAAAUAUCAUCCAAAAUCACCAGGACCGUCUUGUGGUUGUUCAAACUUUGACGUAAGCGGUGUGCUCUUGCUAAUUCCCCUUCCUGCCCAAAUUUCAACCCCAAAAUACCUGCAAUAUCUUCCUGAAUGUUUGUCACGUUUGGAAUUUGGGAUAUUUUUGCCAUAACCACCUUUUCAAAUAACUUAUCUUCCUCGGCCUUUUCCGCUACUUGAUUGGCAAGAGUGGUUUUGCCCACACCGCCCAUCCCCCACACACCAAUCAUCCUGAUACCACCAUUUCUCAAGGCCUCCAUAAUUUCGUUUAAAAUAGAUGUUCUUGAUUCCAAAGCUUUACAAUCUCUGAGGCGUGCAGACCAUAUCCGUUGUGGAGGACGGGGAAAUGCUACCCUGUCAAAUUUAUUUUCUUCUUGGAGUUUACCAAUAUCCCCAGACAGCUCCUUCGCUUGCCUGCCUCGCUGGUACGCCAACUUUAAAUUCAAACACAAACAGCUUGUGUUUUCAGCGUUUUCAUCUUCAAUCAAUACCCUUGCCCUUCGGAUGAUCUCUUCUGUACGUGUCAGCCAAUCCCGGACAUCAUUUUCGAUAUCAUCCCCUUGCCUAUUAGCCUCAUCCACAUCGUGCUGCAGCCUCUCCCUUGCAUUACCCAGCCUCUCAACUUGUUUCGCAAGCUCAUCAAGGUUGCUACGGUAGUUAAACAGGUAACCCAGUGGACGUACAAUUGGAUCAACCAGGUACCCUGCAACUUUUCCUGCAACAUUUGCUGCAACGGACAUAAGAAUUGCUGCCAUUUCCCAAGUUUUCUGUCUCGGGAAAUAAAUGGGAAUUGAGCAACAGCAGAUAUCAAAAAGGGCAACGACAGCAGGAGAAGGAAAACCCACUAAAAAUUUUGAUAUUUAAUUGUGCGUGACAGAUGAAAAUAAGGAGAUGAAAGGUUCGAGGUAUCAAAAGAGCAGAGUAUGUUUAAGGUUUUAGCUAUCAAAGAAACAAGAUUUUUUUCUUUUUUUUUUCUUUUUUCCAAAGAGGGAGAGGGGAGACACACAGCAACAAAAAGGAAAAUGAGAUUGAUUACUAGUAAGAAAGAGAACAAAGGGCAGAGAGUGGGAAUAGUUGAUAAAAUGACAAAGCGGAUACAGAGUAAAAAGCUCCAAAAAAUUGGAAUGAAAAUUAAAGAAGGAAAUAAGCAGAGUUAUUGUUCAAAGGAGUGACACAGACGCAGGAAAAUGAAAAUCAGCGUUGAGAAUGAGAAUGAACGUGUAGAGAGCGGGAAUAUUGAGUGAUGAAGAGACAAAAGGGCUACAGAUUCAGAUUCAAGAGAAAAAGCUCAAUCAAUGCUACUGGAAUCAACUAGACAAAAGGAAAACCAGAGAAGGACAAGCGAGACCGCCCAGCCAAAUUAAGAUUUUCACGGAGCGGAACACCGGAUUGAAAGCAGGAUCUGGACGAGUUAGGAUGGAGGUGAAGAGCAGGGAGUGAUUAUGGACGAGUCAAUCGCAGAAGAUUGAAAGCAGUAGAGAGAAGGGCCUCAGGAGAAGGAAAACACAAAAAAAAAAAAAAAAAGGUAUUUAAUUGAGUGUGACAGAUGAAAAUAAGGAGAUGAAAGGUUUGAGGUAUCCAAACAGCAGAGUAUGUGGAAGGUUUUAGCUAUGAAGGAAACAAGAAAUCUUUCUUCUUUUUUUUGUUCGUUUUCAAGAGGAGACGAGAGGAGAGGAGAGGAGAGGAGAAACACAAAGCAACAAAAAGGAAAAUGAGAUUGAUUACUUGGAAGAACGAGCGCGAAGGGGAGAAAGUAGGAAGAGUCGAUAAAAUGAGAGAAGGGCUACAGAGUGGAGACUGAGGAAAAGGGCUGCAGAGUGAAGAGACUGAGAAAGACGGAGAACAGUGCAAUAGAGUGAAGAGACUGAGUAAUAUCCAUCAUUGACAAUGACUCAUUUUAGUUUUAGUCGCACAUCACAUGUUUGAAUUUGGCAACCAAGACACCAAAAUAACCAAGCUUAUCUGGCUAAUUUGAUUACUAUAGAAAUUGGUUGAAAAUACUUCAUGUAACAUUUAAUACCUUAUGGAUUAAAAUAUCAUCUUUAUUCAAACACUUUCAUCAAUUCAUUUCUUCCAUUUAUAAUAAAAUAUUUAUACAAUUAUUUUUUAAGAUUACUCACAACAAACAAAGUAAAAAAAAAUAAACUUUAAAUAAUUAAAAUAUAUUUUUAUAAAACACACUGUUUUCGUAAUAAGAUCUUAAAAAAAUAUUUUUUUUAGUAUGAAAAAUAAUGUUUCUAUUUUUAAGAAAUAAAAGUGUUUUUAAAAAUAGUUAAAAACAUGCUCGAAGGUUUUGAUUGGGCGGUGGUUUAAUAAGCACAACAACCUGUCACCCUUACAUUUUCAACUAAAGCAAAUAUCUUUGGACUUCGAUCCUUGCUUGAGUGUAACUGUGUAAGGAGGUAUUAUUAUUGUGGACCGUACUAAACUGAAAAGGUCUAGUUGAUGUUAUUAGCUGGCUUUUCAAUCAUUCUGACAAAUAAAAAUGAAGAACUUGAACGGCUAGGAGAAGUUGAUGAUUAACUAGAGCGAAACCAUAAAUCCAAGAUAAAUUUAUCAUAAUAUAAAUAAAUUAAUAUCUUAAAAAUUAACAAAUUAAAUAUCUUAAAUUAAUAAAUUAUACAAUUUUAUAUAUUAUUUAUAUGUUAUAUAAGUUUAUUAUUUUAAGAUUAUUAAUUUAUUAAUAAAUCAAAUAUUCAUUUAUAAUAUCUUCUAUUUAUCAAUUUAUGUUUGUUGAAAUAAUACUAUAUUUUUAAGUUUAAAUAUAAAUAAUUUAUUAUUUAAGUAUAUUUUUAAAUUUUCGAUCAUCAAUUGUAAUUUAAUAGUUUUUAAUUAAAUUUGAAAGUAAAAAAAAAAAUAUUAUAAUUGAAAUCUCAGUUAUUAACUAUUAUACUAUUAUUUCGAUAAAGAUAAAUUUAUCAUAAUACAAAUAAAUUAAUAUCUUAAAAAUUAACAAAUUAAAUAUCUUAAAUUAAUAAAUUAUACAAUUUUAUAUAUUAUUUAUAUGUUAUAUAAAUUUAUUAUUUUAAGAUUAUUAAUUUAUUAAUAAAUCAAAUAUUCAUUUAUAAUAUCUUCUAUUUAUCAAUUUAUGUUUGUUGAAAUAAUACUAGAUUUUUAAAUUUAAAUAUAAAUAAUUUAUUAUUUAAGUAUAUUUUUAAAUUUCAUUCAUAAAUUGUAAUUUAAUAAUUUUUUAAUUAAAUUUUAAAUUUAAAUAAAAAAUUAACUAAAGCCGCGUUUGGCAACUGCGGCUUUAGUACAAAAAUGAAGCCGCGUUUGCCAACUGCGGCUUUAGUGCAAAAAUGAAGCCGCAUUUGCCAACUACGGCUUUAGUAUAAAAAUGAAGCCGCGUUUCCCAACUGCAGCUUUAGUGUAAAAAUGAAGCCGCAUUUCCCAACUGCGCCUUUAGUGCAAAAAUGAAGCCGCGUUUCCCAACUGUGGCUUUCACUAUAAUGACGAAAAAAAAAUAUUUUUUAAUGAUGUGGCGCCUACGUGGCAUCAAAGAGGUCAUUUUGAACAAUAGUUUCAAAAUGUGCCCAUUUUGAACAUUAAGUUUCAAAAAUGGGUCAUUUUGACCCAAAACUCGAAUUAUUAGCUCUCUUUUCGAUAUUCUGACGAAGAAAGUAACAAAACAGAGAGAGAUAGGAAAAGUUGAACUGUCCACGGAUGUGGUUAAUUGUUAGCUAGCUGGCUUUGAAUCACCCUUACGAAGAAAGCGACAAGAGGUAGAAAGAUAGAACGACAGGAAAAUGAUCAGAGGUUAUUAUACUUAUAUUUAUAACUAAUUAUAUUUAUAUUAAAUAUAAUACCAAUUAUUUUAAUAAAAUUAAAUAAAAAUAUUUUUAUAUCAAAUUAAAAAUAUUAAUUAUUUAAUUUUAUAUAUUAUUAUUUUUUAAAUAAUGAGAUAAAUUUGUUAAUCAUUUACAUAUUUUUAAUAAAUAUAAAAUUAAAAUUAAAUAUUUUAAAUAAAAUGACAUAAUUAUAUAUAUAUAUAUAUAUAUAUAUAUAUAUAUAUAUAUAAUUAAAAUUAAAGUAAGGUGAAUAUGAUUUUUGAUUGUUUUAAAAAAAUAAUAUGAUAAUUAUUAAUUAUGAUUUUAUGAUAUGAUAAUUUAUAUGCCGUAAGCAUAAAUAAAAGCAUUAUUAUUAUAUGAUAAUUUACGUGGCACAAGCACGUUAGAUGAAGCAUUAUUUUGAAAAUCGGUUUAGUUUAUGGAAAUUUUUUUUUUUCAAAUGUCCCAUUUUGGUUCAAAACUCAAUGUGAAGGCAAAGAGUUGGUAUGACAGGAUUACACAAGAACCGCCUAUAAUACAAAACCAAGCAAAGUGUCAUGGCUUUAGGUGUAGUCUCUGUAGAGAGUGUAAGAAUGCAUUGGGUUGUGGACGACUUAGUCAUGACCAUUAAUCCUGUUGUCAAACUCCCAUUUGUGUGAGACUGCAGAAGUCUAAUAAUAAAGGUGUUGUCGUGUUGAAAAGUAGAAAGCAUAAUCAUUUUGUGGCUUCGGUCACCAUACCUUUAACUUUUACCCUAUACAAAUAAGCCACGUGUAAAGUUUAGAAGAAUAAAAAAUUCAAAAAAAUCAAUACUUCAAGUUACCAACUGAUGGCGAUUGAUGAAAAUUUAUACGGGGAUAUUGGAUUUCGAUGGUCGUCAAAAUGAAAUAGAAUCCAAAAAAAAAAAAGUUUGGCUUAAAUCUUGCCGGGGGCAAGCUCACCCCUUAUAUAUAUAUAUAUAUAUAUAAAUAUAUAUAAUUUUCAUAUAAACAAAAUAUUAAAACAAUAUUUUAAAUAAUAAAUUAAUUAUAAUUAAAUAAAAUUUUAUUAUUUAAUUAAUUAUAAAAAUUAUCAUAAUAAUUUUAUUUAUAAUAUUUUAAAUAUUAUUAAUAUAUUAAUUAAAUAUUAAAAAAUUAUACCUAUAUCAUCAUUUAUUUUAUAUCAUUUAAUAUAAUUAAAUUAAAUAUAUCAUAAUUUUAAUAUUAAAUAUAUUUUAAAAUUAAAUAUAUUAUAAUAAAAUAUUAUAAUAUUAUUAUCAAAUAAUAUAUAAUGUAAUUUAAUAAUGAAUAUACACUUAUAAAAUUUAUAUUUAUAUUUUUUAUUCUUGCAUAUAAUAUUAUUAUCAAAUACUAUUAUUCAAUUAUUUAACAAAACAACUUUAAAAUAUUUAUUAUAUUUCUAAUUAUAUUUUUUUAUGAAAAUUUUCUUAUAUUUUCAUUAGUUUUGAUAAAUUUUAGACUUAUUAAUUUUUUUUUUCAAAAUAUCAAUCAAUUUAUGUCCGAUAUAUUUGUAAAAUCGAAAUAUUGGUAUAUUUUUAUUAAUCUUUGAAAAGAAGCAAUCUCAUGCACUUUAAAUUUAAAUUAUCUUUACAACCAUCAAUUAUAUUAUUGAACUAUUUAUUUUAUAAAAAUGGUAAAAUAUUUAAAAUUUUGUAAAAAGAAUAAUUUGUGAAAUAAAAUUUGCCACUUAUUUUAUGAUAUAAGGUUUUAAUACUAAUACCUUGUGAAAAAAAACUCGUUUAUAAUUAAAUUAAAAUGAACAUUUAUUAUUAAAAAUCAGAAUUAUAAUCAAUCAAUUAUUAAUUAAAAAUGGUAUUAUUAAUUGCAAUUUAUUGUUAUUUUUUUAUACAUAGGAGAUUGGAUUAAAUAUUGAAAGCAUUUUUUGGAAGUGGAAAAAAAAUUGUUAAAAUAAAAAAAAAAUUGAGAAUUUUGGAGAGUGCCAAGAAUGUGGGAAUGGUACAAAAAUGUGAGGAAAUUUUUGUGUGCCUAACUUCCAUAAUUUACAAGGAUGAUUAGUAUACCUAAGCAAUAUUGAUGCUAUUAGAAGUGUCAAAAAAAUUAAAAUAAAUUUAAAAAUUAGAGGGUAUGAAUGUAAUCAAUAUUUUAAAACAAUAUCAUAACUAUUUGGAAUGGAAUUUAAAAAAAAUAAUAAUAAUAUAAGUAUUUAUCAUUUAAAACUUGAUUUUCUUUAAAAUCCGAGUUUUAUCAAAUAUACCUUAGGCAAAUUGAUUCAAAAUUGACAUAUUAACUCACCUAAAGAUCUUGCCUAAGUGUUGGAAAAUAAAUAAAUUCAAAAAGAUAGGUUUUCGUGGCCAAAAGGUUCAACCUGUCGAGGCUAUGGCCAACCGACUCAACCAGUUGGGGAACCGGUCUACCGGUUGCCCUUGUCCGGUUGAGGGAGGCACAAAAACCUUCUCUCUCUUCUAGUAGCUUCCUCUUCCCAGUCGAGUCUCAUCCUUGUCCGGUCGAGGUCCGAUGGAGGCAACGGUAACCUGUCAUGCAUUAAAUGCUCCAACGGCUAGUGAUCCGGUCGACCCCUUGAUCGACCCGUCAAGGUUACUUUCUGAUAUUUUUGGCUCCUGAGCUUAGAAACCUAUAAAUUGAGAACCCCACUUUAUUAAUGACUAAGAGAACCUUUGCAAUCAAUUGUCUACCUACCUGUUCUUGAUCAAAAAACUCUCAUUUCUUUCUUAGUGCAUUAAAUCAUCACUUGCAUAACUUUAGUGCACUCUUGUGAAUCAUCCUAACUUUCUUUUGUAUUUGAGUCAUCCUUAAGCUAGGUUGAGAGUUUCAUCAUUGUAUAAACUGAGUGUGAAAGCCUUCAAGAGGUUCAAAUCUUGAAGAGAUUGUGUAGGAGUCCAUUGGAACCAGAAUCAAAGUGUAAGAAGAUUGAAAGUCUGAUUAAAACUUCAAGUUAAUGGAACCCUCACUCGGUUAGGAGAUUAAGGAGAGUGAAUAUAGGUAAGGAAGUGUCGAACCACUAUAAACCCGAGUUUGAAUUUUCUAACUCUAUCUCUUUACUUUAUUUAUAUUGUGCAUAUAUUGUUGUGUUUGAAAAAGUUUUGAAAAAUCCAAUUCACCCCCCUUUUGGGUGUUUUCCUUAAUUAUUCAUAACCUUUGUUUUAUCAAGUUGGACUAUAAUUUUUUUAUAUAAUUGUUAUGCUAGGGUGGUACAGAAAUGAUAAUGGGGGAGAAGGGAAGUAUGGGAGUUUGAGGGCAAAAUAACUCUUUUAUUUAAAAAAAAAAAAAAAAAGUUGCACCUUAUAACCCCUUUACAAAAUUUUAAUUUGAAAUUAACCCUUUUUUUAUCUAAUAAGAGUCGCGUCAUAAAAAAUUGAAAUUUCAAUUACUGACUGCAACUUUAUUUUUGAACUAUAUUAUAAUUGGUAAUUAAGACUUCAUUUUUAAAUUGAAGCCUUAAUUAUCAAUUGAGCUUUAUUUUUAAAUUGAAAUCACAAUUGAUAAUUAAUAUUUUAUUUUUUAACUGAAAUCUCAAUUGUAAAUUGAGGCUUUAAUUAUUUUAUUUUUAUUUUAAACUUUAAUUAAAAAUAUUAAAUUACAAAUUAUUAUUAAAAUUAAAAAUAUAUACUUUAACAAUAAAAAUUUUAUAUAUUUAAAUUUAAAGACGUAGCAUUACUUCAAUAAAGAUAAAUUGAUAAAUAUAAUAAUAAAUAUAUAUUUUAUUUAUCAAUAAAUUAAUAAUCUUAAAAAAAUAAAAUUAUAUAAGAUAUAAAAUUAUAUAAUUUAUUAAUUUAAGACAUUUAAUUUAAUAUCUUUUAUUUAUAUUUUGAUAAAUUUAUCUUUAUUGAAAUAAUAGUACACUCUUAAGUUUCAUUUUUUAUUAUUUUAAAGCAUAUGUUUAUAAUUUUAGGUAAAAAAAAAGAUCAUUAUUUAUACAUACCAUAUAUAUGUCUUCAAGAUACAUUUGAAAUUAGUUAAUGAAAUUAAUUAAAAAAAGUCUACCGAUAUUUUUUAGUAGUUUUAUCAAAUUCACAAAAUAUACCCAUUAAUAAUAUAUUUAUAACUAAUUAUAUUUAUAUUAAAUAUAGUACCAAUUAUUUUAAUAAAAUUAAAUAAAAAUAUUUUUAUAUCAAAUUAAAAAAUAUUGAUUAUUUAAUUUUAUAUAUUUUUAUUAUUUAAAUAAUGAGAUAAAUUUACUAAUUAUUCACAUAUUUUUAAUAAAUAUAAAAUUAAAAUAAUAUAAUAUUUUUAUUUUAAAAAAUAAAAAUAAAAAAUUUUCAAAUGAAAUAACAUAAUUAUAUAUAUAUAUAUAUAUAUAUAUAUAUAUAAUUAAAAUUAAAAUUAUAGUUGAGAACUAUGAUUUUUUGAUCGUUUUGAAAAAAUAAGAUGAAAGUCACUAAUUACAAUUUUAUGAUAUGAUAAUUUACGUGGCACAAGCUUAAAUAAAACAUUAUUAUUAUUACGGUUUUAUUAAAUGAUAAUUUACGUCGUACAAGCACAUUAAAUGAAGCUUUAUUUUGAAAAUUGGUUUACUUUAUGGAAUUUUUUUUUAUUAAAAAAUAUUUUUUUAGUAUGAAAAAUAAUGUUUCUAUUUUUUAAAAAUAAAAGUGUUUUUAAAAAUAGUUAAAAACAUGCUCGAAAGUUUUGAUUGGACGGUGGUUUAAUAAGCAUAACAAUCUGUCAUCCUUGUGUUUUCAAUUAAAGCAAAUAUCUUUGGACUUGGAGUCCUUGCUCGAGUAUAAGGAGGUAUUAUUAUUGUGGACCCUCUUGUCCACUCUAAGCUGAAACUCUGUGGUUUAUGUUAUUAGCUGGCUUUUCAAUCAUGGCUUUUCAAUCAUUCUGACAAAUAACAAUGAAGAACUUGAGCGGCUAGAAGAAGUUGAUGAUUAACUAGAUCCAAACCAUAAAUCGAAGCUCAACCCAAGGACUUGAUAAUUUAAAAAAGUUAUGAUUAAAUUAUUGUAAUAGAAGAAGUUAUUAUAAAUAUAUAGUAGUUUUUACCAUCUAGGAGAGAGGAGAUAGUAAAGAGGAGAGAGGGUGAACGGAUAAAUUUUUUUAAAACCAAAAUCAUCUUUUCAAAUUUCAAAAGGUGAAAUUGUCUUUUCGAACAAAGGGAACUUGUCUCUUCAAGAGACGAGUUCCAUGAAAAAAAAUAUAUAUAUACUUUUUUAAAAAUUCCCCAUUUACUCAAAGGAACUCGUCUCUUCAAGAGACGAGUUCCAUGAAAUAUAUAUAUAUAUUUAAAAAAAUUCCCAAAUUAAAAAAAAAAAAAAACAAGGAACUCGUCUCUUCAAGAGACGAGUUCCCUGAAAAAAAAUAUAUUUUUAAAAGAAUUCCCAAAUUAUAAAAUAAAAAAAAUUUUAAAAAAAAAACAAUUCGGAACUUGUCUCUUGAAGAGACGAGUUCCCUGAAAAAAAAUAUAUAUUUUUUUUUUAAAUUCCCAAAUUAUUAAAAAAAAAAAAAAAAUCAAUUCCUCAAGGGAACUCGUCUCUUGAAGAGACAAGUUCCCAUGAAAAAUAUAUAUAUAUAUAUAUAUAUAUAUAUAUAUUUUAAAAAAAUUCCCAAAUUAAAAAAAAAAAAAUCAAUUCCUCAAGGUAACUCGUCUUUUCAAGAGACGAGUUCCCAUGGAAUUCAAAAAUUCCCAAAUUAAAAAAUAAUAAUAAUAAUAAUUUCCUCAAGGGAACUCGUCUCACGAGUUCCCAUGGAAAAAAAAUAUAUAUUUUAAAUAUAUAUAUAUAUAUAUAUUUUUUUUUUUUUUAAAAAAAAAUUUCCUCAAGGGAAAUCGUCUAGUUCCCUGAAUAUAUAUAUAUAAAUUAUUAAAAUAAAAAAAAAAAAAAUUCCUCNNNNNNNNNNNNNNNNNNNNNNNNNNNNNNNNNNNNNNNNNNNNNNNNNNNNNNNNNNNNNNNNNNNNNNNNNNNNNNNNNNNNNNNNNNNNNNNNNNNNNNNNNNNNNNNNNNNNNNNNNNNNNNNNNNNNNNNNNNNNNNNNNNNNNNNNNNNNNNNNNNNNNNNNNNNNNNNNNNNAAAAAAAAAAUUUUUUUUUUUUAUGGAGACUUUUUUUUUGAAAGAAAACGAGUUCCCCUUGGGGAAUUUUUUUCUUUUUUUAAAAAAAUUUGGGAAUUUUUUUUUUCCAUGGGAACUCGUCUCUUGGAAAGACGAGUUCCCUUGAGGAAUUGUUUUUUUUUUUUUUUUAAAUUUAAUAAUUUGGGAAUUUUAUAUAUAUAUAUAUAUAUACAUAUAUAUAUAUUUUCAUGGAACUCGUCUCUUGAAGAGACGAGUUCCCUUGAGGAAAUAUAUAUAUAUUUUUUUUUCAAUUUGAGACUUUUAAAAAAAUAUAUAUAUAUAUAUAUAUUUUUAAAAAAAUAUUUUUUUUUUCCAUGGAACUCGUCUCUUGAAGAGACGAGUUCCCUUGGAGGAAAUUCCUUUUUUUUGUUUUUUUUUUUUUAAUUUGGGAAUUUAAAAAAUAUAUAUAUAUACUUUUAAAUUUUUUUUUCCAUGGGAACUCGUCUCUUGAAGAGACGAGUUCCCUUGAGGAAUUUUUUUUUUUUUUUUUUUUGGGAAUUUUUUUAAAAAAAAUAAAAAAUAUAUAUAUUUUUUUUUCCAUGGGAACUCGUCUCUUGAAGAGACGAGUUCCCUUGAAAUUCUUUUUUUUUUUUUUUAAUUUUUAAUUUGGGAAUUUUUUUUUAAAUAUAUAUUUUUUUAAAAAAAUAUUUUUUUUUUCCAUAGGAACUCGUCUCUUCAAGAGACGAGUUCCCUUNNNNNNNNNNNNNNNNNNNNNNNNNNNNNNNNNNNNNNNNNNNNNNNNNNNNNNNNNNNNNNNNNNNNNNNNNNNNNNNNNNNNNNNNNNNNACGUGUUCCCCGAGUUCCCAUGAGGAAUGAUUUUUUCAUUUUAUGAAUUAUUUUUUUUUAAUUUGGAAAAUUUUUUUUUCUGUGGAAACUCCUAUCUAGAAGAGACGGAGUUCCCGUGAGGAUUUUUGUUUCUUUUUUAAUAAAUUGGGAAUUUUUUAAAAAUAUAUAUAUAUAUUUUAUAUAUAUAUAUAUAUUUCCAGGGAACUCGUCUCCUUAAGGAAUUGUUAUUUUUUUUUUUUAAUUUGAGAAUUUUUUUUAUAAAAAAUAUAUAUAUAUUUUUUCAUGGAACUCGUCUCUUGAAUAGACGAGUUCCUUUAAGGAGUUUUUUUUAAUAAAUGAGGAAUUUUUUUAAAUAUAUAUAUAUAUAUUUUUUAAAAUAUAUAUAUAUUUUUAAAAAAAUAUACAUAUAUUUUUUUUCAUGGAACUCGUCUCUUCACGAUUUCGCUUUUUGAAAUUUGAAAAUAUGAUUUUGGUUUUAAAAAAAUUUAUCCAUUCACCCUCUCUCCUAUCUCCUCUCUCCUAGGUGGCAAAAACUACCAUAUAUUUGUAAUAACUUCUUAGGAGAAUUAUCUUUUAGGGGUAGAUGGGUUCUCAAAUUAACAAAAGGUCCAUAUAACCCUUCAAAUUGAGUUGAAGGAUAUGAAAUAGUAACGGGCAAAUAUACCCUUUAAGAACAUAUAUAAAAUAUUUUAUAAAAUUAAGUUAAAUAAUUUUUUUUCAAUAAUUUUUUUUUCAAAAAUAUUAAAUUAAAUAAAAGUAGUUUUCAAAAAUAUUAAAUUAAAUAAUUUUUUUUCAAAAAUAUUAAAUUAAUUUUUUUUUCAAAAAUGUUAAAUUAAUUUUUUUUUCAAAAAUAUUAAAUUAAAUUAAAGUAUUUAAAAAAAUAUUAAAUAAAAUAUUUUUUUUAAAUAUUAAAUUAAAUAAAUUUAUUUUUAAAAAAUAUUAAAUUAAAUAAAUUUAUUUUUUAAAAAUAUUAAAUAAAAUAAAAGUAUUUUAAAAAUUAUUAAAUUACAUAAAAGUAUUUUUCAAAAAUAUUAAUUUUUUUUCUCAAAAUCAACAAAGGGCAUUUUUGGAAAUACUGAAGAAUGAUAUCCUUCAAUUUAAUUUCCAUACUUUCAUUGGGUCUUGGGCUUAAUUUGAAGAGUUACAUGGACCUUUUGUUAAUUUGGGGGCCCAUCUACCCCCAAAACAUAAUUCUCCCUAACUUCUUCUACUACAAUAAUUUAAGCAUAACUUUUUUAAAUUACCGUACUAUUAAGAAAAGUCCCUCAACCCAAUCACUCUAAAUAAUCAAUUCACACCCUACCCACUCUCAUUUCUUUUUCAAGUUUAGGUUAAGUUGGGUACGAUUAGAUUAAAUUCGGAUUAAUUAGGUAGUAUAAUUCAAAAUUUAUUUAUAAUAUUUUAAAAAAUAUUGUAAGAGAAAAUUUUAAGAUAACAAAAUAAAUAAAUAAAUUUACAUAUUUUUUUAAAAAUAAAAAAAUAUAUGAUGUAAUAUAUUUUGAUAUAUUUUCUCUUUAUAAUCUUUAUUUCAUAGAAUAAUAUACAUUAUAAAUAUUAAAUCGGUUCGAAUUAGAUCUCAAUUAUAUGAAUCUUUGCCUCAACACAAUCCAAAUUAAACUCAAACUAAAAGACCUAACUCAACCCGAGUAUUAUUAACUCGGAUUGAAAAAACCUAAAAGUUGGAACACAAUCUGUAGACCCCCUUUGGUGGAAAAAGGCCCGGGGGGGAAGUGAUUUCUCAAGGACUUCUCAUUAUAUUUUAGAAGGGGUAGGGGACCCCAGCGGCUGACUGAUGGACCCCUUCUCUAGGCACGGACGUGCAACUGCAGGGGGGCGGUUGCAAGCCCAUGCUGGCUGAUGCAUGAACAGGAGGGUGGGUGAUGGUUAGCUGAGGAAGAAAAAACGGAGGAAGAAAGAAAAGAGGGGGGAGGUUUUUUUGGCAAGUCUGCGGGGGGAUCCCAGGAGAGCAAAAGCAGAGAGAAAAAAAAAGAGGACUGGAGGUACAUACGGGGUGUUUUCUUUGCUCAUUUUGGCUAGAGAGGAGCUCUCCCAAGUGCGGUAUUGUGGAUUUUUAUUGUUCAUGUUUCUGAUUACAUUGUUAUUCAUGCAUAUUUCUUGUUACUUCUUUUAGCUUUCAUUUGCUACUCGGAUGUGACUAUUCUGCUAUUCUCUCAUUCUCUUUGUUUUUUUGUUUGGGGCUACCAUGCGUAUGGGUUCAUCCAAAUCAUGUUAAUGCUCUCGUUCAUGGCCCACGGAUUCACAUAUGAAAAUGAGGUUCCAUAAGUUUGCAUUUUCUUUUUUUUCUUUUUUUUCUUUCUCUGUUUCUUCCUUGGGGACACGAGGACUUCUCCUUCUUUUUGUGGGACUGGUCUCGGCUCGGAGGGAUGUGAGGAGGUUUUGAGAGAGAGAGAGGGAAUUGUAGGAAGAACUAGCCGCAAGCUUGAGAGAAAAGAUGAGCAUGAGGGCAAAUCUGGAACUGAUAACAUGGACGACGUUUCCGGGAAUGAUCAGGUUGCUGCUGACAACCCACGAAGGAAGAAGAGAUACCACCGACACGCUCUUCGGCAAAUCCAAGAAUUUGAAGCACUGCUCCAGGAGUGUCUUCAUCCUGGUGAAAAGCAAGGGUUGAGACUCCGCAAAAGGCUUUGCUUGGAGACUAGGCAAGUGAAGUUCUGGAUCCCAAAUCGUCGCACUCCCUAUUAUUCCAGUUCUUGGUGAUAAUCUGAAGCUUGAGGUAGAAAGGUUGAAGAAAGAGAAGUUGUCCUUUGCAUUGUCACGGGGCGUUUUUUUUAUUGGGAGAAUUAUCUUUUGGGGUAGAUGACCCCAAAUUAAUAAAAGUUCCAUAUAACUCUUCAAAUUGAGUUGAAGGAUAUGAAAUAGUAAUGGACAAAUAUACCAUUUAAUAACACAUAUAAAAUAUUUUAUAAAAUUAAGUUAAAUAAUUUUUUUUUAAUAAUUUUUUUUUUCAAAAAUACUAAAUUAAAUAAAAGUAGUUUUCAAAAAUAUUAAAUUAAAUAAUUUUUUUUUUGAAAAUAUUAAAUUAAAUUUUUUUUCAAAAAUAUUAAAUUAAAUUAAAGUAUUUAAAAAAAAUAUUAAAUUAAAUAUUUUUUUAAAUAUUAAAUUAAAUAAAUUUAUUUUUUAAAAUAUUAAAUUAAAUAAAAGUAUUUUAAAAAAUAUUAAAUUACAUAAAAUUAUUUUUUUUUAAAUAUUAAAUUAAAUAAAAGUAUUUUUUAAAAAUAUUAAUUUUUUUUUCUCAAAAUCAACAAAGGGCAUUGUUGGAAAUGUUGAAGGAUGAUAUCCUUCAACUCAAUUUCCACACUUUCAUUGGGUCUUGGGCUCAAUUUGAAGAGUUGCAUAGACCUUUUGUUAAUUUGGGGGCCCAUCUACCCCCAAAACAUAAUUCUCCCUUUUUUCUUUUACCACUCAAACGUCUUCUUAUUCUCUCUCAUGCGUAACACCCAUAUUUUUCCUUGACUUUUCCCCCACUCAAAUAUCCUUCCAUCCUCUGUCUUAUACAUGCAGCCACAUGUUUUGCUCCCAAACCUAUUUAAUAUGUGGGGACCACAUGUUUUGCUCUCAAAUCUGAGUUUAAGACCAAAAUAAUUUAUUUGUAAAAAAAAAUGAUAAGAAUAGUAUCCAUUUGAAAAUAUUUGUCAAAGUAGUCUUCUUUGUCCACGUAAGCAUCCAUAUGGAUUUUAAGUAUAAAAAACCACCGUUGAUGACUGUGGUUUUAAAACUUAUAGAAAUUUCCUUAAAACCACAGUUACAAACUGUGGUUUUAUAAUUUCUCUUAGAACCACAGUUACUAACUGCGGUUUUAAAAGAAGUUUCCUUAAAACCACAGUUACAAACUGUGGUUUUACAAUUUCCCUUAAAACCACAGUUAGUAACUGUGGUUUUACAAUCAUUUUCAAUCCGCAUCUAUUUUAAUGGUGUUAUAAUUUUAAUAUUAUUUUUAAAAUAUUUUUUUUAUCAAAAUUACAAUUAUGUUGUAAUUUUUUAUCAAAAUAUUUUUUUAUCAAAAUAAUUGUAAAACCACAGUUACUAACUGUGGUUUUAAGGGAAAUUGUAAAACCACAAUUUGUAACUGUGGUUUUAAGGAUAUUUCUUUUAAAACCAUAGUUAUAGUAACUAUGGUUUUAUGGGUAUUUUGAUAAAAAAAAAUUUUAAAAAUAAUAUUAAAAUUACAACACCAUUAAAAUAGAUGUGGAUUGAAAAUAAUUGUAAAACCACAGUUAGUAACUGUGGUUUUAUGGUUGUUUUGAUAAAAAAUAUUUUUAAAAUAAUAUUAAAAUUACAAUACUAUUAAAACAGGUGUGGAAUAAAAAUAAUUGUAAAAUCAUAGUUACUAAUUGUGGUUUUAAGGGAAAUUGUAAAAUCAUGGUUUGUAACUGUGGUUUUAAGGAUAUUUCUUUUAAAACCAUAGUUAUAAUAACUAUGGUUUUAUGGGUAUUUUGAUAAAAAAAAAUAUUUUAAAAAUAAUAUUAAAAUGUAAAACCAUAGUUACUAAUUGUGGUUUUAUGGUUAUUUUGAUAAAAAUUAUUUUAAAAAUAAUAUUAAAAUUACAACACCAUUAGUAAAACCACAGUUAGUAACUGUGGUUUUAUGGUUGUUUUGAUAAAAAAAUAUUUUAAAAAUAAUAUUAAAAUUAUAACACCAUUAAAAUGGGGAUGGAUUAAAAAUAAUUGUAAAACCACAGUUACUAACUGUGGUUUUAAGGGAAAUUGUAAAACCACAGUUUGUAACUGUGGUUUUAAGGAAACUUCUUUUAAAACCGUAGUUAGUAACUGUGGUUCUAAGAGAAAUUAUAAAACCACAGUUUGUAACUGUGGUUUUAAGGAAAUUUCUAUAAGUUUUAAAACCACAGUCACCAAUGGUGGUUUUUUACACUUAAAAUCCAUGUGGAUGCUUAUGUGGACAAAGAAGACUACUUUGACAAAUAUUUUCAAAUGGAUACUAUUCUUAUCAUUUUUUUUUACAAAUAAAUUAUUUUGGUCUUAAACUCCUCAAAUCUCUUAAAUAUAUGGUGGUCCCGGUGAUUUUCUUUUCUUUGCCAUCUAACCACUCCUAAUAACAAAGCCACAACUUAUAUUUUAAUAUUAUUACUUAUGUCUCCAUAUUUUAAUAUCCACCCGAAAAUCUCAAUUCUAAAUCUAAUUUUCAAAAUCUCAAUUUUCAUUUAAUUUCCAAAAUUCAACUUCCACAUUUAUUUGUUUAAUUACCAUUAUUAUUGUAAUUAUUAUUAUUGUUACUAUUAUUAUCAUUAUUUUAUCCAUUUAUUUAUUUUUAAAUUCCAUUCUCAAAUUUUAUUUAUUUAUUUAUUUUUAAAUUCCAUCUUUUAAACAAUUUUCAUAAUUGAAGUUUCAAUUUAAAAAAAAUCCCAAUAUUUGCAUUCAUUAUUUAAUUAUUAUUUUCGUUUUUAUUAUUAUUCUUUUUAUUUAUUCAUUUAUUUAUUCUUAAAAAUUUCAUCUUUAAACAAUUCUUCAAAAUUCUGAUUUUUAAAUUUAAUUCCAAUUUUCGAAAUUCCAAUUUUUAUAUUAAUUUAUUUAAUCAUUAUCACUUUAUUCAUUUAUUUAUUUGUUUAUUUUUAAAAUUUCAUCUUUAAACAAUUCUUCAAAAUUCCAAUUUUUGAACUUAAUUUCUAAUUUCCAAAAUUCUAAUUUCUUUUAAAUUUAAUUCCCAAAAUUCCAAUUUUCAAAUUUAAUUCCCAAAGCUCCAAUUUUCAAAUAAAUUCCAAAAAUCCAAUUUUCACUUGAACAAUUUUAAUUCUACUUCGAUUCUAAAACCUUAUGUUUUUCUUGGUUUUACAUAAGUAAGAAUAAUGAAUUUUCAUAAUUUCAAAAUAAUGAAAUUUGUGAUAUUAAUUCAUGUAAGAUCAAUCGGGAUUUGGUGGAGGCCCCACAUACAUGAUUUUAUGAUUGAUUGAUUUAUUUAUUGAUUUGUUUGUCACGCGCGAUUGAUUUAUUCCACUCUAUGACAUGCAUGUGAUUAUUCUGUGUUUAAUUGCGAACAUUCGCUUUCAUUGAAGUAAACCGGUUCAUCACUCAGGUAUAUUCUUUGCCUCUCCUAUUCAUUCAAUUAUUUUGUUUUGAGUGAUAUUCCUUCAGUAUCCAUGCUCGAUUAAUUAAUUGUCAUCAUUACUUCAUUCUAUUAGUAGAGACUCGACUUUAGAGACUUAGAGGGGUGCUAUGGUCUUUAUCGUACCUUCUUGAUAAGUAACCUGACCUCCGAACCCGAUCCGGUUUUUCGUAGACCACAUUUUCCAAAUAAGGAGUCACACUUAGGGUUUUUCUUUCUUAUUUUAUUUACCCUUUUAAAAAUAAAACAAAAAUAAGUGGCGAAUUCAAGUCAUUUUUAAAUAAAUAAAAUCAUAAUUUUUCAAAUAAAAAUCGAGCUCACCAUCGAGUGGGGAAACGCAUGAGCCGAAAUGCGGGAUCCACACAAUUCAAAUUAUACUUGGAUUGGAAAAAUCUAAUUUAAUCAUAGUAUUAAAAAUUAUUAUUCAAACUCAUUUAAAUAUUAAAUUAGAUUUAGGUUGCAUCAAUUGUAUGUGUGUCGUGAUUGUAUGAAGAAAUAGUUUUUUAAAAAUAUUUUUUCAAACGAAAUCUCUAAUAUUUCAUAGAAUAAAAAUUUGGUUAACAUCUUAGAAGGUAGGAACCUAUAUUUUAAAAUAUUUUUUUAAAAAUAGUUCUUAUUUAAAUUAUUGAUAUAUUUGUGAUUAAUUUUUAAAAUGAAGCAAUCUCAUGCACAUUAUAUUUAAAUUAUCUUUACAACCACCAAUUAUAUUAUUGAACUAUUUAUUCUAUAAAAAUUGUAAAAUAUUUAAAAUUUUGUAAAAAUAAUAAGAUGUGAAAUAAAAUUUGCCACUUAUUUUAUGAUAUAAGGUUUUAAUACUAAGACCUUGUGAAAAAUAAUCAUUUAUAACUAAAUUAAAUUAAAAUGAGCAUUUAUUAUUAAAAAUCAGAAUUAUAAUCAAUCAAUUAUUAAUUAAAAAUGGUAUUAUUAAUUGCAAUUUAUUAUUAUUAUUUUUAUAUAUAGGAGAUUGGAUUAAAUAUUGAAAGCAUUUUUUGGAAGUGGAAAAAGAUUGUUAAAAUAAUAAUAAAAAAAUUUGAAAAUUUUGGAGAGUGCCAAGAACGUGGGAAUGGUACAAAAAUGUGAGGAAAUUUAUGUGUUUUUAAUUUAAAAUUUUUUUGUGCUUAACUUCCAUCGUUUACGGGGAUGAUUAGUAUACCUAAGCAACAUUGACGCAACAAAUUUAAAAUAAAUUUAAAAAUUAGAGGGUAUGAAUGUAAUCAAUAUUUUAAAACAAUAUCAUAACUAUUUGAAAUUUUGGAGUGGAAUUUAAAAAAAUAAUAAUAAUAUAAGUAUUUAUUGUUAAUUAGUAAUUGAAAAUUGUAUUAUUAAUUUUUUAUUGUAAAUUUGAUUUCUUUUUUUGGGGAAAAAGAUUGGAUGAAAUAUUAAAAGUAGGAAAAAACAAUAUAAUGGCUAAUUGAAGUUGAAAAAGAAAUUGUAUGAUUUCAAUUAAUUCUAAGUGUAAUUUGAGCUCUCUCCAAUUUUUUAAUGUAUCAUUUUUAAAAUUGUUUGGAGGAUAUUUUUCAUCAUUCGUAAGGUUCAUUUGUAUGGAUAAACAAUAUCGUUACAUUUCCAAGUCAAAAAAAUCUUAAAAUUGGAAAAUUAUUUUUUAGUGUUUUAAAAUUUUAAUUUUUUUAAUAAUAAUUUUCAUCAUUUGUAAGCUUGAUUAGUAUAGAUAAACAAUAUAUAUUUCAAUUUCAAAUUAAUUUAUUUUUCUUAGAAUUGGAAAAAAAAAUAUAAAAAUCCAAUGGUGUGAAGAAUUUGGAAAAUGGUACAAAGAAUAUGAGAAUCUUCACAUUUUUUGUACCCCUCUCUAAUUUUUUAGUGUUUUAAUUUUUAAAUUUUUUUGAGAAUAUUUUUCAUCAUUUUUUAAGGUUAAUUAGUAUGGAUUGCAUUUUCAAGUGGUUUAUUUUUUUUCUUUUACAUUAUAAAAUUAUGGGGAUUCGAAGAAGAAUGUGAAAAAUGAUACAAAGGAUGUGAUGAUUCUUAUAUUAUUUAUAUAAUUCCUCACAUUUUUUAUACCCUCCACAAUUUUUUAGUAUUUUAAUUUUUAAUUUUUUUAAAUAUAAGUUCCAUCAUUUCUAAAUUUAAUUACUAUUAGUAAACAAUAUUAUUGUAUUUAUAAGUGAAUUUUUUUUUUCAAAAAUUGUAAAAUUUCAAUGGUACAAAAAACGUGAGGAAGCAUAUGAAAAAUAUGAGUAAGGGUACUUACACCCGACACCCAUCGCGCACGCAUUUUGAGGCGUUGGUGCUACUGUUUUUGCACGUAUCCCAAGUCAUACGAUGCUCUAGUCUUGUAAGGUACUAUGAUUUUAUGCAACACAACACCCGACACCAUCGCAUUCGAAGGCAUGGUCUACAAUGUUUGCACGCAUCCCGAGGCAUACUAUUCUACAAUGCCCAUGAGGAAUAUGAUUUUGAGAGAAUUAUGUUUUAGGGAUAGAUGAGCCCCAAAUUACCAAAAGGUCCGUGUAGCUCUUCAAAUUGAGCCUAAGACUCAAUGAAAGUAUGGAAAUUGAGUUAAAGGAUAUUAUCCUUCGGUAUUUCAAAAAAUGCAAUUUGUUGAUUUUGAGAAAAAAAUUAAUAUUUUUGAAAAAUACUUUUAUUUAAUUUAAUAUUUUUUAAAAAUAUUUUUGAUUUAAUUUAAUAUUUUAAAAACAUACUUUUAUGUAAUUUAAUAAUUUUUAAAAAUAUUUUUAUUUAAUUUAAUAUUUUUUAAAAAUAGUUUUAUUUAAUUUAAUAUUUUUGAAAAAAAAUUAUUUAAUUUAAUAUUUUUGAAAAAAAAAUUUUAAUUUAAUAUUUUUGAAAACCACUUUUAUUUAAUUUAGUAUUUUUGAAAAAAAAGUUAUUGAAAAAAAAUUAUUUAACUUAAUUUUAUAAAAUAUUUUAUAUUUGUUCUUAAAGGGUAUAUUUGUUCGUUACUAUUUCAUAUCUUUCAAUUCAAUUUGAAGAGUUAUAUGGACCUUUUGUUAAUUUGGGGGUAAUUUACCCCUAAAACAUAAUUCUCCCUAUGAUUUUAUGCAACAUAGUACUCGACACCAUCACGCAGCAUCCCGAGGCACAUGUGCUACAGUGUUUGCGCGCAUUCCGACUGUACGGUCUAUAGUGCUACAAGGUAAUAUGAUUUUAUGCAACACUCCACCUUGACACCAUCAUGCACACAUCUCGAGGCAUGUAUGCUAUAGUGUUUCCACGCAUCCCAAUGUGUAUCAUCGCAUUCUUUAUACCCUCUCAAAUUUUUUAAUGUUUUAAUUUUCUAAUUUUUUUAAAGGUAAUUUACAUCAUUUCUAUUUUUUAAUUCUUUUUUUUAACAAUUCUAUCAAUAAUAACUCAAAAUAAUAUUUUUUAACUAUUUUAUUCUCAUUUCAAGUUAAAAAACAAAUCUAAAAUUUUAAAAUUUUAAAUAAUUUAGGUUGUAAAAAACAUGAGAUUAGUAAAAAAAUAUGAGAAAGGUACAAAAAAUAUAUGAUAAAUACAUAUUUGGUACUUUCAUCACAUUUUUCAUAUCGAUUUUUUGUUUUUAAUUUGUUUAAAUUACAAAUUUAUUUUUGAAAAUAUAAUCAUUAGUAACUCAAAAGAGUAUUAGUAAUUUUAAUUUAAAACAUUAAAUUAAAAAAAAUAAUAUUUGGAGAGUAUAAAAAAAAUAUUAAGACGGUCUAAUUAUCUAAGUUUUUUAUAUGAUUAUAAAAAUAUUGAAUUUUAAUAUAAAUACUCAUUUCAUAUUAAAAUAUUAUCAUAUUUAUUUUUAUUCUGAAUUUAGAUAUUUAAUAAUUUAUAAAAAAUAAAAUUAUGUAGUUAUGAUAUGUGAUAGAAUUUUUUUUUCUUAAUAAAUAUGUUUUACAAAUUUUAUAUCGAUUUUAUUUUUAUUUUUAUACCAUUCCAUUUUUACUUAUCUAUUUUAUUAUAAUUUUAAUUUAAAAUUCUUAAAUUCAAAAAAUAUAAAUUUUGGAGAAUACGGAAAAUAUUAGGAUGAUCUAAUUAUCUAAGCUUUAUAUAUGAUUAUUAAAAUAUUAAAUUUUUAUUUUAAUAUUUUUUAAUAGUUAUAUGGUAAAAAUAGUAAUAAAAUUAAUGAAAUCCAUUUAAUAAGAAAUAUAAGAACAAAUAUUUUUAUUAUUAAUAAUAAUAAUAAUUAGAAAAUAUCUUCAGCCUUGUAUUAUUACCGUGGUCCUACCGUCUACUCAAAACUGAAAAUAUGGUGGCAUUAUUAGCUGGCUUUUCAAUCAUUCUGAUGAAGAAAGUAACAAAAUAGAGAGAGAGAUGAGAAAUGUUGAACUGCUGGUUGCAUUAUUGGCCAGCUGGCUUUGAAUCAUUCUGACGAAGAAAGCGAUAAGACUGAUAGGAAAAUGACCUGAGUUUUGAUAGGGUAGCCUUUUUAAAAAUCAUUAUCACACUAGAUUAGUAUCCUUCCCGAUAUUUUAAAUUUUAGUGCAGUGCGGCCGGUUCUUGGAAAAACGGUUCAAUUACCCCCCUUUAAACAGGUCCUCCUUCCAUUUAAUGGAUUUUUGGCAGAAGCCCAACCCAUAUUGCCACCACCUACUUGUUGCAUUGGCAUUAUUUAUAAGCUUAAUUAAUGUCAAUAAACAAUAUUAUUGUAUUAGCAAGUGAAAAAAAAAAAAUUCAAAAAACUCAAAAAGUUAUAAAAUUUUGUCAAAAAUGGUACAAAAAAUGUGAGUUACUCGCAUUCUUCGUAUCCUUCCCAAUUUUUUAGUGUUUUAAUUUUUAAAUUUUUUAGAAGAUAAUUUUUAUUAUCUCUAAGCUUAAUUAGUAUUAAUUAACAAUAUUAUUGUAUUUUCAAAUGAAAAAAAAAAUCAUUAAAUCAUUAAAUUUCUCACUUUCUUAAUACCUUCCUCAAUUUUUUAAUGUUUUAAUUUUUAAAUUUUUUUGAGGAUAAUUCCCAUCCUUUCUAAGCUUAAUAAAUAUCAAUAAAUAAUAUUAUUGUAUUUUCAAGUGAAAAAAAUUUGAAAAAUUGUAAAAUUUUAAGGGUAUGAAGAAUAUGAAGAAGGGUACGAAGAAUAUAAGGCAUCGUAUUUUUUGUACCAUUUCUCACAUUUUUUUGUACCUUUUACAUUUACUAAGUGUUUUUAAUUUUUAAUUUUUAAAAAAAAUAAUUUUCAUAACUUCUAGCCUUUGAAAAAAUUAUAAAAUUUUGAUAAUACAAAAAAUGUGAGGAAAGGUACUAAAAAUAUUAGGAUUCCUCUUAUUUUUCAUAUAAUUUCUUAUAUUCUUUGUACCCUUUACAAUUAUUUAGUGUUUUAAUUUUUAAUUUUUUUAGAAUAAUUUUCAUCAUUUCUAAGUUUAAUUAACAUCAAUAAGCAAUAUUAUUCUAUUCUAAGUGAAAUUUUUUUUGAAAAAUUAUAAAAUUUUGAGGAUACAAAAAAUAUGAGGAAGGGCACAUCCUUUCCAAUUUUUUAGUAUUUUCAUUUCUAAUUUUUUAAGGAUAAUUUAUACCAUUUCCAUUUUUUUAUUUAUAAUUCCAUCAAGAUUCAAGAAUAACUCAAAAUAAUAAUAUUAAACUAUUUUAUUAUCAUUUUAAAUUAAAAAGUAAAUCUAAAAUUAAGAAGAUGUAAAUAAUUUAAGGUACAAAAAAUGUGAGGUUAAAACAAAAAAUGUGAAACGGAUAUAAAUAUUAAAUAAUGUGAUAAAUACAUGUUUGGUGCCUUCAUCACAUUUUAAUACAUGCUUGGUAUGUUGAUCACAUUUUUCAUAUCAAUUUUUUGAAAUUAAAAAUUUAUUUUUAAAAAUAGUAUCAUUAGCAACUAAAAAGGGUAUUGAUAAUUUAUUUAUUAUAAUUUUAAUUUAAAAAUCUUAAAUUCAAAAAAUAUAAAUUUUGGAGAAUACGAAAAAUAUUAGGAUGAUCUAAUUAUCUAAGCUUUAUAUAUGAUUAUCAAAAUAUUAAAUUUUAAUGCAAAUACUUAUUUUAUAUUAAAAUAUUAUCAUAUUUAUUUUUAUAUCAAAUUUAAAUAUUUAAUAAUUUAUUAAAAAUAAAACAAUACAGUCAAAUAAUUAUUUUUUAAUCCAAUUCUAUUUUUAUUUCAAUAUUUAUCACAUAUUUAUUUUAUUUAAACCCAAAAUUGUGGGGAAAUGGGGAAGAAGAGGAAAAAGGAGAAGAGAGUGGAAGGUCACAACUGGUCCUUCCCGUUAAGUGGAUUUUUUUUUUUUUCAAAUUUAAAAUGGAUGGCCAACAUGUAAUCUUGGACAUCCAAUGGCUUAAAAAAAAUUUGUACAGUACCGAAGGAGGUACCCUAGAAUUGUCCAUCAAAAGUCAGGAACCCACCAUCAAGAAGAGGGUCCAACCGGAUACCUAUUCAAAAGUGUCAUCAGUCUCAUCAUUUAUUUCUCACUGCUUUCCAUCCAUUACUUUCUUUUUUUAUUCAAUUCAUUUGCUUAUUACCCUUUUUGUUUUUCCUUUUUUAUUUUCUUACAUCUUUUCAUCCCAAUAUUUAUACUUUUCAUCAAAUAACUUAAAUUUAUAUAUAUAUAUAUAUAUAUAUAUUUUUUUUUUUAAUUAAUAUAAUUUUAUUAUGCUAUUAAUAUUUAAAAUUAUUCAUGUUAUUAUUCAUAUCAUUUUUAUUAAUAUUAUCUAUCAUUUUUAUAAUUAUUAUUCACCUUAUUAUUCAUAUCAUUUUCAUGAAAUUAAACUAGGAAAGGAAAGGAGCCGAGCAUUCGUUCCAAACGGAGAGAUGAAAAGUAGAAUGAUCUCUAGUGAAUAUGAGUAACGCUAGGAAAAAUGACAAAGGAGAUGAGAAAGCUCAAGUAGAACGAGGAAAGUCAAUGGUUUUUGCAAGCAAAAAUCAGCAGCAGAGGUCAUCAAGAAAAGAGUAACGAAAUUGAGAUAUAAGUAACACACUAACACCAAGCAGAUUCCUGCCGUAGGGCUGAAUGUGAAGGGGGUAUGUUGGGACGUCAUUUGUUUGUUUGGCCCUGGUCAGCCGUACCACCGAGCUGUGCCAGACGGGGGCAUCACAGCCGGAAUGGGCCGGACCGGAGUGGCCUUCCCAGGAUUCGAACUCAAGUCCUAGCCUUAAGGACGUUGAGGUUGCUCUUCUGGUACCAUAUCCCAUUUCGGGUGUGAUUCCCCCGUNNNNNNNNNNNNNNNNNNNNNNNNNNNNNNNNNNNNNNNNNNNNNNNNNNNNNNNNNNNNNNNNNNNNNNNNNNNNNNNNNNNNNNNNNNNNNNNNNNNNCCAUUAACACUUUCCUCUUGGUUUGGUGUUAUAGCUGUUUUUUACAAGGUCCUGUUGGGACGUCAUUUGUUUGUUUGGCCCUGGUCAGCCGUACCACCGAGCUGUGCCAGACGGGGGCAUCACAGCCGGAAUGGGCCGGACCGGAGUGGCCUUCCCAGGAUUCGAACUCAAGUCCAAGCCUUAAGGACGUUGAGGUUGCCCUUCUGGUACCAUAGCCCAUUCCGGCUGUGAUGCCCCCGUCUGGCACAGCUCGGUGGUACGGCUGACCAGGGCCAAACAAACAAAUGACGUCCCAACAGGACCUUGGAAAAAACAGCUAUAACACCAAACCAAGAGGAAAGUGUUAAUGGCUUGAGGUAUAGAAAGUGUACGGGUGCAUUGGUCAGUGAGAGAAGCACGCUCACUGUUUGCAAUAAAGCGUGAGGCAGGUGAUGCGAAGAUGUAAUAAUAAAGUUAAUAAAGUUUUCAGUAAUUCUUGUGGUAUUUUAUCAUGAAUGCUGAAUGUGAAGGGCAGAGAGUCGGUAUGACAUGACUAAGCAAAAACCACCUAUAAAUUAUCAUACAAAACCAAGCAGAAAGUGUUAUGGCUUUAGGCGUAGAGAGGGUAAGAAUGCAUAACUGUUGGGAUGUGGAUAGCCAAGUCAUGACCAUUAAUCCGAGUUUCUGGCCGAAGUAGUAUUUCUUUGUAAAAAAAAACCCAAAGUAAUCCGGUUUUCAAACUAUUUGCCAAAAUACUCUUUUUAAUCCACAUAAGCAAUCCACGUCAACAACCAUCUUCGUCAAACCUGUUUUUUUCCUUUGGAGACCCAAUUCCAGAAAGUAUUCUCCACCAUCUGCAGCUCCAUUUUCUCUCCUCACCGGCUGCGGCUCCCACCAGUGGCUCCCACCAGCAACUCCACCAGCAGCUAGGUAAAUUUUUUUCGGGUUCAUGAGUUUUUUCCCACUCAUUUUCCUUAGCUUUCUUACCAACCAAACAGAGGAAAACAAGUUGUUUUGAAAAUUUUAAAAAUCUCAAGUUGUUUUCAAUUUCAUAGCUAUCCAAAAAACUUGAAAAACCCUUUCCUCCACCUUAUAUUCCUCUUAUCCUGGAACCCGAAAAACCCUAACCUUUGCCUCAUUUUCCUCUCAUCUCAGAAUCCUGAUAGUUGUCGAUCUGCCCAUGAUUCAUCUUCAUCGUGAUCCAAAAUAUGGAUUUCGGAUUGGAUGAAGGUGGGGGAGCGAGAAAGACUUGGAGAGGUUAAGGUUUAUACCUUAGCCACAGAUCCAUUCAGGGGAAGUUCGUUAUUGUUGUCUAUUUUACCAGAAUUAUUGCUCAAAUUAAAAUUACAGUGAUCAAGAUCUGAUAAUAGGUUGCUGUCCAACGGGUCUUCAGAAACAUAAUGACAUGUCUCAUGGUUGUCAAUAGAAAGACCAUUUUCUGGGUCAACCAUGAAGUGGCUAUCACUUGUAUCUGAGCCCAACAAACUGUGUUCACCCACAUUUUGUCCAGAAGCAUCUCCUGAUAUAAUAAAGUUAGCAAGAGUCUUUUGUGUCGGAUUAGAUAGAUGACCGUCUUUGUCCUCAUUGAAAUGAGACAUGCGCAGGCCUACAAAAGACAGCAGAAUUGGGGUUUCGAAAGGGAGAAAAAAAAAUUCUUUUUUCUAUAAAAAUGGAGUUAAUAUGUUGGAAAUUAACAUAGUUACAAUGCAUCAAGUGGCUAUUAAUUUUAGAAAAGAAUAUGUUUUAGUGAGUUCCUCAAAAUUGAGACAAAUGGUCUAUUGCUAUCUGGCUUUGAUUAUACUUGGAAUAAUGAUGAUGUAUUACAGGACAGGGCCAUCCCUGAUGAAUUUGUGACUACAAUAUCAUUUGGUUUAUUAUUUUCUGUUAUCCCUGCACAUGAAGUGUAAAAUUUUCUUUUUAGCCAAUUCCAAUCACAAAUUGGAUGAUGAUAACUGUUGAUGAUGUUUUUUCCUUUUAACUUUUCUUGGAUAAGUAUGUGAAAGAUGUUAUUAUGCCUUGGUUAUUAAAAUGAGAGUUUACUGACUGAAAGUUGAAGGGUUUGAAAUUAAAUAUGGCCUUUAGCAGGGUGCUUAGGGGAAACCUAUGAAAUCCCAAUAUGGAAUGGAAAUACACUCCUGCUUAAUGUAGAGCUUAAUGUAUUGAUCUUUGCUUUACACUGAUCAAAGCACGCUCUUCACAUUAGUGCUAAUUUUUCAUAUUUUUUGUGGCAUAUUUUACAUGUUCAACUUUCUCAACCAUUACUACUGGUAAAAUUUCAAUAGCCUUACAAUUACUCGCUCCCGGAUAGAAGCUUCAAUUCCUCACAAACAUGGGCCUGCUAUUGCUGGUUAUGAGGCAGUAGCUUGCUUGAUCUUAUCCAUAAACUAUUUCUAAAAGUACCUUAGUGGCUGUAAGCAUGUUUGUUAGAAAACUUACAAUACAAUGAUAUAAUUCAUUUUCCUGAUGUAAAUCUUAUUUAUUGCUUGGCUGUAUCUCAUCUGAAGUGUAUUUUAUGGUACAAAUAUAAUGCACAAUACAAUGAUACACGUACAACAAUACAUAUAAACAACAAAUAUUAAUAUUUGCCUAGUGAGAAUCUGGAACUAAAAUUUAUAGCCAAAAAUUCAAAAAGCUUUGUUUUGUGGAUUUUGUAAGACACCUAUGCAUUAAAGUAAAAAAUUGGGGAAAAUGACUCAUUAUUUUUUGUAAGAAUCUGCUUCUUCCAGGUUUAAUACAUAUUUAUGGGAAUCUUCUUGACAUAAGACAUAUGGAAGCAACUUCAAAAAGUUACAGAAAAAGAAAAGUGAAAGCCUCUACACUUCCUAAUAAAUAUUUUAUCUUCUUAUUUAUUAUAAUUACUAGAUUUAUCGAGAAACCAUCAUUACAAAUGCUUAAGUUUUUCAAAUUAUUUUUAAAUUUGUUUUCAUAAUUUAUUAACUUUAUAAAAUUGGAAGUGAUUAUUAAAUUUAUUUUUGUUUCUUUUUCUCCUCUAAAAAAAUAUAUACUUUUUAUUAUAUAUAUAUAUAUAUAUAUAUAUUUUAAAAAUUUAUUAGGAUGAAGGAGAUUUGAGUGUGUCAUUUUUCAAUCAUCAUUUUUAUAAAGAUAAUACUAUUGCGCAUCUAACAAUCUCUUCCCCAUUAUAGGGCUCCUAGAACUCGAAUCAUGACCAAACUCUAGGGCUCCUAGAACUCGGAUCAUUUAAUGACAUGUGGAACAUUUAAUAGCACUUAUACAAAUGCUAACAACUUUAUAAAACUGUAAAAAGACAUGUAGAACCUAGGCUGGAUCUCCAAACCAUGAAAAUUGCUUGUAAUUAUUGGUUAGCUUUUGAAUUGUAUCAUAUAUUAGAAAAUGUAUCAAAUUCUCAAUUAUUAUAAAUUCCUUUUGGUAAAGAAUAUUGUAUAAAGUAUUUUCUAAGUUAAUUUAUUAUUGUGAUAUCAUAUUUCCUCAUAGAAUAAGGAAAGUUAUUUAGAAUAUUUUUAUAAAUAUUUUAGGCCAUAGAGGGAAAAAUCUAUAAGAUCGAGAUAGACUCCUAAAGAUUAUAAAAUAUUUGAAGAACUCAAUAGUUAUAAAUAAUAAAAAAACACUAAAACCAAAUUUAAUAUAUAGAAAAUAUUAGUUUUUACUUCAAAUUUAACUUAUUAAAUUAUAAAUUGUAGAAAUUUAAUUAAAUUAAUUUUUUUUUAAAAUUAACUAGACAUAAGCAAAAGUGUAUUAACUAUUCCGCUUUCUCUUUUUCAAUUAUUUAAAUGGAAAAUAUUAAAACAUUUAUAGUCGUAACUAUUAAUUAUGUUGAAUAUGUACACAUUACAUCCAUUCUUGAACAAAUUUAAAAAAAUUUCCUACUUAAUUUGGGUAGCUUAAACAAAGACAUUUUAAUUGUUAAUGGAAAAAUAAAAACCUUUUAUUCAAUUUUAAUGGUAAUAAAUAAUAAGAAAAUAUUAUUAAUAAAAAACAUUGAAUUAUUUGGAUAUUAAGGUGUUAUUUGUUAUUUGAUAUUGUUAAUAACAUACCCUAUUAUUGUUAUUUGUUAUUUCAUUACAAAUUGAUGUUAUUAGUAAUGUUUUAUAUUGUGUAAUUUUGUGGUUAAAAAUGAAAUUGAUUUGAUUUUUUUGGCUUCUUCUAUAGGUAAACUAUGUCUAAUUUAUCGGUGGCAAUAGUUUGUUUUUGUAAUGGGAAAAUGGUGAGAACACAGACCGAUGUUGAUUAUGUUGGGGAUAGAGUUGUGGUUGAACCUAUUGAUGUGCCUCUUGGGACAACAUAUGAACAACUGUUGGAAAUGAUAUACUCGGUCACUGACAUCAAUAAAGAACAUUUUCGAUUAAUACUUAGUUGUAAGUAUCCUAUGAAAAAAGGGAACAAAUUCCAACCUUGCCCAGUAAAGAAUGAUAGUGGUGUAGCUCGAAUGUUAGAAAUGCAUAACAGAUUUGGGAUGGAUGAAGUUGAGUUAUUUGUUGAACAAGUACCUAUUGACUUACAAAUGAAUUCACCACUUGGUAAUUGCAUGCCUUUGUUACUUGGUGAAAAUGAUGGUACUAGUAAGUUCAAAAUCCAUUUACUUUUGAGCAUAGAUCAGAAGAGGAUGAGGAAGACGAAGAAGGAACACAAUGUGAUGAUGACAGUGUAAGAGCUGAGGAUGUUCAUAAUGAUGAUAAUCAAGAUAGGGAAGGUAGCUCGCCUUUUUUAUCUGUUCGUGAGGCAAUUGAAAGAGAACAAAUGAGAUAUGUGGCUGUGGAUGGGGAAGGAUGUAACUUGUCAAACAAUCCAGAUACAGAGGAUUUAGAUGACCCAAUUGAAUUAUCUCCAAUGCAAUAUCAUUUGGCACCAUCACCACAGUUUGAAAAUGUUGAAAACAUUGGUCAUGUUGUGUCAAGUGAAUGGACCCCAUGGGGAAACACUCUUAUGGGACAUCCAACUGGAGAGUUCAUAGUUGGACAAAUCUUUAAUUCCAAAGGAGAUUUGCAACAUGCUGUAAAGAUGUACUCUAUUAAUUCGCACCAAGAGUAUAUCGUUUUGUCAUCCACAAAGAAAUUGUUGGUCCUAAGAUGCAAGAAAGCUGAACAGUCUCAAUGUCCUUGGAGACUACGUGCUACAGUUGUUAAAGGGACAUCUUUAUUUGAGAUCAACAAAUAUAGUGGCCCACACACAUGUGUCAAUCCUUGCAUGAACCAAGAUCAUCAUCAGUUAGACUCAAACCUGAUAGCCGCCCAUAUAGAGGGAAUGAUUAAGACACAAUUCACACUUUCAGUGGCUGCCAUUCAAGCAAGUGUUGUAGAAAGAUUCGGGUACCAUAUCUCAUACACUAAGGCUUCGAAAGGCAAGCGUAAAGCAUUAACUAAUUUGUUUGGUGAUUUCUAUAAAUCAUACGCUAAACUGCCACAUUUUUUUGGUGCCUUAGAGCAAGCCAAUCCAGGAUGUGUUGUAAUUUCUAAAACAUUCCCAGGAAAUAUGCGAAAUGAAGAGGUAUUUCAGCGAGUCUUUUGGGCAUUUCAUCCUUCCAUAGAGGGCUUCAAGCAUUGUCGUCCUGUGUUAACUAUUGAUGGUACACACUUGUAUGGGAAGUAUAAGGGCACUGUAAUGAUUGCCAUGGGCUGUGAUGGAAAUAAUCAAUUGUUUCCUUUUGCUUUUGCAUUAACUGAGGGUGAAAAUGUUGAUAGUUGGGGAUGGUUUUUGGCAUGUAUUAGAAAUCGAGUAACUCAAAGGAGGGGUCUUUGUGUUAUCUUUGAUCGUCAUCCGAGCAUUAUGGUUGUGUUUGCUGAUGUUUACCUUGGUUGGUCUGAGCCAAAUGCAUAUCAUCGAAUUUGUAUGCGCCAUCUUGCUAGCAACUUUAUGACUCACUUUAAGGACAAAUGCUUGAAACAACUUUUAUGCAGAGCCGCCUUAGAAACUAAGGUAGAAAAAUUCAACAUGCAUAUGGAGACAUUGGGAGAAUCGAUCAAAACGCACUCAGUUGGUUGGAGGGUAUUCACUUUGAGAAAUGGGCACUAUCACAUGAUGGAGGUCGACGAUAUGGCAUAAUGACUACAAACAUGUCAGAAGUGUUCAAUAGUGUGCUUAAAGGGGCACGGAGUUUCCCUAUCACCGCAUUUGUUCAAUUGACAUUCUAUCGACUUAAUAGUUACUUUGUUGUAAGAAGAGAACAUGAUGCUAGUCGACUUGCUUCAAGUGAACAAUACACUCCUUAUGUUGAUGCUAAGAUUAAUGCAAAUGUUGUUAAGGCAGGUUCUCAUGAGGUUGUUUUGUAUGAUCACUUCCAAGGACUGUUUCAUGUGAAGGCUAGUAGGGGUAGCAAAAAGACAUCAUCUGGUGGAAGAACACAUCGUGUUAACCUACGUGAGCAUGUAUGCACAUGUGGCAAAACACUCAUAUAUGGAUUCCCAUGUAGUCAUAUUCUAGCGGCAUGUCAUUUUCGUUCAAUUGAUUUUAGAUCAUUUGUUCAACAUUAUUACACUAUACAAUCGUACUUUAGCACUUGGGCACCACUGUUUAACCCCAUACACAAUGAGUACGAGUGGCCACCAUAUGUUGGUCCAGUUAUUGUGCCUGCAGAUUCAAUGAAACGUGUGUCAGGUGGACGACUUAAAUCUACUCGUUUGCACAAUGAAAUGGAUGUUAGAGAAGGUAAAACCUCAGUUACAUGUGGUUUGUGCAAACAAAGUGGUCACAAUCGUCGUUCUUGUCCAAAUAAGAACAUGGGUGCUGGGCCUUCAUGAUGGGUGCUAGGCUUUGGAUGUUGAUAUUAUGUUAUUUGUAUUUUGGACAAUACUUAUGUUAUAAGAGAGACUUUGCUGUUAAUUUCAAAAUUGUAAUAUGAAUAUUUUGAUGAAUCAGGUUGUUUGUAUUUUGGAGAAUACCCUAUUUAUAAGGGAGACUCUAUCGAAAUUUUUAAUAUUUGGAUGCGAACAUCAUAUUAUUACAUUUUUCUUUUCAUUAUUGUCCUUGGAUAUUGAUAUUGGUUGUAGAUGAAUAUUUUGAUUAAUCAGGUUUUUUUUUUGUAUUUUGGAGAAUACCCUAUUUAUAGGGGAUACUCUGCCGAAAUUUUUAAUAUUUGGAUGUGAACUUUAGUGUUUGAUAAUUUUUUUUAAAUUAUUGUACUUGGAUAUUGAUAUUGGUUGCAAAUAAAUAUUUUGAUUAAUCAGGUUAUUUGUAUUUUGGAGAAUACCCUAUUUAUAGGGGAUAUUCUGCCGAAAUUUUUAAUAUUUGGAUGUGAACUUUAGUGUUUGAUAAUUUUUUUUAAAUUAUUGUACUUGGAUAUUGAUAUUGGUUGCAAAUAAAUAUUUUGAUUAAUCAGGUUAUUUGUAUUUUGGAGAAUACCCUAUUUAUAGGAGAUACUCUGCCGAAAUUUUUAAUAUUUGGAUGUGAACUUUAGUGUUUGAUAAUUUUUUUAAAAUUAUUGUCCUUGGAUAUUGAUAUUGGUUGCAAAUAAAUAUUUUGAUUAAUUAGGUUAUUUGUAUUUUGGAGAAUGCCCUAUUUAUAGGGGAUACUCUGCCGAAAUUUUUAAAAUUUGGAUGUGAACAUUAGUGUUUGACAAUUUUUUUUUAAAUUAUUGUACUUGUUGGAUAUUGAUAUUGGUUGCAAAUAAAUAUUUUAAAUUAUAAUAGUAACAUUAUUUUAUUAUGACAGUAUAGUAAUGGAGCAUAGAGAGGGCAGAUUCGAUCCAGAUCCAUUAGAUUGCUCUAUUUUAGCGCUACAGGACAGACAUAGGUCUCAAUUAGUGGAUUCUGGUCAGGUAUAUAUGUAUAUAUAAAUAUAGAUGUAUAGAAAAACAUAAUCAUAAACCUUAAUUAAGUUCUUAUUUAAUCGAAAUGGUAUCUUUUGUAGCUUAAUCAGGUAUUGACAUGUCGACAACGUUUAUGGACAUUCAUGCGAGAGUGGGAGAUGGACCCUCGUAUUCGGCGAUAUGUGAUGCAGUCUGGAUUUUAUGGUGUAUAUCGUGUCGGACACAUUUCACUAGAUUGGCCAUUGAUCACGAGUCUUGUUGAGCGAUGGCGGCCCGAGACACACACAUUUCAUUUACCUAUUGGAGAGAUGACUGUUACUUUACAGGAUGUAGCCAUGAUUCUUGGAUUACGUAUUCAUGGGCCUCAUAUCACUGACACAUGUGACAUAGAUUGGUCACUACUAUGUUUUGAGCUUUUAGGUGUCGUCCCACCUCCAUCUCAGAUUAGAGGGUGAUCUAUAUCAGCACGAUGGUUGCGUGAGCAGUUCUCAUAUCCACCAGCAGGGGUCGAUGAUGUUAUUUUACAGCGUUAUGCGCGUGCUUUCAUAUUAGCACUAUUGGGUGGAGCAUGGUUCGCAGACAAGACUGGCACACAUGUACAGUUAUGUUACCUUCCACUGUUGAGAGACUUCACUGAGAUUUCUCACUAUAGUUGGGGCAGUGCAGUGUUGGCAUACCUAUAUGGAGAGCUAUGUCGUGCGAGUUUAGAUAGUGCCACAGAGAUUUCUGGACCUAUCACACUAUUACAGGUAUUUCGACAUAACUAUCUAUUAUAAUUAAUUGACUCACAUUAUUGUUGUAAGUUGUCUAAUUUUGAUAAUGUUAUCUGAUUUUGUAGUUGUGGUCAUGGGAGAGACUUCAUGUGGGUCGACCUGAUUUCGAUCGUCCUCCAAUGCCUAUAGUAGUCCCACAUGUACAUGAUGAUGUAGUUGAUGGUUUACAUGAUCAUCUAUUGCCAGAUGAGCCACUCCCAAUCCAUCCAUUGGGCCAUAGGUGGAGAGUACCCCUGUCUUGGUCUCAUAACCCAUCACCACAUGUGUUGACAUUCUAUCGAGAUCAAUAGGAUGCCCAGACACAGGAUCAGGUAAAAUGUAGAUGCGUAAGAUUACCUUUGCAAUAUUUUCCACCAAUGUGACUAAUUAUUUUUUAAAAAAAUUACAGGUAUUAUGGGAACCAUAUACAGCAGAUUUGAUUGCACAUCUUCCGGCUAUAUGUCAGGUUGACGAAGAAAUUUGGCGAACUAUGUCACCUCUAAUUUGCUUUGAUAUUAUCGAGUGGCAUAGACCAGAGUGAGUUUUACGCCAAUUUCAUAUGCAACAAGGGAUACCUCCACCUUGUUUGAUAGAUAUGGAGCUACAUUUAGUGGAUAGGCGAGGACGACAUCAAUACGAUUGGGUCACAUUCCAUGCUCAAUAUAUUUCUCUUUGGGCUACUCAUUCUAAGCGUAUUGCGACAGCACCACUUGUGAUUACUACCAUGUCUUUUUAUGAUCCAUAUAUGCAGUGGUAUCGACGUAUCACGCGAUGCCUGAUCGCACCUGUUUUGCAUAGAGAUCAUAUGAGGUUCCAUAGUACAGCUUCUGCCACUGAGUUAUUGGUGAGAGCAUUUGAGAUACAAAACCAUUUUUUAAUGAAUGUUAAACUUAAAUUAUGUGCAAAUGCCUCAUGUUUUAUUUUCUUAUACAGAUCACCGCCGUAUCGCAGAUGGCUAUUUCAAAUGAUUUGGAGGAAACUCACCGAAUUGCUAUUGAUGUUUUACGUGCUAUAGGAGAGGACCAUCGCGUACACUCGACACAUGAGCCAUCCACAUCUUCAGGAUCAUCCAUGAGACCACCAUCAUUGAUUACGCCUGUUAGGGUACCACCCAUUAGAGGUCGGGGGAGAGGUGGUCGUCGAGCUGGUCACCGACAUGUACCUUUGGCAUCUACUUUGGUACAACCCUCACAUCCACCAGUCACAUCUACCUUUCCUUUAUUUCAGCCAUCUACAUCAUUAGAGUUGCCACUUUCUCCCCCUGAUGUAUCCAUACCAGCCUAUUCACCUCGACCCGAGACUACCAUACCAUCUACCCUUACCCCUGUUCAGCCAUCUAUAUCAUUGGAUGCACCCCCACCUAUUGCAGAGUCUUUUGCACCCCCACCUAUUAUAGAGUCUAUUGCACCUCCACCUGUUACAGAGUCCGUUGCACCUCUACCUUUUCUUCAAGGGACAGCUCAUGCUGCACGAUUACAUGUACGGGUACCUAGAGGACAUCGAGCUCCACGUGUACGUCGAGUUCUACCUCCAUCAGUUCCAUCUAUCUCGACAACUCAUGUAGAUGACGUGUCAUAGUCUAUAGAGAUGGAGACUUUUCAGAUAGCAUAGAUGGAUACAACAAAUAUGGCCAUCUACCGUAGAUGUUCACAACGAAAGAGAAAGAUUCCAUCAUGUGGGACACAUUGAGAUCUUUUUUCAUGUUUGUAGAACUAUUAUACUUUGGUUUAUACAUUUAAGGUUAUAUAAAGUGUUAAUUCAAAUUAGUGAUGUUAUGUUAUUCACAUGUUUCCUUGAUAAUUUAAACAAAUAAAACUCAAAUGCAUCCUAAAGUCUAAAUGAAAGAAAUUCUAACUAAAUAAAUUAUUACAACCAUUACCUAUUUUUCUUUCAUAUAAUUAAAAAAUUAUACAUUUUAACCAAGACUUAAGUUCAAAUCAUACUUAAUAAUAAAUAACCUAAAAUCAUAAUCAUUGGCAUUAAUUUUCAUAUGAAAAUAUAAAAUUUUAAAAUAAUAUAAACAAUUUCUUUAGUUAUUUUAAAAUUUUAAAAUAAUAUGAAUAAAUAAUUUUCUUUAGUUCAUAUGUGAAAAUAUUUGUAAAACAAAUAAAUAUUUUAUUUACUAUAAAUAUAUAAAUUUUUAUGGGAGUGCAAGUAGACCAAAUUAUUUUCUCAAAUUUCCAAGGAAAAUAUGAAAAAAUAAAGAUAAUAUAUAUAUAUAUAUAUAUUUAAAACAGUCGUAACAAAAAAAUUUAUGAAAAGCAAAGUUCUAAAAUCCCAUACUUUUUUAUACAUGAGUUCCCCUUAAAAAUAUUUGUGAAAAUUACAACAUAAUUGUAAUUUUGAUAAAAAAAAAUAUUUUAAAAAUAAUAUUAAAAUUACAACACCAUUAAAAUAUUGAAAAUAAUUGUAAAACCACAAUUACUAACUGUGGUUUUAUGGUUGUUUUGAUAAAAAAUAUUUUUAAAAUAAUAUUAAAAUUACAAUACUAUUAAAACAAGUGUGAAUUAAAAAUAAUUGUAAAACCAUAUUUGCUAACUAUGGUUUUAAGGGAAAUUGUAAAACCACAGUUUGUAACUGUGGUUUUAAGGAUACUUCUUUUAAAACCAUAGUUAUAGUAACUAUGGUUUUAUGGGUAUUUUGAUAAAAAAAAUAUUUUAAAAAUAAUGUUAAAAUUACAACACCAUUAAAAUAGAUGUGGAUUGAAAAUAAUUGUAAAACCACAGUUAGUAACUGGGGUUUUAUGGUUGUUUUAAUAAAAAAUAUGUUUAAAAUAAUAUUAAAAUUACAAUACUAUUAAAACAGGUGUGGAUUAAAAAUAAUUAUAAAACCACAGUUACUAACUGUAGUUUUAAGAGAAAUUGUAAAACCACAGUUACAAACUGUGGUUUUAAGGAUACUUCUUUUAAAACCAUAGUUAUAGUAACUAUGGUUUUAUGGGAAUUUUGAUAAAAAAUAUAUUUUAAAAAUAAUAUUAAAAUUACAACACCAUUAAAAUAGAUGCGGAUUGAAAAUAAUUGUAAAACCACAGUUACUAACUGUGGUUUUAUGGUUAUUUUGAUAAAAAUUAUUUUAAAAAUAAUAUUAAAAUUACAACACCAUUAGUAAAACCACAAUUAGUAACUGUGGUUUUAUUGUUGUUUUGAUAAAAAAAUAUUUUAAAAAUAAUAUUAAAAUUAUAACACCGUUAAAAUGGGGAUGGAAUAAAAAUAAUUGUAAAACCACAGUUAUUAACUGUGGUUUUAAGGGAAAUUGUAAAACCACAGUUUAUAACUGUGGUUUUAAGGAAACUUCUUUUAAAACCGUAGUUAGUAACUAUGGUUCUAGGAGAAAUUAUAAAACCACAGUUUGUAACUGUGGUUUUAAGAAAAUUUAUGUAAGUUUUAAAACCACAGUCACCAACGGUGAUUUUUUACACUUAAAAUCCAUAUGGAUGCUUACUUGGACAAAGAAAACUACUUUGACAAAUAUUUUCAAAUGGAUACUAUUCUUAUUAUUUUUUUUUACAAAUAUAUUAUUUUGUUCUUAAACUCCAUUAAUCCUGUUGUCAGAAUCCCAUCCCGUGUUAGACUGCAAAAGUCUAAUAAUAAAGGUCUUGAUAAGGAGAAAUCACAAGAGCAUUUAUUACAUCAAUAAUUAUUAGCAAUCAUCUGGAGCCCACGAUCAAGAAGAGGAUCCAGCUGGAAACCUAUUCAAAAAUGUCAUCAAUCCCAGUAUUUAUUUCUUACUUUAUUUUUUUAUUCCAUUCAUUUGCUUAUCACUUUUUUUGUUUUUCCCUUUUUAUCUCGUUACAUCUUUAUCCCGAUAUUUAUACUUUCAUUAAAUAACUUAAAUUUUUUUUAUAUAUUUUAAUGAUGAAAUUUAAAAUCUUUACUUUCAUAUAUUUUUCCUUUUAUACUUUUUGUUACCCAUUAUUAUUAUUAAAUAUUAAUAUUACUAUUAAUAUAAUUAUUUAUAAUAUUAAUAUUUUAAAUUAUUCAUAUUAUUAUUAAUAUCAUUCUUAUUAAUAUUAUCUAUUAUUUUUAUGAUCAUUAUUCACCUUAUUAGUCAUAUUUUUAAUAUUAUAAUAAUAAUAAUUUUAUUAUAUUUAUAUUAUUAUUAUUAAAAAAACCCUAAAAGAUAUUUUCUAAUUUUUUUUAAUUCUUAUGGUUCAUAAGCUUUAUUAAAAAAAUUAUUCUGUGCUUUUUAACCUUUUAACUUCAUAUGCUACAUUAAAAUUAAUUAUAUUAUUAUUAUUACUUUACAAAUAUUAUUUUUAUGAUGUUAAUUUUAUAUUUUAUUAUUAAUAUUAUUAAUAAAACUAAUAUUAUAUCCAAGUUAUAGGUGUGAAAAUAUGGUGGCAUUAUUAGCUGGCUUUUCAGUCAUUCCGAUGAAGAAAGUAAUAAAAUAGAGAGAGAUGAGAAAUGUUGAACUGUCGGUUGCAUUAUUGGCCAGCUGGCUUUGAAUCAUUCUGACGAAGAAAGUGAUAAGAGUGAUAUGAAUAUGACCUUUUUCAUUCGGAUGAAGAAAGUAACAAAAUAGAGAGAGAUGAGAAAAGUUGAACUGUUGGUUGCAUUAUUGGCGUGCUGGCUUUGAAUCGUUCUGACGAAGAAAGCGAUAAGAGAUAGAAAGACGAGUGAUAGGGAAAUGACGAGUUUUAGAUGGGGAAGCCUUUUUCAAAAUCAUUAUCACACUAGAUUAGUAUCCUUCCCCAUAUUUUAAAUUCUAGGGCAGUGCGGCCGGUUCUUGGAAAAACGGUUCAAUUACCCCUCCUCUAAACAGGUCCUCCUUCCAUUUAAUGGAUUUUUGGCGGAAGCCCAACCCAUAUUGCCACCACCUAUUUGUUGGUUUUUAGGCAAAAAGCCUGUCCAAACAAGCCCGCCUUACAUUGCCACAUGCUGGGCUCAACCUUAAACCCACAAGGCUUGGACAUGUCAACACCUUGGCUGAGUUCUCCAUAUCCUUCUUACCAUCUGUUGUGGGAUUGAUGGACCUCAAGUUGAGGAGAUGACAUGGGCACCACUCUGAUGCUUAUUAUAUCAAACAAAAGAAAAUAUAUUAUUUUCUAAAAUAAUUUAUAAUAACAAUAUAAUAUUUUUAAAAAUAUAAAAUUAUCCCUAUGCCAACUUGACAGUCAAACUAAAGCAUUUACACACUUUACUAAAAACAUAAAAGGGUUUUUCUUGUUUGUUUAGUAAUGUCAAGCUUUGGCAUUGUUAUUGAAUGAAGAAUUUUCAUCUCUAUUAUUGAUUUUUUUAUUUAAAACUAAAGCAUUUCAAAUUUAUUAUUAAAAAAAGGUUUCAAAUUUAUUUAAAAUAAAAAUUAAAAAUUUUAUCUUUAUUUUAUUUAAAAGAAAUUUUCAAUUUUAUUUUAAGAGAAAAGACUUCUUAGUUUUAUUAAAAAAAUUUAAAAUUUUAUUAUUAUUUAAGAAAAAUAUUUUUUUUUCUUUCUUUUUUUUUUUUUGUCUUAAAAGAUGAUUUUGUUAAAAAAAAAAAAAGGAAAAUUUUUUUUUAUUUAAUUUAAUUCAAAAGUUAUACAAUGUUAUUUUAAAGAAAGAUUUGACAAUUUUAUUGAAAAGGAUUUUGUAGUUUUAUUUAGAAAAAACAUUUUUGAUAGUCUUUUCUUAAAAAGACAUUUUCCUACACAGUUUAUUAUUAAACAAAAUUUUUUUGGACAGUUUACAUUUAAAAGACAUUUUUGGAUAGUUUAUUUAAAGACUAUUUUGGAAAAUUUUAUUUAAAAAUCAUUUUUGAUAUUUUUUAAAUUUAAAGUCAUUUUGACAGUUUUGAUUAAAAAAAAAUAUUUUGACAACUUUAUUUUAAAAAAAAAUAUUUACACAAUUUUUAUUCAAAAAACACUUUAGGUAGUUUUUUUUUUAAAAAAAAAUUAUUUUUAAAAAUGACCUGACAGUUUUUAUUUUAUCCUAAAAAAAGUUUCAAUGUUAUUUUAUUUAUAAAUAAAUAUACAAAACAGAAUACGGGAAAAAACCCAAAUAGGUAAUGCUAUUGCUAUAUAUAUCUACCCCUUCACUCGUCUUUGCAUCACUCACCCCACACACAUUCUCUUUCUCCUUUCACAUUUUCAGUUAAGUGAGUCUCAUACUCAACUUCUUACAUUCCUUUCUAGGUUAUUCUCUUGAUCAAAUAAUGUAGUAUUGUGUUGUUUUGCUUUAAAGGCAUGUCAUCAUCCGAUAAGUGAGAAGCAAUUGAAGGAGAUGGGAGAAACCUGAUCUCAGCCGGUUCCAUCCCAAAUGCCGCAGCAAUCUAGGCAGCAAUUGUUAGGAAUGGGGUCAUUUCUUAUGGUAUCAAGAUGGAAAUAUUCAUAGAUCUUCCUAUUGUUGGAAAGAUGAGUAUACCCAUUGAGGCAACUGGAAUGGUACCCGUACGCUUACCUUUUAUGAAUAUGAAUGCUGAUAUUGGUGUUGAUGGUAAAGAGGAGGAGAUAUACAAUUAGCAUGUACUAAAAAAAUUGGUGGGUUUAAACAUGUCUUUUUUUUUUUCCCCCCAAUUGACUGAGCCUCAAAAUUCCCACUUAUAUUUACAAAUCCCCAUUUAAUAAUUUGUAUGUGAUUCAUCACCACUUUGAUCACUACCUUUACAUUGUUAUAGAACCUCCAUCUCAUGCAUGUAUGCAUGCACAGAGUACGUACAUCUUUCUAGUAAUAGAUGGAUAAAAACUAUUUUUAUGCAUGCUUCCUCGUAUUACUAACCUUGGUUGCAAAUUGCAAUAUGUGAUUGCUUUUAUUUUUUUCUUCUAUCUCAUGCAUUCACUUGUGCACACAAUUCAUUGUUGCCAAUUUCAAUUCUUGCAGAAUUAGAGAAGGACCAUAGAAGAUGUCAGCAAAAGUGGUUUGCAUGAUGAGUUUCUACUUUCUAUUCUUCUUUUAUUGUCUAAGGUCAUCCUAAUAAUGGAUUAUUAAUAUUAUGUAAUUGGUUUGUAUGAUAAGUGCUUUCUCUUCUUCUUUUAUUGUGUCUAAGGUCAUCCUAGCUAAAAAUGAAUCAACAUUAGAAUAGUGUACGUGCUAGCAUUGACAUAGCAAGCCAUAACACAACUGCUUGCUCUCUAUUGUCAUAGGGGUUGCACAUAAGAGGAGAAUGAGCAAGAGUUAUACAACCGGCUCCCUUUCUAUAAAUUUAUUAUUAUGAAAAUUACAAGAUAAUUAACACUAAUAAAAAAUUUUAAAACUUAGAAAAAAUUGUCGAGAUUUAUUCGAUGACUAUUAUUAUUGAAUGUUUAAAUUAAAAAUAAAUUAGAAAUACGCACUAUUAUCUUGGAAAUAGUGAGUAGCAUGGUUGUGAUACAAUUCAUUUACAUUGUUGUAAACAUAAUUUAGCAUAGUUGUAAACACCAAGAAUAGAAUUAUUAUAAAUAUUUAAAAAUAUAAGGACAAAUAUAAUAAAUGAUAUAAAUGUAAAUAUGAUAAAUGAUGUUAUUAUAAAUGUUUCUAAAAAUAAGGUUAAACAAUGUGUCACAACAAAAAUCAUUUGAGUCUCUAUUAUAAAUCAUAGAUUAAAAAUAAAUCAGUAAUGUAUUAUAAUACUGAUUGCAUAGUUGUAAUACAAUGAAUUGACAUUUUUGUAAAUAUAAUAGGUAGCACAAUUAUAAAUGUGAUGAAUAGUAUCAUUGUAAAUAUUUCAAUAAAUAAAUAUAAAUAUAAUAAUGACAUUUUAUUAAAUAUGAUGCAUGUGUAGACAUAAAACAAGAAAAAGAAAAAGUGUAUUAAAUUACCACUAAAUUGAUCAUUAAACUUGUGACUUUUUAGUUCAAUAAAAAUUUGAUUUGACAAGGGAUGAAUCACAUAUGUUAAACAUGUGACAUGCCAUUCAAAAGGUUACAUAUGACAAAAUUUGGAAGGUUAUAAAAUCAAAUCUUACAAAAUAAAAUCAAAUAAAAUGAUUAAAGUCGAAUUAGAAAAAAAUAUUGUCCUGUUUAUAAAUUGUAUUCAAAAUGAAGGAAAUAAAUUUUUUAAUUGAAGUCAAAAGGAAAUUAAGAAGAAAUAUUUUCAUGUCCACAAAUUUCUUAAGUGAAUGAGAUAAUUUGUUUAAAUCAAGGAGUCAAAUUCUUUGAAUUAAAGAAUUAAAUCUUAAGGAUUUCAAAUUCUAAUAUUUAAUUUCAUUCAUAGAUAAAGGUGACUUUCUAAGAUGAAGGUGGAUGGAAGAAAAAGCUUUACCAUAGAAAUGGCUUGAUAGGAGGGUUUGACAAAGAUUAAUGCCCUCAUGCUCUCCACCAUGAUGAACAAGCUAUGCUAAAUCCCUCAAUUGAACUUCUAAAAAAAAAAAAAAAAAUCUUAUUAUCAUUCAAGUGGUUAACUCAAACAAAGUUUCACAAUAAAAGCUAUUUUCGGCUUUUAUUAUAGGUCACUGACCCAAAGAUCAAUAUUGUGAAUCUAUGGUGAGAUUUUCUCCUCUUAUAGAACUCCUAAAAUAGACCUCAUGGCUUGGAAUACCCACUAAACUAUUUUAAAUAAUAAAUAUAGUAAAAGGCUUGGUUGAAGAUCAUAUGAAAAAGAAGACUUCAUUCCACAAAAACUUGUCCAUAUAUUUGGCCUCAGACAAGUCAAGUGGGAAUUAUUUGUUUAAGAACAAUGUACAAUGAAUGAUGUGUUGAACAAUUAGCAAAUUUACUUGAAAUUAAAACAAUAACUUGGUGUUGGAGAUAUUAAACUAAUUUAAAUUUUAAGUCAAACAUAAUAAAAGACUUUAUCCAAGAUCUUGUAUUGUAUGGAAUAAAAAUUGACUUCUUGUUUUAUGUGUUUUUACGAUUUUAUUGUUCAAGUCAUGAAGGCAUAUCAAACCAUCAAUCCUCUAGAUCUUCAUAAGUUGAUCAUAAAAAUACAAAUCCUUAUGCUACUCAAAACUUGUGUAUACAUCCCAUGAAACUUGUAUAUAUUCGUGAUAUUACUAACGAUUUGAAAAUUAAACUAGAUUGAUCAGUUUCAUCGGUUUAAUAACAUAAUGAUCAUUACAAAAGUUAUAAAAUUAUCAUUUAUAUAAUUUGGACAUAUGGAUAAAAUUAAAUAAUAGAAAUUUUCCUCUAUUUUGUACAAGUUCAUAGUUAAACAUUAUGCAUAUUUUGUUUAAUAAAAUUUAAAAUAUUAAUAUAUUAUAUUUAUCUUAUGAUUUAAUUUGAUACUAUUAAAGAUAAAAAAAAAUUAAUUAUAUAUAUUUGGACAGUUAUAAUUAUUUUUUAUUUUAGUAAUAUAUAAAUUAUCUAUUUAGAACAUCAUGAUCGUUCAAUAGUGGUUCAACUAUUGAUUUGAUUAUUGAACCAUGAAUCGAUAAUUUUUUUAAUUCAAUGACCGAUUCAGUUAUAAAAAUAUUAGACAUUAUUAUUUACUAACUAUAAAACUAGUCUAAACAAAGCCUAAAUGUGAAAGUUGGCUAAAGGGAAGGGUCACCUUCAUUCCAAUGUUAUAAAAGAGAGCGGGGUUUUCAUUUCCAUGAACUGCUCAGCUAUGUACGACAAAAAAAUUUUCAUUUGAUGUUGGCUAGAUCUUGAAAUUAAUUUUUAAUAUGUACCAUAUAGAAAACAAAUUCUCAUUUUUCCUUCACUCUUAAUGCUUGGAAGUAUUGAGUUAUUUUGAAAAAAAUAAUAAAAAUAAUAAAGAGAAGCAUACCAAUGUAACUCCUAAAUAGUGCCAGAGCAAGAAAAUCUCACAUUUUGGUAAGUUUAUUGAAAGUAUAGUGACAGGUCUAAUACAAGGCAUUUCAGAACAACUUAAUGCUUACUAGUAUCAGUCUUGUCCUAUCUAAGAAAUUAGUUGUUAUUCUCAAAUACUCUAAUUCCUUCAAAUAGGGAGGGUUGUGUUUGGGUGAUUGCUCUUGAAUCCAUCUUCUAGUGAUUGUGCUUUCAUGUCGAGGGACUUUACGUAUUAUAAUAAAACCUUGACAAAUAAACCUUUUAUAAAUUCAUAAUUUCAAUUAAAAAAUAAAAUCUUUUGGUCUCAGGCCAAUUUACAAAAUUAAUAACCUUGUUGAAUGUACAAGAUAAUGUUUUUUUAUAUUAAAAAAAAUCCUUGAAAACCCAAGAAAAUAUAAAUUAAUAAUUGAAGUCCACAAAAAAUAGUAAAUAAAAAUUUAUUAUACUAUAUUUAGUAAUGUUUUUAAAACUUAUAUUUUUCUCAAUUCAAUAUUUUCUCAAAACCAUAACAUAUUUAAAACCAUUUUAUCUUCUAUAAUAUUAACUUUUGAUAUAAUAUUUCUUCCUUUUACAACUUUUUUUAACUUUUAUAAUUAAUAACCAUAUCUUUUUUUAGAGUCUUAAGUUUCUAUGUAUUAAUUUUUGAAUACAUUCAUAAUUUUUUGUUGUGAAUUUAUAAAUCAUACAUGUAUAAUUACUUACAAAAGAAACAUAACAUUUUUUUUUAAUAAAUUACUAAUUAUUCAUUUAUUGAUAAAUCAAUAACCUCAUUAAGAUAAUAAUUUUUUUGAUGUAAUGCUUUUACUUUUCUAAAUUUUCAACAAAGCCAUGACCAAGAAAACUAAAAAUGGCUAAGAUAAUAUGUUAGUUUACAACUGAUUCAUCCAAGUUAAGUCUAUUAGAGACUAGAAUAAUAUGAAUUGAUUAAAUAAAUGGAAAGACCUGUACACCAAUAAAAGAAUUAUAACUAAAUUCUCAAGUAUCAUUGAUCAAAUCACAAUAUAUUUGGCCUAUGAAAUGAUGGUUUGAUGUGCCUCUACAUUUGGAUCAUAAACAAGUGUUCACAAUAUGAGAUAUAACUAUUCAAGCAUUUGGAAAAAUAACUAGAAUGUUGGGUACUAGGAAUUGGUUACAAAAUAUUUAUGAAGUUAAUAGAUAUGAAAUAUCCUCAACAACACAUUCAUUGCUUAAUAUCAAUACAUAUAGGCAAGAAUAAUACUAAUAAAGUUUCCUAAAUUCACUAACAAUUUAAAUCAUGGAGAGUUGAAUUGUAGCAAUCUAGAAAUAUCAAGCUUUAAAGCAAAGCAUACAAAAGAUCUAGCUUAUUUAUUGAAAGAAAUCAAGACACUUAGAGAGAAAAACCUUCCGCUAGUUAAUUUAAAUGAAGGAAAUAUCAUUAACUAGCGUCUUUCUGCCAAGGAUGGUAUCUGUGCAGCUCCUCAAAAGAAGGAAAUCUCACAUACCUGACAAAAAAAAUGAAGACAAUAAGAACAAAAAGCCCUUAUACUAAGAUAAGAUAAUAUAUAUAUAUCAUAUAUGUCAAAGAAAAAUACAAACACCUAUUCAUUUUUCUUCAUAUAGAAAAAUUAAAUCAGUUGUCCUGGUUGUGGUCUGUCAUCAUCUUCAUCCUCCUAUUCAUCCUCUCACUUCUCUCCCACUCCCUCCUCUUUCUAUCCCUCUCCACCAUCCUCAUCUUUCUCAUCACAUCCUCCUCUUCGUUGACCUCAUCAUCAUCGUUGUUGACCACAUCAUCGGUCACUAUCUCCAUAAUCCCAUUCUUUAGAAUCCUGGGCAUUCGAUACACAAAACAUCACAAUGGGUAGGAAUAAGGAAAAGUAUAAUAAUAAAAGUUUUAAAAAGCAAUUAGGAUAGGAGCACAAAUCAUGGAAUGGUAGAUCAAACUACUGCUAUAUUGUAUCCUUGUCUCCUUUAGAAGUGAUAGUGUAUUUAGCCCAGAAUCUUGGGCUAGAGUUGGACAACAUUUGGUAAAGACCCAUAAACAACGUUAAGUCCCAGCAGGUUCUUCUAUCCACAAAUGAGAGUAAGAAUUUCGUAUAAUUGUUUGCCUUUAACCUUUGACCAAAGGAAGGACAUCACUAUCAAUAUGAACAUGUCCAUUGCUUAUCUCCAAAGAUUGAAUGUUUUUGUUAACAAAAUAAAAAAUUAAAAGUUGCGUGAUUAAAUGUUUACAAUAAGUGACAAAGACUGGACAAUCCUUACUUCACUUAUUGCUCCUAAAUGAUGUGUAUUCCAUCAUAAAAUUAAUUUUCGGUACUUUGAAACAAAUCUAAGCAAAAUAAAAUUUCUAUUUUCUUCGUACUUUUGCUUGUGACUAGUUGAAUUGAUAGUUUGUGAAACCCAACACAACUAUCAUUCACCCUAGGUUCUAACAACACUUCAAUUUUCUAAUCCAAUUAAACUCCUUAACUCAAAAACAAAGUAGAAAAGGAAAACACUAUGUACAAUAGAUAAUCAUUUUCUAUCAAUAUCCAAUAUUAUCCUCAAUCAAACAUCAAAUAUUAAAGAAUUUUGAAAUUUUGAGAAUGAUUUACCUUCAAAUGUGUUUGUAUUCUAACUUAUAAUUUCAACCAUAAUAAUAGACUGUCUCAAGGUCUACAUUUAAACUAACUGAAAAUCUAUGUAUGAAUAUUUUGGCAAACACUUUUUGCACAAAAAACCCCUUGACCUCUUCAUGCUUGCCUUUAAAUUUGUUGAAAUUCCUAGGAAUGGUUACUCAUGUUUUAAAGGUUAGGCAUCAAAGAUUGGUAGGUAUAGCUACUAAGCUAAGGGAACAAUUAACAACUAACAAAGCAAACUUAACCCAAAUAGACAAUAAACUAAGCAACAACAAACAAUAAGAGCAUAAAAGGAUCCAUACAAACCCAUGCAGAAUUCUGCUUCCAUCAAAUCAGGUUCCUUGUACUAAAAAAUUAAACAGACUAAACAUAACACAAACAUUAUAUGGGUUUGCUCUGUGUCUUUUUCUCACAGUUAGACAAAUUUCUGAGAGAUGAAAAAGAAAUAAAAUUAGAAUUCACAAAUUUCUAAAGAAUCGCGAAGGUGAAAAAUAGUGUUUAUAAUAUAAUGACAUUAGAAAAUUUCAAGAUAUAUACCUUCUCCAAAGCUGUAUUAUGGAUGAUGGUAUUGAUGUCACACCCCAAAAAAUGCUCUUCCGCAUGAUCGUCAAUUUUUACUUCCUUUACCCUUGGUGUACUUGGGACUGUCUCACAAAAAUAUUCCAUCUGAGGGCAUCCUUUCACCUCAAAUUGUUCCAAGGAUGGGAAUUUGAAGAUACAUCUAGUUGAGCAGAACCAUUUUAGACUUUGUAAGUGAACAAGUCUCAACCUUUGUAAUUUGGAGAAAACAAUAUCAUAUGGUUCUUCACCUCCCUCAUGUCUGACUAUUUCUUCCACCAAUUCGCAUUUUUCUAUAGUAAGCACUUUGAGCUGCACCAAUGUUUUAGCCAUUGAGGAAGUCACCAGAUAUAUUAAAUUUCCACAACCACGUACUUCUAGAGAAUGAAGAUUCUUAAAAAUUUGACCUGUCUCAACUUGAUAUUCCUUAUCAACAAGUUCGAAUACCUCUUUCACUGAAUUACACUUGUUCACAUGAAGUUCCUCUAGAUUAUGCAACUUUGGAAGCACAUUGGAGGGGAUCACAACCAAAAUGUCGUGACACUCUCUUAUCCUCAAAAGUCUCAGCUUGCAAAAUGACUCCCCUGAAAAUUGGCCUUGCCAUAUUUUCAUCUUGGGGCCCAUUAAGAUCAAUUGCUCCAAAUUAAGGAAUGCAUCCUGACAACCAAACAAACAAGAUUAACGAUAUGUCUUCUAUCUCUCUCUCUCUCUCUCUCUCUCUCUCUCCCCCCUCCCCAAACCCCCCUCUCCAACCUCCCUUUUUGUGGCUAAAUAAAUAAGUUAUAUACACAAUUGUAUGUACAAAAAUAUUUUAAAAUAAAGUAAAAAAGAAUACUCUUGUGGCAUACAAUUUUUUUUUUCUUAUUGUUAUGACUUAUAACUAAGGACCAUGUUUGUUUACUUACCAAAUUAAAAAAAAAAAAAAGUUUUCCAUAAUUUCCUUUCUAAUUUAUACUUAAUUACAUGAGUUUAGUUUCUUUUUUAUGUAUUUCAUCCAACGGCCCAUGCCAAAAAUUAAGUUAGGGGGAAAAAAAAUUUAGGAAUUAAUUUCAAGGAAAAAGAAAAGAAAAAAAAAAUUACCUAUGUAGCUUGAUGGCUAAUCAACAUUGCCCUUACAACUAAUGUCACAAUUAAACACAUACACAUAUUAUUUUCCAUACAAGAUAACAAACCACUACAUCUAAAUAAUCCAUUUCAAUUAUUUGCACUAUAUAUUAAUGACCAAAGACUCUCCCAAAUAAUUAGCACUUGACAUAUUUUGAUGCAAUAUAGAAAUUACCAUAUCUUGGUUUGAGAAUAAUUUAAAUAAACCAAUUCUUAUGGUUUUAUAUGAAUUCUUUGAAUUCAAUAUUAAUGUAAGCAUAACAUAAAAAAAGAGGCUUCAAAAUAAUUUAUUUUCAUUAUAGGUUCAAUCAUGUUAAUUUAAAUAAAUCAAUUAUUUAAAUUUAUUAUAAUUUGUUGGUUCUAUUACAUAAAAUUAUAAUUUGACCAUGAAGGUAUAAUUGUUGGAUAAACCAUAAUGCAUGCUAUACCUACAAACUCCUAUGACUUGUAACUGACUAUUUCUUAUUCUUUGGAUUACCAAGUCAUUUUAUCGUAAUUUGAUUAAUUUAGAAAUGGAACAUAAGCUUACUUAGGUCAAUUUUGGAUAAGUUUUAUACAAAAUGUAGACUUCAAAUUCCAACACUAUUCAAGUUUAAGAUUAAAACAUUAUCAUAUUAAUGAAAAAUGAUUAGGACGUAGUGUUUAAUGGACUAAAUUUAGCAAUCCAAAUAUGGCAAAAGAAAUGGAGAAAAACCAAACCAUACCUUUUCCAACAAGAAGAAAGAUUGUUGAAUUGGACUAUCAAUAUAACCUUCUGAAUCUAUUUCUUGAAAAAGUGUCCCCACUUGAUCCCAUUUCAACAUAAUUAGCUUUUUCAAAUGUGGCCCUCUUGCAAUACGUGUUCCUCGGUAGAAACCUUUGAGUUUGUCUAAUCCUUCGAGUGUGAGAGAGGUUAGUUUAGGGAAUAAUGAAGACUUUACUUCAUCUCCAUGUUCAUUUGCAACAAUUUCCUCCACUCCACAAUUUAUUAUCUGUAGUUCAUGAAGUUGCACAAGGCCUUCUGCUACCGUAAUUGGAAAAAGAUAUUUUAAACAAGGACACCUAGCAACUUUUAAGAACAGUAGGUUUUGAAAGGAGACAAGUCCUUGAGGAUCCUUAUUCCAUACACUCUUCAAACUAUUUAGCCUCUCUAAAAACAAAUGAAGCAAUGGAAUGGUUGCAAUAUCAUGAAUUUCCUUGCAAUUUACUCCCUGUAGAUCAAAAAUCUCUUCUAUGGAAUCACAAUCAUCUAUUUUCACAUAUUCCAAACUUUGUAACCCUUUUAGGAUAUUGGAUGGAAAAACAUUUAGUAAUUUGUUGCACUUUGAUAUUUCCAAACUUUUAAAGUUGCAACAAGACUCUAGAGGAAGUUGGUUGUGCCAAAUUGCUAUCACAUUAUCCAAGGAUUCCAUUGUCAAGUCCUCCAAGCUAGGGAGUGUAACCUGCACAAUCGAUCACAUUUGGUUAACAAUAUGUAUACCCAUGUAUAUAUAUUCCCGAUUGAGUUAAUAACCAGAUACAUAAAUAAAUAGAAUAUAAGAGGUUAAAGGUCAAGAUAUCAAUGUGACAAAGCACAAAACUAGAAGAAAAUGAAAGAGAAUGCAUAAUAUUUUAACAAUUGAAUGGAAUUUAAAGAUGUUAAAUUUGAGAUGAUUUUCAAAUGGGGCAACAGGUUCCCAAUCUUUGGAUCUCUUUUUCAAAAUUGACAAAGCCUAAUGGAUUAUAUAUGUAUUUGAAGCACCCAUGAUAGCCAUCCAUCGAUAUGUUUCAUAGUCUUAUAACAAGUAUCUACUCUUUUUACCAUGCAGUGAUUCCAUUCAAAAUAUUCCACAUAAAUACAAUAAAAAUAACUAUUAAAGCGGGGUGGUUGAAGACCAGGUGGUUUAUGAUGAGGCCUUUCCUUCUAGUUUUUCCUUACUUAGGAAACCACAAAUGCAAUAGAUGCUCAGGCAUGAGCCUUCUUCAUUCACUAAUUAACCUAGCCUUUAGAUUCUUAAAGCUUGUUUGUUGGUGUAACAUAUAUAUAUUUGAGAAUAAUAUUUUUUUAAAUUUACACCAGUAUUUGAAAGUUGUUCUUGAAUAAAUUUUUAAAAAGAAAGUAAAAUAAAGAAUUAUUUUUAGAAAAUAAGUAGAAAUUACUUUCAUCUAUUUUUAAAAACAAAAGGAAACCAUCAACAAAUAAAAAAUAUAUAUUAGAAAAAAAUCAUUAAAAAAAUAAAGUUUAACAAAAUUUCAUGCCUCUAAAUUACACAAUUUUUUUCUAAAUUUCUUUUAACUUAAAUUUUUUUACUAUAAAAAGAGAUUCUAAAUCAAGUUACAUUUAAUAUAUAUAUAUAUAUAUAUAUAUAUAUAUAUAUAUAUAUAUAUAAUUUUAGAAUAAAAAAACUAAGGCAAUAAAUACUAGAAAAUCAUGGAACUUAAAAUCAAUCUAACUAAUAUUAAAAAAUAACAAUUUAAAUCUCAUCUUGAAUUACUUUACUAAUUUCUUCUUGACAAUAACUAUAUUUUUUAAUAGGCAAAUAAACCCCAAAUCAAGGAAGACUUGAUGUAUUGGAAUCUGGCAAGUUUAACAAUAAUUUAAAACUUUAAUACUAAUCUAAUGAAUUCAAAAAAUUUAUGAAUGAAAAUCGGUUCAAAACACUAUAGACAAAUAAACUCUAAAUCAAGUAAGACUUAAUAUUUAGAUUCACUAUCAAGUCUAUUAAAUUUAAAAAGUAAUUUAUGAUUCAUAAAAUAACCCAAUCACCACUAGAAAUUCAACGAUUAAAACUAGUCUAGAACAACUUUUUUUUUACUUCUCCUCUAUAUGUAAUUAUAUUUUGAUGAUUUUUUAUUAGAAAAUAAUUUUAAAUCAAACAAGACUUAAAAGUUUUAGAUUUAUUAAUGAUUGCACUCAUUUUUAAAAAUAAUCUGGAACUCAAAAAUAAGUUUAGACAAUAAUUGAAUAUAAUAAACCAAAACUAGUCCAAAAUGAGUCUAUGAGAGCUAUAUUGUUUCUCCUUUGCACCUUACUAUACUUUUCCAAUUUUUCUCAUUAAGUAAAUAAGCUAAAUAAAGUGAUAUCAAAACUUAAUGCUUUAGAUUCUCUAAUGAAUAUAUUAAUUUUUAAGAAUAAGAUGGAAUUAAAAAAAUUGACUGAAUUAAUUUUAAAUUGAAUCAAAAUUGGUUCAAAAUACUUUAUCCAUUGCUGAGUAUUGAAAAAUCUAACUUAUUUACAUAUAUAUAAAAAAAUAAACUUUAAUUUUUAAUUUAUUUUAAAUAAAACAUUAUUAAUCAUUAGCAUUUUUAAAUUAUAACCAUUCAUAUUUAACAAAAAAUCAAUUAUGCAUUUGUAAAAACAUUGAUAUCCAUAUUUUAUAAUUUAUAUUAAAAUGGCUCAAUUUCUAAAUUAAAAAAAAAAUCAUGAUUUUAUUAUAAUAUUAAUAUCCAUAUUUUAAUACAAACCAUUUAUUUUGUUAAUUUAUUAGUAAUUAAAAAAAAUUAUUUCCAUAAGACUUGAAUUAAAUCGAAUUAAUAUUAUAUAAAUCAACUUUACAUUUUUUUUUUUUUUACAAAAUCUAAAUAUAACAUUUAUUUUAAAAACGACAAAAGUUAAUAAACGAAUGAGUUUUUUUAUUUUUUGUUGUUUAAAAGUGUUUUUAAAAACAUUUCAAACACUCUUUAUUUUGAGAACAAAAAAUCUAGAAAAUUUUUUGGCAACUACCAAAAAAAAUAAAACCUGCUCUCCAAAACAUAAAGCAUGUGUUUCUUGUGAACAUAUUUUAGUUAUUUUAAUUGUUUUCACUUAAUUUAUUUGUUUAUUUAAAAAAAAACAAAUAUAAAGAAUAAUAAAAAAUAAAACAUUCCAUCUAAAAUUUAUUCUUAAAAAAUAUUUGAAAACAUAAAAAAUAAGUUGAAAACAUUGUAAGUUGUUAAUACACCUAUCAAAAAAAAAUUGUAAGUUAUUAAUGUACUCUACUCUAAAAAACAUCAUAGAAUUAUUUUAAAAAUUGUUUUCAAAAAUUGAUUUUUGAAUAAUGUAUUUAAAUUGGAUACUGGUUGUUUUAAUUUAUGUUUUCUCGUAAAUUUAUGGGGCAGAGAGACUAGAAAAGAAAAGGAAAGUGAUAAAAUUUAUGGGGGCAAAGCAUACUGCAUCCAUAUUAUGGAUAAAAUUAAGAUUAUUUUAAAUUGGAUACUGGUUGUUUUCAUUUAUGUUUUCUCAUAUUUUACUUAUUUAUUAAUGGCAGAAAUUGGAUAUCAUUCAAAUUUUAACAUACCUGUUCAUUGAAGAAUGGUGUGGGAACAUCACUCGUACAUAACUCCUGGGUAGCACUGCUUCCUGUGGAGGAGAAGUCCCGUGUCGAAUCCAAGGAUCCCAUUUCAGGUAACACCGAUCCAUUCUUUCCUUGCUCCAUCGGAAGGGAUAUGAAAGAUUUCAACCUCUUACAACCAAUCACUAGUAGAGAACGUAACUUCCCAAAAGAUCCCUCUGGAAUUGGACCAUAGCAUACUGCAUCCAUGUUAUAGAGAUUCCCAAGACGCAAUUCCUCCAAGAUAGGAAGGGCACUGUGUGAUGGGACCCCUUUGGUCGAGUCAACAAUGUAUUGAAUCCCAGGACAAUUUCCGAUAACAAGAUGCUUGAGUUGAAGAAAAUCAUCUGUAUCAAACUCGUAAAGGACAUGCUUAGUGUCCUCCAAGUCAUGCAAUUCUAAAACUUCAACUGUCUUGAACAGCUUGGAAAAGCAGUCCACCAAGCAAGGUUUGUUAACCCUCCAGAGCUUCAACGUUCUUGCGGAUCUAUUAUGAUCAACAUAUCCUGGAAUGGAAUACACUGAUAUCACAUAUCUGGUAAGCUUCUCAAAGACCAGAUCUUUUGAUAGCAAAUUGGGUACCGUUAUUUCUAUAUAUAAAGUCUUCAAAUAGGACAAGUUGUUCAGCUCAGAAAGGCAAGCAUUAUUGCUUUCUCCACUACCAAAUCCUUCAGCCCCCCAUUUGGUAAAACUUUUUGCUAAACAUAAAUGCUCCAAUCGAGAUAAACUUGAUAUGACAUUUUGGGGAAUUACUUCGAGAUGAGAGCAAUCCCACAAGUCCAGCACCCUUAGAUCAGUCAAUUGCAUGAAUUCUUUCGGCAACCGUUCAAUUUCGCAACUUGCAAAACUAAGAACUUGUAGUUUCUUUAGCUCUCCGAUUAAUGCCAUGUCUUGGAGUGUGCAUCGGUAUACACGCAAUGUUCGAAGAUUGGAAAGAAAACCAAGUGAUGAAGGCAGUGGUGUAAGAUGCCUUGCAGACAAGUCCAAAACUUUUAGUAGUUCCGUCUCUUGAAAAAAGGUGUUUGGAAUUCUCAAAGACGGAUCAUUACCAUUCAAUAAAAAGAAUUCAAGUUUGGAACAUACCAAUCUUUCCGGAAGCUCACGGAGAUCUCCGCAUUGCAAAGAUAUACGACUGCAAUUUCUGAACUCCUCCUUCCUUUGCCAUUCUUCUAAUCCAAGAGCUUCUUUGAUCACAACAAAUCGAUGAGGAUCUUUUGCUGCAAUUGCUCUGGCAACAUCACCAACAACAUCAUGCAUUCUGACAAACUUGUUUUCAUCAUUAUUUCCGAAAAACACACCUGGCCCCACACCUGACCGAUAACGAUCUUCAGCAUCAAGCAGCAAGCUCGAGUCUUUGAGGAUUUUGACCAAUGUCACUAGUUUAUUUCUUAUUUGCUCCAAUGAACUCACGUGUUCAAACAAAUCCAAACCCAUGCCAUAUUUUAACAAUUGAUCCAGUGAAAUAUCACCAUAGCCCAGCAUACCACAAAGUAAGAACAAACGCUUCACUUCAUCACCUUUCAAGUGGUUGUAGCUCAACUCCAGACAUGAGUAUACUUUUUCAUGCACGUCCUCGAUGUUUAUUGCUGCAGAAUUCUCCAGUUCUAGCAAAGCAUUGUUCCACACAGCCUCAUCACUCUCGCCUUUUAACGCCUUUGCAACUGUUACAAUGGCAACUGGUAGACCAUCACAUUCUCUAAGUACUUUAAUUGCUAUGGAUUUAAGCUGCUCCACUGAAUCACCUGCUGUCUUCUUAAAUAAACUCCAGGCUUCCUCUUCACAUAAAUGUUGAACACGGAAGUUUUUUUGAGUAGCCAUCUUUCUAGAUAACACACCCUGUUUUCUGGAAGUCAGCAGCACUUUACACCCCCUAUGAGCAUCUCCAUGAGGAAUUCCGAUGUUUUCCAGACUAAGUUCUUCCCAAAUAUCAUCCAGAAUCACCAGGACCGUCUUAUUUUUUUGCAAACUUUUGCUUAAGCGGGCUGCUCUUCCCGAUUCCUCUUCCUCCUCAAAUUUCAAACCUAACAUGCUUGCAAUUUCUCCUUGAAUUUUUGUCACGUUCGGAACUCGGGAUAUAUUUAAUGCCAUAACCACCUUUUCAAAUAACUUAUCUUCCUCGGCCUUUUUCGCUACUUGAUUGGCAAGAGUGGUUUUGCCCACACCGCCCAUCCCCCACACACCAAUCAUUCUGAUAUCAUCAUUUCUCAAGGCCUCCAUAAUUUCGUUUAAAAUAGAUGCCCUCGAUUCCAAAGCUCCACAAUCUCUGAGGCGUGGAGACCAUAUCCCUUGUGGAGGAAGGCCAUAUGAUACCCUGUUAAAUUUAUUUUCUUCUUGGAUUUUACCAAUAUCCCCAGACUGCUUCUUCGCUUGCCUGCUUCGCUGGUACCGCAACUUUAAAUUGAAACAGCUCGUGCUUGCAGCCUUCUCAUCUUCAAUCAAUUCCUUUGCCGUUUGGAUGAUCCCUUCUGUACGUGUCAGCCACUUCUGGACAUCAGGUUCGAUCUCAUCCCCUUGCCUAUUAGCGUCAUCCACAUCUCGCUGCCGCCUCUCCCUUGCAUCACCCAGCUUGUCAACUUGUUCCUCAAGGUUAUCAAGGUUGCUACGGUAGUUAAACAGGUAACCCAGUGGACGUACAAUGGGAGCAACCAGGUACUCUGCAACUUUUGCUGCAAUGGAAAUAAGAAUUUCUGCCAUUUCCCAAGUUUUCUUUCUCUAGAAAUAGAUGGGAAUUGUGCAACAGCAGAUAUCAAAAAGG